Molecule: long non-coding RNA, 95551 nt
Filed under: Prunus persica (peach)
Lineage: Eukaryota; Viridiplantae; Streptophyta; Magnoliopsida; Rosales; Rosaceae
Description: long non-coding RNA (PPER_LNC002899)
Source: RNAcentral
ACACAACGAUCUAUUGGAUCCGCUUCCACAAAUGUCCCCCCUGACGAAACCACACGAGCCUUAAUCCCUGGGUAUCCAGUACAUUUCUUCCCCUGAAAUAUAGCCAAUUGAACCAAUUAUAUGACAUGAUAAAAAGUGCCUAAUCGGUUAAUAAGUACAUUAACCACUAAUCAAAAGAAACAGAAAAAAAUAUCAUCUCCUUUGCGAUUUUAAAGAGCACUCACCUCCCUCUUCCCCAUAGUUAUUUACAAUUGAGAGGUUAAUAGGUCACAACAGAUCAGCUCAACAGAACCAAAAUACAAAGCACUACCACUAUGUUUUUUUCUUAUACCUGCAGAACACCAGCAGCAACUAAAAUUUCCAGGCCAUGGCAGAUGGAUGCAACUGGUUUCCUGGCUUCCAUAAAUUGUUUCACUAGUACAAUAACAUCCUCCUUUAGUGCCAAAAACUCUGGAGCUUUACCUCCAGGGAGUACAAGAGCGUCAUAACUUGAGGCAUCUAUGGAUUCAAAGUCAGCUGUUAAAACAAAAUUAUGUCCCCGGAUCUCACUGUAGGUUUGGCCCCCUUCAAGAUCACGGAUAGCAGUUGGGCAGGUAUCACCGGCUUUCUUCUUGGGGCAAACCACAUCAACAUGGCAUCCUAGAACUUUGAGGGUCUGAUAAGGCACAGUUACCUCAUAAUCUUCCGCGUAGUUCUACAAAUAUUGGGAAGGGGAGCAAUUAAAUGAUGAUGAUUAGUAACUAACAGUUUAAUCAUUGGCUAUAUUUUGUCCCAUAUUUGUCAUUGCAAUAUAAAAGAAACAGAAAAGAAAGCUUACUCCAAUGAUGAUGAGGACCCUUCUCUCUGAAGCACAUAUGUUGCCUCCUAGUGCCUUGAGAAAAAGCCCAAUGAACUCAGGAUUGCCAUAAUAUGUGACCCCAGUAGUUAAAUUAUCAUCAGCAACACACACUGACAAUGUAUCGGGUUCUACCCAGUGAGCACCAGCAGCAACCAAUCCAGGUUUCAUAGUUGAAACCGCGGUGCAUUUGCGACCUUUAACAGCGCCUGCAGGUGCUAAGACCAACAGCCCAUGGCAAAUAGCAGCAAUUGGCUUUCUGGAGUCAGAAAAUUUUCUCGCCAAUUCUACAACGGAUGCCUUCAUAGCAAGAUGUUCAGGAGAUCGUCCUCCUGGUAUAACUAGACCAUCAUAUUUGUCAAAUUCGAUGUCAUCAAAUGUUGCAUUCAGUGUGAAAUUGUGACCACGAGAUUCUUUAUUAGCCUGUAACCAAAAAGGUACACGAAAGAAAACCAAACACAACACACACAUUAAAACAAGAGUAAUGGUUAGGGGAAUUCAAGCUUCUUUGUCUUGCUUGUCUCUCAAACUCAAACUCAUCAGAGGUUGUUUUCCAACAACUGUGUUCAAUAUUAAAUAUAUAAAACAUAUUCCUCUUGUUUACAAAUAAAAAAGAACAGGAAAGACAGGAAAGACAGAGUUUGACCUGGUCAGUGGACUCUACUUGAAUGGUUAUGGCAGUGGCGCAGAUAUCACCAGCUUUCUUGACAGGAGAAACUGCAUCAACAGAGACUCCAAAUGCCUGCAGUGCUUGAAAUGGGACCAUUGCCUCGUAAUCUUCCAUGUAGUCCCCGCACAGUAACAACACCCUCCUCUGCACCUCGCCUUUCGGAUUCCCCAUUUCUUUUCUUAUUUCCUUCUUUAGUUUCUUUCUUCUUUUUCACACAGAGAGAGUUUUCAGAGAGAUUUUUCAGAGAGAAAGAGAGAGGGAGAGAGUCUGAAUACAAGAAGGUAGGUUAUAGCUUGAGCUGCUCCGCUUUGCUUACUUAAAUACUCACAAAAGCGUUUUUGGAGGUUUGUGGAGUCAGCUCGAUACGGUCGCUCGCAAUUUGAGCAACACAUCGCAGUCAGUUAUCGUGGCAUCUCUCUAUUCGCCGCUUCUUUUCAGUUCGGAUAACUAUUCUAUUAGUUUCGAGCCUAUCACCGUCUCCAUGUUUGAUACGUUUUUUUGUUGUCUUCUUUACCGACCAAGUGAGUCUAAAUUAUUGAAACUUGAGUUUGUUCUCUUCACGGACCAAGUGGGUCUAAAUUAUUGGAGGAAGAUUGAAACUUGAGUUUGUUCUCUUCACGGACCAAGUGAGUCUAAAUUAUUGGAGGAUGAUUAAAACUUGCAAAGAGGCGGAUUUAUUCUCUUAUUGUGAAUACAAAUAAUGGUCUAAAUUAUUAGGGAAGUAUUCUAACUUGAGUGCAAAGAGCACAAAUUUAAGUGCAAAGGAGUGGACUCACUGUCUUAUUACGAGUGCAAAUGAUAAUCUAAAUUAUUAGAGAAAUAUUUAAAUUAUAUAGUGCAAAGAAGCGUACUCACUGUCUUAUUGUGAAUAUUCAAAUAUUCGAGCUCAAUGCUUCCUUUUCGAUUGAAAAAAAGAAGAAGCUCAAUGCUUCCAAGCCUAUACUAUAGAAAAGCUCUUUAGAGUCGUCAUCUUCUUCUUCUUGCCUUCAUUGUAGCACGUGUGUGGCCCAAUAGAAAAGCUCAAUGCUUCCAAGCAGGACCGGUCUUGAGAUUUUGAAGGCCCUGUGCAAAACCUUAAAUUGGGGCCUCACAUAAGCUAACACAAACUUACACCAUUAUGUAAUGCCAUACAAUAAAUUUUUUUUUUUUUUCAAGUGAUCAAAGUACCCCUACUCCCAAGGAAAAAAUUGAAAUUUCACAAAAGAAUUAAAUUGGAUUAAAUUGAUUACAUUGAGUCAGAGAUGUUACACCUUUUGAAUAAUCACCAUGAUUGUGACGAUGAGUCUUUGUCAUCAUAGGUCAUACUCAGAUAUUAAAUAUUUUUUAACACCUAAUUUAUUUUGUAUCAAUAUUCCAAGAACAUCAUUAAUUCGAUGCAAUUAUUUUGGUUGACUUAGUUGGAUGCAUUAUUUUUGCGAAAUUGAAUAUCUUAGCAUAAUUAUUGACUAAUUCAUUGUGAUCGGGUAUUUAUUAUUUCCGUUUGUGGUUGUGAAAGUAGAUGGGAUAUUGAAUGUUGGUGUUGACAUCGAACAAGCCUUUAACACAAGCAGAUUUUGAAGUCGAGUCCUGAAUAGAAGUUGAGGCCCUACAAACCAACACAACUAGAAACGUCUUUGUGUCAACAAUUUGCUCACUCUGUAUAUAUAUAACAUUUGUUAUACAUAUAGAGUGCUGCUAUUUCCACCCACUUGUCCUAUUUUCUCACCCACUAUGUAAAUUUGAAAAAUUAAAAUCCUACUUUUCCACCCAACAUUAUUCCUAAAAAACCCUUUAAUUAUUAAUUCGACCAAACACCAUCAACUCCAAGUUAAAAACAUAAAAAUUUUAAUCCAAAAAAAAAAAAAACAUUUUUCAUCUUCUUCAUGUGUUUUCAACAUCACGACCUUACCCUACCAUAUUAAUAUUCUCAUAAACCCCUUAGCAGUACUGGUGGCUUCACGACCACGACACCACCACCACAACAACAUACAACCAACAAGACUACAAUGGAUUUUUAAUUGAAGUGAUGUUAUAUGGAAUAAGGACCCGUAUGUGGGUUAAUCAGACUAAAAAAUCUUUAAAAUGGAAUAAAAUUAUAGGACAAUUUGGCCUCUAUUAUCAACACCUACCAACCCUGACACAAUAUUAAAGGUGGAGUUGAGAAUUUGAUUUGAAUUUUUUUUUAAAAACUUUUCAAAUGAUUGAGAUGGGUAGAUCAAUGCUCGCUGAAUUUGUUGAGGCCAGGAAGAUGGAAAGAAUAUGGAGAGUAAAAGAAAAAAUUUAUUUUCUUUUUAAAAUUUGUUUUAUUUUUAGGGUUUUAGAAGUCAUUUUACAUAGGGAUAAAUUUGUCUUUAAAUUUUUUAAAAUAAGGUGGGUGGAAAAAUAUGAGGUGGGUGAAAAUAGCUGUACUCUACAUAUAUUAUACACAUGAAAAAAAAUUGGGGCCCCUAAAAAAUUAAGGGCCCUGUGCCGUGGCACCACUUGCACACCCUCAGGACCACCCCUGCUUCUAAGCUAAUGUCCCUAUACUAUAUUAAAGCUCUUUAGAGUCCUCAUCUUCCUCUUGCCUUCAUUGUAGCACGUGUGUGGCCCAAUAGAAAAGCUAAUGUCCCUAUACUAUAAGGACCAUGCGGAUAAAUAAAUGUAAUGUUUAUCUCUGACAGGUCAUGCUUUUUGAGCCGUGAUAUUUUUGGAAUAGCGUUCGCGUGCAUUUUACCUGGACUGCCAUGUUGAUUUUCACCAGAGCAGCAAAGCUGCUUGCUUUGUGUUAUGAGGUCUGGUUUUGUUAACAAACUAUAUUGCUUGACCUAGAAGAAAAUGCAAUAUCAUGUGGAUCCUCAUUUCGCAGUUGCAUGAGGAUGGUUGUGAAAAUACAAGAGCUAAUUCUGGACAACAUGAUAUUUGUGGGAGCGAUUUCUUCCCACGAGAAUAUUCAAUUGAAAGAUUUCUCUUUCAUCUUCGCCGCCCCUUUCUCAUUGCAAAAUAGAUCGAAACAAGAGGACCACACUCGUGAGGUGUUGGCCAAAAGCCCUCAGAUGCCUAAGUUAGUUCAAUUGAUUCGUAGAGAAAACAAUAGCUAAAUAGGGUACGGAGAUAUAUAUAUAUGUAAGGUGAAAACCGGAUGGCCGGAGCCGUGAGUGGUGGUCGGAGCCUUGUGUAAAAGGAAGAGAGAGUAUGGCGGCUAAGGUUUGUGAGGGAUAAUUUCUGCAGAGUUUCAGUAAGAAUUUAGACGUACCUAAACCCUUGUACGUAGCCAUUUAUUUACAGGGGCCUCAGAGGCUAGGGUUUUAGAGGAAUAAUUCCGCAUAUGGAAAUGAAUUAUUCCUCCCUGAUUUGGCGAGAUUGGCUUAAUUAGGGAUUUGAAUGUAGGAAUCAAAUCAAUCCCAAUUAAAUUAGCAACUCUGGUUGGCCAUGCCACGCUGCUGCGGUAACCAGAUUUACAUCAGUGACACAACGAUCUAUUGGAUUCGCUUCCGCAAACGUCCCCCCUGACACAACCACAUGAGCCUUAAUCCCUGGGUAUCCAGUAAAUUUCUUCCCCUGAAAUAUAGCCAAUUAAACCAAUUAUGUCAUGUUAAAAAGUGCCUAAUCAAGAAAUAAGUACAUUAACCACUAAUCAAAAGAAACAGAAAAAAUAUUAUCUCGUUUGCGAUUUUAAAGAGUACUCACCUCCUUCUUCCCAAUAGUUAUUUACAAUUGAGAGGUUAAUAGGUCACAACAGAUCAGCUCAACAGAACCGAAAUACAAAGCACUAGAUGUAACCUUUUUUACUUCCUUUUCAAGUUCAAUCGAUAAAGUAUUUCAAUCUGUUUUACUUUAUCUUUAAUAAGUAGCAUUAAAACUGGAAGCAUUAUAUUAAUGUUUUAGUGACAAACGUUUAACCACUAAAAUGCAGGUAGGAUAUAUGUUUUUUCUUUAAGACCAUACCUGCAGAACACCAGCAGCAACUAAAAUUUCCAGGCCAUGGCAGAUGGAUGCAAUUGGUUUCCUGGCUUCCAUAAAUUGUUUCGCUAGUACAAUAACAUCCUCAUUUAGUGACAAAACCUCUGGAUCUUUUCCUCCAGGGAGUACAAGAGCGUCGUAACUUGAGGCAUCUACGGAUUCAAAGUCAGCUGUUAAAACAAAAUUUUGUCCCUGCGUUUCACUGCAGGUUUGGGCCCCUUCAAGAUCACGGAUAGCAGUUGGGCAGGUAUCACCGGCUUUCUUCUUGGGGCAAACCACAUCAACAUGGCAUCCUAGAACUUUAAGGGUCUGAUAAGGCACAGUUACCUCAUAAUCUUCCACGUAGUCCUACAAAUAUUACAAAUAUUGGGGAGGGGAGCAAUUAAAUGAUAAUGAUUAGUAUCUAACAGUUUGAUCAUUGGCUAGAAGCCUAAAACCAUGAACUUGUCGUGGCGAAACUGGUAAAGCCGACUCGGGCUUUCUCCCCUUUCUCUUUUAAUAAUAUUAAGGUUGGUUGUCACUUGAACUUGAGCAUACUAUUUUGUCCUAUAUAUGUCAUUGCAAUAUUAAAGAAAAAGAAAAGAAACCUUACUCCACAGAUGAUGAGGACCCUUCUCCCAGAACCAGAUAUGUUGCCUCCUAGUGCCUUGAGAAAAAGCCUAAUGAACUCAGGAUUGCCAUAAUACGUGACCCCAGUAACUAUAUUAUCAUCAACAACGCCCACUGACAAUGUAUCGGGUUCUACCCAGUGAGCACCAGCAGCAACCAAUCCAGGUUUCACAGUUGGAAACGCUGUGCACUUGCGACCUUUAACAGCGCCUGCAGCUGCUAAGACCAACUGCCCAUGGCAAAUAGCAGCAAUUGGCUUUCUGGAGUCAGAAAAUUUUCUCACCAAUUCUACAACCGAUGCAUUCAUAGCAAGAUGUUCAGGAGAUCGUCCUCCUGGUAUAAGUAGACCAUCAUAUUCGUCAAAUUCAAUCUCAUCAAAUGUUGCAUUCAGUGUGAAAUUGUGACCACGAGAUUCGGUAUAAGCCUGUAACCCAAAAAGGUACGUACGUCCGUACAGAAAACCAAACCAAACACACACAUUAAAACAGGAGUAAGGGGAUACAAAAUAAAUAAAUGAACAGGAAAGACAGAGUUUGACCCGGUCAGUGGACUCCACUUUAAUGGUUAUGGCUGUGGCGCAGAUAUCACCCGCUUUCUUGCCAGGAGAAACUGCAUCAACAGAGACUCCAAAUGCCUGCAGUGCUUGAAAUGGGACCAUUGCCUCGUAAUCUUCCAUGUAGUCCCCGCACAGUAACAACACCCUCCUCUGCUCCUCGCCUUUCGGAUUUCCCAUUUCUUUUCUUAUUUCCUUCUUUAGUUUCUUUCUUGCUUUUUCUUUCUUCUUUCUUCUUUCUUCUUUUUCAGAGAGAGAGAUGGUCUAAUAAAGGAAGGAAGGCCUGCUUUAAAUACUAAUACUCACACAAGCGUUUUUGGAGGUUUGUGGAGUCAGCUAGACACGUCGCAGUUAGUUAUCGUGGCAUCUCUUUCUAUUCCUCUCUUCUUUUCAGUUCGGAUAACUAUUCAAUGAGUUUCGAGCCAAGUUUGAUAUUCUCUGUUGUCUUAUAAUUAUUCGAGGAAGAUUCAAACUUGUAAUGUUUAUCUCUAACAGGCAUGGACAAUAAAUGUAAUGUUUAUCUCUAACAGGUAUGGAUAGUUUCGAAUAGCGUGCGCGUUGAUUGUACCUCGACUGCCAUGUUGAUUUUCACCAACGCAGCAAAGCUGCUUGCUUGGUGUUAUGAGGUCUGGUUUUGUCAACAAACUAUAUUAAUUGACCCAAAAGAAAAUGCAAUAUAAUGUGGAUCCUCAUUUCGCAGUGACAGGAUGGUUGUGAAAUACAGGCUAACUUUGGGCAACAUGAUAUUCAAAAGAAAAUUCAAUAUCUUGUCGAUCCUCAUUUUGCAGUUACAGGAUGGUUGUGAAAGUAUAAGCUAACUCUGGACAACACGAUAUUCAAAAGAAAAUGCAAUAUCUUGUCGAUCCUCAUUUCCCAGUUGCAGGAUGGUUGUGAAAGUAUAAGCUAAUUCUAGACAACUGAUAUUCAUUCAGGUAAAACUUCGAGGUGUACGAUGAGAGAGAGAGAAACCAAGGGGGCCGAUGACUAAUAAAGCAUAAGUAGUAUAAUACAAGCUUCAUCCACAACCAAACUUGCAUGGAACAUGGCAUAUACAUAUCGAGACCAGAAUCAUUUGUUCCCUCAUAUAUACAAACGUCACCUUAACAUAACACAACAUACAUGCCUUAUUCUUUCAUGAAUUACAUAUAGUACAUGCAAGCAGCUGACCCAAUAAACAGCAAAUGAUACUCGAAUAUCAAGCAAUGUCAUCAACUGAGAAAUGAACUCUGGGUUGCCCAGUCCAAAUUUCCAUCUGUGAAGCAAUGAUCUAUUGGAUCAGGUUCCAGCCAUGUUGCUCUUGACAAAACCGCAUUAAGCUUCACCGCUGGAUACGCAGUACAUUUCUUUCCCUAAAAUGAAGCAUACCACCAAAACAUUGAAAAUACACAUAGGAAUGAAUGAUGGAACCCUAUCACACCAGAAUUGUGGCAAAUCUGGUGAAGCCUAUUCAGGUUAUUUUCACUAUAUAUCUUUCAGAAGUAUCUGUAAUGGGGCAAAUCUCCAUCAAUUCUCUUCUUUUCACUUUAUCUUUAUGCCCAUUCAUGCAUGUACAUAUUAUAGGAAGAAGUUUUUGACAUAUGGCAUGUAUUGUGUGUCAAAUGUAUACCGAUUCAUGAAGACAGGUUCAACAGCACAUACACCAUUUUGACCUUAUUCAUUUAUUUUUGUUUAUUCUGGGUUACUGCAAUUUGAAUCACAUUAAAAAACAAAUACUGAACAGUGAUAUAUUCAAUAUUGAUUGGCAUCACAACUUCAUAUUUCUCAUUGCACUACGAAGGAAAAUAAAAAUUACCCCACAGAGAAACAGGAUCCUCCUAUCUGAACCAGUUAUGUUACUUCCUAUAGUGCCUUCAAAAAAGACUAAUGAACUCAGGAAGGCCUUCAUAUGUAGCCCCAGUUAUUAUAUUACCAUCAACAACACACGCCACCAUGGUCACGGGCUCCACCCAAUAAGCACCUGCAGGCUGCAGCAACAAGUACAGGUCUGACAGCUGGGAAGGCCGUUAUAUUUUAAAGGCAUCGCGGCGGAGCUAUACUCUAUAAUCAAAAUAGAAAAUCUAAAACGUAUAGCCGUUCGGCUAUACUCUAUAAAUAUAACUCCAUAAAUAGAAUAUCAUAAACAUAUAGCCGCGCGGCUAUAUGCGAUAAAUAGAAUAUUUCAAACGUAUAGCCGAUUGGCUGUACCCUAAAAUAGAACAUUUUAAAAGUAUAGCCGAUCGGCUGUACUCUAUUAGAAGAUCUUCAAAAAAUACAGAAAACCCAAAAACAUUUUAAAACAAAGGGGGACCAGAAAGACAUAUAUAGCAUUUGAAGAUUUGUAAAUUAAACACAGAUAAGAUUAUUUUCACUUAGAGACGAAGGCACUAAUGCAAUUUUGUUUAUUGAAUAUGGUGUACGCAGUGACGUUGGAGCCAAGAAUUUGUUCACGCUGUCUUUUCCCCAGAACUCAAAGCUCAAUACAGGUCGGUUCUCUAGCUCAUAAUGAAUGAGCAAAGCACUCUAACAAAACUCCUAACAUGUGUUCUUGUUUGAGCUUACUUUAGUCUCGCUGUCCACACAACCUAGAAACUAUGACCUACGGAUUGCUAUUUGUCAAUCUAAUAGAGUGGCUCUAAUCAACAGUAAAACUUAAUUCAUUUUGUCUAUUAUUAACGCUACCAACCACUGGCUGAUGCAAAAACCUAAACUUGUAAACUUGACAAACUUAUUUCCAGUCCCAACAUAUUCCAAAUUUUAGAGGAGGCAGCAUAAUCCCAUAUGUGAGAAUUGUAAGCACUUCAAUCUUUGAGACAAAUUUCUUGUUUUGGGUUUACAAAUUCAAGUGAAGUAAGCAUUCAAUCUUCAAUCCAAUUGAGUGUGCUUGAUUACAGAGCAUGGAAAGACCAAUUGACAGUGCUCAAAUGAUGUAAUGAGGCUAAAGAAUAAAUUUUUAUCAUAUAAUCAUUAAAUAUGUUCACUAAAAGAUGUGUCAUCGUUAUAUGUAAAAUUUUUAGAAAUAUAUAAACUAGCUAGGAUUUACGUGAAUUCGAAUUUGAAUACAUGAAAUAUUAUUACCUACUACAUCAUUUGAUGAACAGAUUUGAUGUUCCUAACAAUUCUAUGCGUACUAGUAAAGUACUUUGUCUUUAAUUUGGAAGUACCCGAAAGCAUAAUGUUUUUCAUAUAUUAUCUGGCAGGAGGCAAUUCAAGAAAAAAAGCCAUCAUUAUUGGAGUCGUAGUUGGAGGUGUAGGUCUUUUUAUUCUCAUUGUUGGAGUUUUUCUCUAUUUUAAACUUUCAAGAAAGCCCGAGGCUGCAACAACCACAGAAUUCGAAGUUGCACUUCCUCUUGCAUAUAUACUAUUACAGUCAUGAUUUCUUGGAUUACAAGUACAAGGGUUUAAGAGAUUUGUGAUCACUCACCGUUGGAUGUAAAUUCAACGGUUCACUCACUCUUGCACUUCUUUUAAGAAAUUUUUUUGAACCAUUGGAUUAAUAUCUAACGGUGGGUGACCACAAUCUCUUGGACUCCUGUAUUCCAAGAGAUCGGAUUGUAUACUAUAAGUCCUGAUCUCUUAGACUACAAGAGUACAAGAGAUUUGUGGUCACUCACCGUUGGAUAUAAAUUCAACGGUUCACUCAUUAUUGCACUCCUUUUAAGAAACUUUUUUGAACCAUUGGGAUUAAUAUCCAACCGUAAGUGACCACAAUCUCUUGGACUCCUGUAGUCCAAGAAAUUUGUGGUCACUCACCGUUGGGAUGUAAAUUCAACGGUUCACUCACUCUUGCACUCCUUUUAAGAAACGUUUUUGAACCAUUGGAUUAAUAUCCAACAGUGGGUGACCACAAUCUCUUGGACUCCUGUAGUCCAAGAGAUCGGGACUGUAUACUAUUAGUCCUGAUCUCUUGGACUACAAGGGUCCAAGAGAUUUGUGGUCACUCACCGUUGGAUGUAAUUCAAUUAGCUCAUGCUCUAACCAUGUAUAUAUAUAAACAUAAAAAAUUUAAAAAAAUUUGGUAUUAGACAUAAUUAUCUUUACUAAUUAGUAUUCGAGAUAAACAAUAUUUAUGUUUUAGUUUUAAUACAUAGGAAUUGAAUUUUGUUUUGGAUUUGGACAAAGAGGAGGCCCAGAUUCAUUAGCCCACCUUAUAUUAAUCACUAAUUUUAAUUUAAAAACCUGACUCAAAUUCAUUGGUUUACCUUUUUUUUAAGAGUGCUACUAAACGAACCCUAACAUUAACUGAGUACACCCUAUGAUCUAAGUACACCCUGAUAUUUUAAUUUAAAUGUAAAAUUAACUAAGCACACCCUAUAGAACUACCAAAAAUAUCUCUGGUACACCAUAAUAUUUGUAGCAUUAUUUUAUAGUUGAUUUUUAGCUUGAUUUUUUUAAUAGUGUUUAUAAAUCUUUGACUUUUCAUAUGGAUUUAUGCUUCUACUAAAAUUGUUGACACUUUUUUUGCAAUUUCAAGUUCUUGCAAUCACCACCUCUUUCGUUAAUAAUGAUUUUUUUAUGCAUGUUUCAGUUAUAUACUACUAUGCUACUGUGAAAUUUAUUUGUUCUCAACGAAGUUAAAAACAAGCUAAACAAAUAGAGACACUUUCGCAAAAGACACCUCGUUUGUGAUAAAUUCGUUUUUGUAGUCUAAAACACAUUGUUUAUUGAUGUCGGUGUCUUGCUUAGAUACAUCUUCUAGAUGCUGUAAAAAAAAAAACCUCAUAUUUGUCAUUUUUCGGUACACAUGCUUUAGCCUAAACCAAAAAAAAAAAUCAAAGUUAAUACCUCUUUUGAUGACUUCCUCAAAAUAUAUGAAGCAUCCAUUCCAAAAUUUCAAAAGUAACCCAACUUGCAAAUCUGCAUAAAAACAUAAGAGAAAAACAAUAAGAAAGGUGCAUGAGUGGCAAACGAAAGUCACUGCAAACUUCAUCAAAUUGGCCCUAGUAGUACUAAUUAAGAUAUUUUUAAUCAUACACGCUCACAAGCCAGAAAAACUAAGUCCUAAAAGAGGGAUGAAGAUGCUGCCACCACAAUUUUCAUUCAUGUUGUUAGUGAACUAGGCAAAAGUAAUAUGCAUAAAUUCUAUUUUUACAGUAUAUAAGUCAAUUCACCAUAAUAUUUUUUUGACAACUUAUUGGAUUGUCAGGAAUUCAAUGAUCAAUCAGGCCUUCACAUAAUCUCCACCGCUGCACUUCCUUUUGGACCUUGAGAAGAAGCAGAUUUGAGCCCAAGUCUUCUUCUGCUUAGCAGGUUGUGCUUUAACUUCUCUUUUCACGACAAGCUCAAUCAUGUAUUGAACAACAGCCUAAGAUUAUAUUUGCUCCAAACCAUUCUGACUCGCAGAUCACAAAGAUGAGAACCAAAUAAUCUCUUGAGUAGGGUUGAAUACGAUUAGUAGGGUGUACUUAUUAAAAUUAUAUUUGUUUCACAAUUUCAUAUAUCAUUUUUGGUCAUUUUAUAUUAGAGUAAAUCAGUAAUUCAAUAUAUGCUUUUGUAGUAGGGUGUACUCAGUUAAUUUUAGGGUUCGUUUAGCAGCACUCUUUUUUAAUCAUAUCAGAUCUGCUAUCAUCAAUCCAAGAUCAAGAGACCGAUCUGCGAUGCAAUUCUCAACCAUCUCCCUCCUCUACCCAACCCCCCCCCCCCAACCCCCCAAAAAAAAGGUUUGGGAAAGUCCCAAAAACUAAAAAACAGAUUUCUUCAGAUACAAAAAAAUUUAAAAAAAGAGGAGAGGAUAUGAAAGACGCAGAAAAUCGNNNNNNNNNNNNNNNNNNNNNNNNNNNNNNNNNNNNNNNNNNNNNNNNNNNNNNNNNNNNNNNNNNNNNNNNNNNNNNNNNNNNNNNNNNNNNNNNNNNNNNNNNNNNNNNNNNNNNNNNNNNNNNNNNNNNNNNNNNNNNNNNNNNNNNNNNNNNNNNNNNNNNNNNNNNNNNNNNNNNNNNNNNNNNNNNNNNNNNNNNNNNNNNNNNNNNNNNNNNNNNNNNNNNNNNNNNNNNNNNNNNNNNNNNNNNNNNNNNNNNNNNNNNNNNNNNNNNNNNNNNNNNNNNNNNNNNNNNNNNNNNNNNNNNNNNNNNNNNNNNNNNNNNNNNNNNNNNNNNNNNNNNNNNNNNNNNNNNNNNNNNNNNNNNNNNNNNNNNNNNNNNNNNNNNNNNNNNNNNNNNNNNNNNNNNNNNNNNNNNNNNNNNNNNNNNNNNNNNNNNNNNNNNNNNNNNNNNNNNNNNNNNNNNNNNNNNNNNNNNNNNNNNNNNNNNNNNNNNNNNNNNNNNNNNNNNNNNNNNNNNNNNNNNNNNNNNNNNNNNNNNNNNNNNNNNNNNNNNNNNNNNNNNNNNNNNNNNNNNNNNNNNNNNNNNNNNNNNNNNNNNNNNNNNNNNNNNNNNNNNNNNNNNNNNNNNNNNNNNNNNNNNNNNNNNNNNNNNNNNNNNNNNNNNNNNNNNNNNNNNNNNNNNNNNNNNNNNNNNNNNNNNNNNNNNNNNNNNNNNNNNNNNNNNNNNNNNNNNNNNNNNNNNNNNNNNNNNNNNNNNNNNNNNNNNNNNNNNNNNNNNNNNNNNNNNNNNNNNNNNNNNNNNNNNNNNNNNNNNNNNNNNNNNNNNNNNNNNNNNNNNNNNNNNNNNNNNNNNNNNNNNNNNNNNNNNNNNNNNNNNNNNNNNNNNNNNNNNNNNNNNNNNNNNNNNNNNNNNNNNNNNNNNNNNNNNNNNNNNNNNNNNNNNNNNNNNNNNNNNNNNNNNNNNNNNNNNNNNNNNNNNNNNNNNNNNNNNNNNNNNNNNNNNNNNNNNNNNNNNNNNNNNNNNNNNNNNNNNNNNNNNNNNNNNNNNNNNNNNNNNNNNNNNNNNNNNNNNNNNNNNNNNNNNNNNNNNNNNNNNNNNNNNNNNNNNNNNNNNNNNNNNNNNNNNNNNNNNNNNNNNNNNNNNNNNNNNNNNNNNNNNNNNNNNNNNNNNNNNNNNNNNNNNNNNNNNNNNNNNNNNNNNNNNNNNNNNNNNNNNNNNNNNNNNNNNNNNNNNNNNNNNNNNNNNNNNNNNNNNNNNNNNCCCCCCCCCCCCCCCCCCCAAAUAACACUGUUCGGACCAUCCUCAACACCCCAACACACGUCGCCCUCAAGUCCGAAGAACUUAUAAGAAUGGAGCAGGAAUUGAUAGUCCGCGAAAUCGAAAUGCGGAAAGCCAAAGAGGAUCUCAACCGUCGGAUUCACAAUGAUCAGGUCGCGAGGGAGAUCAUGAAGAUUCCAUAGGACGAGUGGCAAGAGUCUGGCCAACUCUUCGCCAAACCCUUCGGUGUAGGCUCCUCCUCAUCGUCGUCGACGAAGAGGGUCAAGAGUGAAAGAGUGUUCUAUCAGAUUGGUCAAAAAAUAAUACUUCAUUUAUCUUAAUAUAUAACAAAUAGGAAGGUUAUAUAUACAAAGCCUAGGAAACUAUUCUAGGAAAGUAAUUAUGUUCCUAUAAUCUUGCAUAAUCAAAUAGUUGACUUAGACUAAUUAGGAAUGUACAGCUCAUUGACACUCCCCCUCAAGUUGGAGCAUAUAUGUCGUCAAUGCCCAACUUGCUAAAUGAGCUGUGAAAUACCCUGCCUGUGACUGCUUUGGUAAGGACAUCUGCAAGUUGAUCUUCGGAUUUAACAAAUGAUACCUUAAUGAUCUUUGCCUCGAGCUUCUCCUUGAUGAAAUGUCUGUCAACUUCAACAUGCUUGGUUCUAUCAUGUUGCACUGGAUUAUGUGCAAUGUCUAUUGCAGCUUUGUUGUCACAAUUCAGUUGCAUGGCAUGUUUGGGUUUGAACCCCAAUUCCUCCAACAAAUUCCUUAUCCAGAGUAGCUCACAUACUCCGUGCGCCAUACCUCGAUAUUCUACUUCAGCACUUGAUCUUGACACUACUUUCUGUUUUUUACUUCGCCAAGAUACUAGAUUGCCUCCUACAAAGGUAAAGUAUCCAGAUGUAGAUCGCAUGUCAGUAACAGAGCCCGCCCAGUCUGCAUCAGUGUGACCCUCAACAUCUAGAUGACCAUGUCGUGCGAACAUCAAUCCUCUUCCAGUAGAUGACUUCAAGUAUCUCAAAAUUCGGUUUACCGCAUCCAUGUGGGCUUCACUUGGUGCAUGCAUGAACUGACUCACCAUACUUACAGCAUAUGCUAUAUCAGAUCUAGUGUGUCCUAGAUAGAUUAACUUACCCACAAGGCGUUGAUAUCUUUCUUUGUUGGUGGGUACUUGAUCAGGAUAUUCACCAAGCUGAUGAUUCAACUCCAUUGGCGUAUCUGCUGGUUUGCUGGCUAACAUUCCAGUGUCAGUCAAAAUGUCAAGGAUAUAUUUCCGUUGUGAUAGAAAUAUUCCUUGUUCUGAACGAGCCACUUUGAUGCCUAGGAAAUACUUCAGAGCACCAAGAUCUUUCAUUUCAAACUCACUUGCCAAGUGGUGCUGCAAUGCUGCCUUUUUCACUAGGUCAUUCCCGGUAACUACCAUGUCAUCAACAUAUACAAUAAGGGCAGUGACAUUACCUUUCUUAUGUUUCAAGAAAAGAGUAUGAUCUGAGUUACUUUGCUUGUAUCCAAAAUCCUUCAUUGAUUUGCUGAACUUGUCAAACCAUGCUCUGGGUGACUGCUUCAAGCCAUAAAGAGACUUUCUCAGUUUACACACCAUGUUGCUAGUAUUGGGCCCCAUCUUGCAUCCUGGAGGGGAAUCCAUAUAGACUUUUUCUUCUAGGUCGCCGUGCAGGAAGGCAUUUUUGACAUCAAACUGGUGUAAUGGCCAGUUUAGGUUUGCUGCCAGAGAAAAAAGUACUUGAAUUGUGUUUAUCUUGGCUACAGGGGCAAAUGUUUCCCUAUAGUCAAUCCCAUAAGUCUGAGUAUAACCUUUCGCCACCAAUCUUGCUUUGUAUCGUUCAAUGGUGCCAUCUGCCUUGAAUUUUAAUGUAUAUAUCCAUCUACAACCCACUGUUCUCUUUCCUUUGGGAAGGAUAGUCAUCUUCCAAGUGGAAUUCUUCUGGAGGGCCUCCAUUUCAUCAUUCAUCGCUUGAGUCCACUUGGGAUCUUUCAGAGCUUCCUACACAUUACUUGGAAUAGAUACAGUGGAUAAUUGACAUACAAAUGAUGCACAUGACGGAGACAACCUAUGUAGGGACACAUGAUUAGCAAUAGGGUAUUUAACUUUUGUUUUUGGGUCCGGGUCAUACUGUUGUCUAGGAAUCCCUCUAGUGGUACGAAUAGGUAACUGAUAACCUGUGUUUCCUGUAUGACUCGACUCAUGUAAAGUACUUAAGUUGGAGUUUAAAUGCUCAGUUACCUGCGGGGAAUCUUCAGGACCUGAUUGGAUGAUUGGUGAUGGUACUGUAGUUGGAGGGAAAUUAUCUGAACCAUCAUCUGGAGUUUCUAGUAACUCUUGAUCUUGUUGCACUACUGUAGCUGGUUGCUCGGAUACUGACUGCUCUAAAAUAGUUUGUUGAAUUUGGAUGCUCUGAGUAUCUUCUGCAAAGAUAGAGCUCUCCCCCUGCAGAGGAUGCUCAGAAACUCCCCCUGAGUAAUAGAACUCACUCUCGUGGAAAGUCGCAUCUGCGGUAACAUGCAUGGUCUGAGUGGGAUGAUGGAAACACUUAUAGCCCUUCUGAGUGUCAGCAUAACCCACAAAGACACAACGCAGUGCACACGGAUCAAGCUUGCCACGCUGAUGUGGAUACACCUGAACAUAAGCAACACAACCAAAGAGACGUGGUUCGAGAUUUGGUGUGGAUGGCAUGGUGAGGAGAGUGGUCAAUGUCUGAAAUGGAGUUUGAUACUGAAGAGUGCUGGAUGGGGUUUUAUUAAUGAGGUAAGCAGCAAAACAAAGAACCUCCCCCCAAAAAUGAUGAGGCAUACGGGCCUCAAAUAAAGAGGCACGAACAACCUCCAAGAGAUGACAAUUCUUACGCUCUGCGACGCCAUUCUGUUGUGGUGUAUAGGCACAUGUGGUUGAUGAACAAUUCCAUGUUGACUUAAAAAAAUUAUAUAGGUCUUGGUUGACAUACUCUCCUCCAUUGUCAGAUCGAAGCAUGGUGAUUUUCUUGUCAAACUGAGUAGCAACAUAUUGAUAAAAUAACUUGAAUUUGGCGGUGACUUUACUUUUCUGCUUUAAGGGAAAAACCCAGGUCAUCCGGGUGCAAUCAUCAAUAAACGUCACAAACCACUUAAAACCGCUAAUAGUAGGAACUCGUGAUGGUCCCCAAACAUCAGAAUGGACAAUCAUGAAAGGCAAAGAACUUUUAUUCAAUCUUAAUGGGUAAGAAAUACGAUGACUUUUGGCCAAAAUGCAAGUUUCACAAUGAAAGUCUGAUUCAGCAAACUGGGAAAAUAAAUCUGGAAAUAAAAGUUUCAGAUGACCAAAAGAAGCAUGCCCUAAUCGUCUAUGCCAUAGCCAAAUUUUCUUCAUCCUGAUAGACUCAUCUCCUCUCACAUGAUGUGUCUGACUCAAUCUUGUACUGCUGUCUUCUGUCAAGUCCAGAUAAUACAACUUUCCCCUCCUAGUACCACAUCCAAUCACGGUCCUGGUGAGAAGAUCCUGAAAUAGACAAUACAAUGGCCAAAAACACAUAGUACAAUUAAGGGAAUCAAUGAUUUGAGGAACAUAUAACAAGUCAUAGUCGAGUGAAGGGACAACUAAGACAUGAUCAAGACUUAAUGAAGAUGUAAGAGAUAAAGACCCUUCUCCCAUAACUUGGGAGGUGGUUCCAUUGGCACUGGUAAUAUGUGUUUGGCUUGAUGGUUUGGUAGAGUGCAACCCAGUAAAACUAGAUGUCAUGUGAUCAGUAGCGCCAGUGUCAAUAAUUCAUGAUCUAUUACAAAUAAGUGAAGAUGUGCAAGAGGUACCUGAGGUGGCCAAGGCCUUGGAGCCAGAUGUACCUGAUGGAGGUUCUGAUGCAGUCUCCUUGGAUGACUGAGCGGAUGCAAAUGAGGCUCUGGUAGAAUCCUUUUUUCGCCCUUUGUGGACCCAUCCUUCUGGAUAACCAAUGAUCUCAUAACAGCCCUUAAUUGUGUGGUUAUCUAAACCACAUUUGGUACACUUCAUUGGAGGCCAGUUACAAGUAGGGUCGACACUAUAGUUGUUCGGCCGAGAUUGUUUGGACCUCGCAGUAGCCAAGGCCGUGGCUUCAGAGGUUACACCAACUUCAGACAUGGUUCCCUGUCGGUUACUUUCUCUUUUAAUAUGUGCAUAUGCGGCCUCCAAUUCGGGUUUUGGCUCCAUCCGCAAAAUCUCUCCUCGGAUUUGAUCGAAAUUAUUGUCCAAACCUGCAAGAAAUAUAUAAACUCGGAGACGAUCAACCUCUUUGCGUCUAGUCUCAAUGUCUUUCGGAUGCUCCAUGGUGCUUGGACUUAAUUGAUCAAGCUCCUGAAAAAUCUCAGUGAGCUCACUGUAAUAUUUGGCAACUGAUGCGCCAGCUUGCUUCAUUAUUAAUGACCAUCUGUGAAGGUCAUAAAUCUUGGCUUCAUCAGCACCAUUUGAAUAGGUUUGCUUGAUUGCGGCCCAAACUUGCUUUGCUGUGUCAUAACGAAUAAAUCGUUUAAUCUGAUUAGGUUGCAUGGCGUCGAACAACCAACUCUUGACUUGGCAAUCCGAUGCAUGCCAUUUAUUAAAUGUGGGAUCUGUGUCUGUAGGUUGGGCAAUAUCACCGGUCAAGUGGCCAUGUUUUUCUCGCCCAGCUAUCUUCAUCUCUAUGAUUUGAUGCCAUAGAGAAUAAUUAUUCUCAUCCGAUUUGAUUCCUGCGGAGAAGUUGGAGGUGUCACUCUGUAAAGUGACGAUUUGUGUGGUAGUUUUGGAGCCUCCCGACACCAAGGAUUGAUUGGUGUUUGCUGACCCGUCAUCGUUGGCCAUGAUAUUGGCUGACAACCAAUGAAAAAAGGACAAAAAAGAAAUAUCAAGUUGAGGAAAAGCAAGUGAACGGUGGACAAAGGCAAUAAGAAAUAUUGGGUUGAAAGGGAAAAAAAGAACAAGGGGAACGGUUUGAAUGGGUCUGUGAGUGGAUCUGUGAGUGGAAAGUGAUUUGCAAUAUUGCAAAACGUGAUUUGACUAGAGGAAAGGUUUGAAUGGGUUUGUAAGAUGGAAUAUGGGUGGUAUUGGUGCUGGGUUUGUGAGAUGGAAUAUUGCUUUUGGUGCUGGUGCUGGUGCUGCGUACUAGAUGGAAUAUUGCAAAACAGUGAUUUGAGAUGGAAUAUGUGACAGGACCCACCCCGGAAUUUCCACAAAACCGGGGCGAAUCCAGUCUUUGUUCCGACAUCACCCCGAUGUCGGGCCCACUUACUAGAAACCGAGACUUCCUGCCGAAAUUUCGGCAGAGUCUCCCUUAUGAAUUGGACAAACCAACAAAAUUCAACCUGCAUAAAAAUAUAGAAUAAUCCCAACCAGCAGCAUGCUUUACAGCGAAUAAACAGUUUACAACAAAAUGGCCUCCGGCCUCACAAUUCAGACCCUAACAGGGCGAUAACAGAGCAUGUCUAAGAACUUCAAUUUCAACAAAACAGAGUACAAAGGAAAUAACAGGAAGAAAGAGUCCUACGAUGACUCAAGGCUCAAAAGCUCACGAUCCGGCUCUGCUGCGGAGCUCAGUCAACUACUGGCUGGGGGGCGCAAAACAGAAAAUUGUGAGUGGACAAAAAUAAAUUCAGUUCGGUGCAAACCAACGUAAUAUAACCCCACCGUUUAGAAAACCAUGCAAGAAAUACCAUGCAUCUCAAAACCGUCAUACACAAGUAUAUAUAUAUAUAUAUAUAUCAAAACAAAUCAAUACCAAAUGCCAAGUCCAAAAUUCAUAAAGAACACUUUACAAAACCCACCAUCCAAAAACUUAUAAAUCCCGCAACCAAACUCUCGAAAGCGUACCCAUUGGCACGACCGGCAAGGAAGUAUCCACACCGAGAAACAAGAAUGAAUGAAUAGAUAUAUAAUUAUAUAAUAUAAGAGAUAUAUGUAUAUAUAGUAUAAAUAUAACCAUCACCUAGUUGUACCGGGGAAACAAUCCAACCGGGGGAUUGUUUGACUAGUCACCCUGGCAGAGUCCUCGUGAUGAGUCCUCAAUCCACCAUGUGACUAGGGAACGAGCCGUUUAACUGAGGGACCAACUCUCAGCCAGAACGUACAGUCGAUAACCUCAAAACCCGUACGUCUGUGAACAGUCCUACGCGUGCAGACUACCCAAUUAAGGGUCUACAGCAACAUCCCGUCAAGGAUGCCCCGGGUCCCGACAAUUCCAAGUAUCUCAAGUCUCCGUAUCCAAGUUCCACAUCCGGGGAGGUACAUAGGGUAGUGCUUACCGCACACCAAACUGACAUUCUAUACUCACCACUUUCCACAAUCUCAUCUCAACAACCCAAGUACCUCACACAUAACCAAAUAUAUAUAUAUAAAUCCCCAAAAUCCAUAUAUUCAUACUCAAGAUACUCAAAUACGUCAAAACCCAAAAUAUAUUUUCAGUGCCUCAUAAAAAUAUCACUUUCAACAAUUUCAUAAAUAAUAUAUUCAAAAUACCAUUUAAAACAUCAUGCAUAAUAUUUCCCAAAAUCCAUAUAUAAAAUAUACUUUCAAUACCCAAUUAUACCAAACCCACAAUAUUUUACCAAAGCGCUUAUAAAAACAUCAAGCUCAACUCAUGAAUAUAAUAUAUUCAAUAAAUCAUUAAAAACAUUAUGCACAAAUGUUUCAUCAAUAAAACCAUGCAUAAGAUUUGAAAACAAGAUCCACUCACAAGUAGUCCCACGCUGCUUGACCCUGAGAGGGUCCCGCCUGCUGCGUAUGCGUGGUCGGAGUACCUCACCCGUCUGAAAUAGUGAUCGGAGGAGAGAGAACGGGCGACUGGAAGUUCAGACGAGAAUCGGCCUGAAAUCUGUGUUUUUCGGCGACGAGGAGGCGGCUGGCGGCUGGAGAUGGGUCGGGGAACGUCGGCGAGGUCUGGCCGGUUGUUUUGGGUCCGGUCUCGGGGCUGGCCGUGGCCUGUGGCGGCGGCUCCGCGUCUGCAAAUCGGAGAAGGAGGAAGAGGGACGCGGGAGAGAGAGAGAAUCGGGAGAAAGAGAGAGAAAGAGAGAUAAAACUGAAAAAUCUGAUUUUUACUCUAUCCCUUUUCGAAAUAUUUACAAGUUUGCCACUGACACUAUUUUGCCCGUAACUUUUUCGUUACAACUCCGAUUCAAGCCUACCGCGUGUCUACGAAUUCGUCUCAGUACCACCUACCCAGAAAUACCAGUUACUGCCCCAAACACUUUUUGGGCAAGAAAAUGACCAAUUUACCCCUACCCUGAGGGUAAAUUCGUAAAUUCACUUAAAUAAUUUAAAAUAGGAAUUAAAUUUAGAGUCGGGGUGUUGCAAUAUGGGCUGGUGCUGGGUCUGUAUGACGGCUGUUGCUGCGGAAGCGAUUAGGGUUAGGGCAAGAGACAGUCAAGAUUGACUGCUCUGAUACCAUAUCAGAUUGGUCAAAAAAUAAUACUUCAUUUAUCUUAAUAUAUAACAAAUAGGAAGGUUAUAUAUACAGAGCCUAGAAAACUAUUCUAGGAAAGUAAUUAUGUUCCUAUAAUCUUGCAUAAUUAAAUAGUUGACUUACACUAAUUAGGAAUGUACAGCUCAUUGACAUGUUCAGGCUCUACUUCAAGGGUUUGGUGAGCGACGCAAUGGUUGGAAAUGAGAGAAUGGUGCUGGCUGGGGUUGGGGUUGCUCUAUGCGACUCCAGGGAUAAUUUGGUGUUCGAGGUUUGGAAACCCCUGAUUGGGAAUGGGAUGAGCAAGAAUGGUGCCCUGUUGAAAGCCUUGAUUGAAGGACUUAAUGCUGCUCUUGCUCUGGACUUGAAGCGCAUCACCUUUUUCUGUGAGAAUUUUCCCAUUUUUUUAGUUUGUGAGUUGCUAUCUCUUCUCUGUCUCGUUUCAGUCUAUUGAUGAAAAUUAAUUAGGCUAAUUGUGGGUUUUGCAUUUUAAUAUAACGACAUAUAUGGUUAUGGACGCUGUGGUUUACACUGACCAUGAAAGAGACUCUUGUGAAAGAGGUCUAAAGGAAUGGAACUUAUUAUUAUAUUAGUGUAUACGAUGUUGUAGGUUUUGUUAAUUAAUAUUUUUUUUCUUGGAACAAUAAUGAACUUUCAAUUUUCAGAUAUACUUCAUGAAAUUUGAUAGGGCAAAUCGUAUAUCAUCCAUUGUGGACAAAGAGAUGCAUUCGCUUUGAGAAAUUUUACUUGUGUCUUCUCAACAUUUGCUAAAUUAGUUUGCUAUCUUGUAUUUAAAUUGACCAUUAGAGAAAGUCUUGUGAACAAGGUCUAAAAUAAUGGAGUUUAUUAUGACAUUUAUGUGUGCAAUGUUGUAGUAUUUGUGUUGAAACCAAGAAUAUUGGAUGUACUAGUCACUGUGCUACGGUCUAUUUACACCCAUGAAUAGAGCUUGUUGAAUUUCUGACAUUAUAUUUUAUGUAUGAAGGUUAAUGGUAAAUGGCAAGCAAAGAACUACCCAAGAGCAAGAGAACUCAAAAUUGGACUUUCGAAAACUGCAUUGCAGUUCAGAAAUUGCAUUGCAGUUUUUAUUUAAUUACAAUUGAAUUUUUGCUCUUUCUUUGGUCUUCAACCUCACGAAUUUGAAGAGUAGAGGCUACCCAAAUGAGGAAUUGGGGAAAGAGAAAAGUAGAACUACCCAAGAGCAAGAUAACUCAAAAUUAGACUUUUGGAAACUGCAUUGUGGAUUUAGAAACUGCAUUGCAGUUUUAGAAACAGCAUUACAGUUUUCUUUUAAUUACAAUUUGAUUUUUAUUCUUUUCUUGGCCUUCAACCUCAUCAAUUUGAAGAGUAGAGGCUACCCAAAUGAGGAAUUGAGUGGGCAAGAGAAGAUUAGAACUACCCAAGAGCAAGGGAACUCAAAAUUGGUCUUUUGGAAACUGCAUUGCAGUUUUCAUUUAAUUACAAUUUGAUUUUUUGUUCUUUCCUUGGCCUUCAACCUCACCAAUUUAAUUACAAUUUGAUUUGUGUUCUUUCCUUGUUUUUUUUAAACAUAAUUGAUAUCUACCUUGUAUUUUUAUUGCAGUUUCUGUUUUUAUUUUCAGUUUUUGUGUGAAUAUGUGUUGAAAUGAUUUUUUUUUUUUUUUUUAAACUGUUGAUUGUUGUUAUAAAUAUUGUAUAACUGAAUAAAUAUUACAAAAUCAAGUUUGGUGUAGUGGUUUGUGAGUGAGCCUUCCUCCUUUGAGGGUCAAGGUUCAAGUCCCUUCAAUGACACAAAAUAUUUUUUUUAAAGGUGAAUAAAGGGCAAUGGAGUUGGUCCCCUACAGACGGUGGCAGGUGGUGGCCCGCAACGGUGGCUUGCAGCGGGAGUCCGGUGGUGGUGGCCGGCGAAGGGUGGCUGGAGGCGGGAGUCCGGUGGUGGGAGCCCGGCGGUGGUGGCCAACGAAGGGUUGCCGGAGGCGGUAGUCUGACGGUGGCCUAAGGCGGUGACGGCUGCGGUGGCCGGCGGUGGUGGCUAUAUAUGGACAUGUGGCAUAGUAUGCUUGCCUUAGAAGGAGUGGCAUUGUGUGCAAUUGCAAUUUUUUUUAAGGGAGCUUUAGGUGAUAUAUUGGGUGCAACCGAGUUGCAAGGCCAAGGACCAUUGAAUUACAAAAAUAAAGAUUUGACGGCGGCAACAAAAAACUUCAGUGAAGAAAAAAAACUUGGAGGAGGAGGAUUCGAGGGCAUCUACAGGGUAAAUUAUGUGCUAAAGAGCUCUAAAAUAAUUUAUGUCAGUUCAGUUUAGCACGGUCGAAUAUGGUGUACUCUUUUUUUACAUAAAUAAAGUUUUAAAAAACUGGGAAAAUUGCAUUGUCAAGCUUUUGAUUAUCCAUGCAUAAUGUUCAUUUACAAUUACAUGGUUGGUCAGGGUACUCUAAACAAUGGAAAAGUACGUAGUUGCAGUUAAAAAACUAGCAAUUCUCCAAUCUGACAGGGCAAAGGCGAAUUUCGUAAACGAGGUGAAGCUGAUAUGUAACGUUCAUCACCGGAAUCUCAUUCUUCUUGGAUGUUGUAGCAAAGGACCGUAAUUGCUUCUCAUAUAUGAAUACAUGGCAAACAACAGCCUCUACAGAUUCAUAUUUGGUAAUAAUUUUCGGCUUUUCAGCUCAGCUACCUCUAAAUGCAUGCCUCUCAACUGGAAACAACUAAAUGACAUAAUCCUGGGUACAGCGGGGUCUGGCCUAUUUACAUGAGAAGUUUCAUGAGAUGUAAAAACCAGCAAUGUUAUUUUGGAUGAUAAUUUCCAGCCACCAGAUCUGCCGGAACAUUGUAAGUUAAAGUACUUUCCCACAGGCAUAACCCCUGAUUGAGAUCUAUAUGAUCAUUACUCUUCUACAAUAUUUAUACCGAUAUUGUGUUUUGCCCUACUUAUCUUUCUAUCCGCACACAAAAAGUGUUAUGAAUCUACUACAUACAUCUUGUGUAGCUUCUCACAUUCCAGGAUCGACUCUGCCGUAGCACGAUAUUGUCCGUUUUGGGCCCCCUUCUCUGCCCUCACGGUUUUAUUUCUGAAAACUCACGAGCAACUUUUCAGUGGACCUCCUAUCCUGGGAUUGCUCUAACCCCCAACUCGCUUAACUUCGAAGUUCCCAUGACUCCGAAGCCAGUGAACUCCCAAAAAACCUCGUACUAGAUAGAAGCAGGCAUGUAUAUAUAAGGCACAUCAUCCUCUCUCCGUUGAUCGAUAUGGGAUAUUACAUAGCCGAAGAGGAGUACAUCACCAUCAUGGUGAUGCUCUAUAGUGUUUCUCUCUGUGGAAGUGUUUCUCACUUCUGUUUUAGCCUAUCUGAGCAAUGGUGCUCACGGCACCUCCUACCAAGCCUUCUUUAAAUAACCAAAGAAUUUGGUCCAACAGACACAAAACAUUAAUGCACUGAAAAAGCACAACCACCAGCAUUGGAAAAGAAGCCAGCCGCUCCUCUUUCUCAUGUCCUUGGUGCAGCACAGUGGGGCACACCUGCCCACACAUCUCCUGCUGCCAACGAAGUCCCUCUUUAUGCAUAGCUCAAGUUUGGCUUCUCAAAGAACCCAAGAGCCAAAAGUAAUAGCAAUAAUACAAAGCCUAUUCUACCUCUCUUUUUCUCUCUCUCUCUCAUGAAAAACAUCUCUCAUGAAAAACAAAUGUUAGCUUGUUUGAUGCAUUCAUUUCAUUGUUUUAAGUUUUAGAAAAGUGACACAUACCAUGAGAAAGUGAAAGAAUGUCCAAAAGAUAAAGUUAGAGAGAAAUUGCUAUCAAAGCUUUUUCACAAAGUUAGGACACACAUGCCCACCAAGUUGGAUUCCAAUUGCCUUAGGUGUAGAUCACCCAAGUGCUGGAACCCACUCCAUCUGUGUCUCCAGCCUUUUAACAAAGAUGGCAUGUGCCGUCGUUUCCCCAUUUGAAAAACCCAAGGCAUGACAAAUAAAUGAAGAAAGCUAGCAAACAAACAAUGAUAAAGUAGCCCUUACACAAUUAACAAUACAAUUUGGGCCAAUUUUCAACAGUGAAGGCAUCUUAUUACGGUGGGAUCAUUUGCAUCCUCGGAGCCUUUCUUUUUCGAAAUAAGGAUAGAUUUUAAUCAUUAAACUAGGAAUGUAAACGCUAGAUCUGAAAGCAGAUUCAAGGAUUUCCGUAAAAAUCAUAAUCAACAUUACGUAGUUACAAACAUACAAAAUCCAUCCACAAUUCGUACAGAUACAGCAGAAUUACACGGAGUUUCUGGCUAUGCUUCUUUUUCUUUUAUUCUCUUAUUCGUUUAUGGAAUUCCAUAUAUUACUUGGAAGCAGCUGACCUGGUAAAGGGUGCCUAGAAUGAUACUCGAAUAUCAAGCAAUGUCAUCAACUGAGAAAUAAGCUCUGGUUGGCCAUGCCACGCUGCUGCGGUAACCAGAUUUCCAUCAGUGACACAACGAUCUAUUGGAUCCGCUUCCACAAACGUCCCCCCUGACGAAACCACACGAGCCUUAAUCCCUGGGUAUCCAGUACAUUUCUUCCCCUGAAAUAUAGCCAAUUGAACCAAUUAUAUGACAUGCUAAAAAGUGCCUAAUCCGUUAAUAAGUACAUUAACCACUAAUCAAAAGAAACAGAAAAAAUAUCAUCUCCUUUGCGAUUUUAAAGAGUACUCACCUCCCUCUUCCCCAUAGUUAUUUACAAUUGAGAGGUUAAUAGGUCACAGCAGAUCAGCUCAACAGAACCAAAAUACAAAGCACUACCACUAACUAUGUUUUUUUCUUUAAGAACCAUACCUGCAGAACACCAGCAGCAACUAAAAUUUCCAGGCCAUGGCAGAUGGAUGCAACUGGUUUCCUGGCUUCCAUAAAUUUUUUCACUAGUACAAUAACAUCCUCCUUUAGUGCCAAAAACUCUGGAGCUUUACCUCCAGGGAGUACAAGAGCGUCAUAACUUGAGGCAUCUAUGGAUUCAAAGUCAGCUGUUAAAACAAAAUUAUGUCCCCGGAUCUCACUGUAGGUUUGGCCCCCUUCAAGAUCACGGAUAGCAGUUGGGCAGGUAUCACCGGCUUUCUUCUUGGGGCAAACCACAUCAACAUGGCAUCCUAGAACUUUGAGGGUCUGAUAAGGCACAGUUACCUCAUAAUCUUCCGCGUAGUUCUACAAAUAUUGGGAAGGGGAGCAAUUAAAUGAUGAUGAUUAGUAACUAACAGUUUAAUCAUUGGCUAUAUUUUGUCCCAUAUUUGUCAUUGCAAUAUAAAAGAAACAGAAAAGAAAGCUUACUCCAAUGAUGAUGAGGACCCUUCUCUCUGAAGCACAUAUUUUGCCUCCCAGUGCCUUGAGAAAAAGCCCAAUGAACUCAGGAUUGCCAUAAUAUGUGACCCCAGUAAUUAAAUUAUCAUCAGCAACACACACUGACAAUGUAUCGGGUUCUACCCAGUGAGCACCAGCAGCAACCAAUCCAGGUUUCAUAGUUGAAACCGCUGUGCACUUGCGACCUUUAACAGCGGCUGCAGCUGCUAAGACCAACUGCCCAUGGCAAAUAGCAGCAAUUGGCUUUCUGGAGUCGGAAAAUUUUCUCACCAAUUCUACAACCGAUGCAUUCAUAGCAAGAUGUUCAGGAGAUCGUCCUCCUGGUAUAACUAGACCAUCAUAUUCCUCAAAUUCAAUCUCAUCAAAUGUUGCAUUCAGUGUGAAAUUGUGACCACGAGAUUCGCUAUUAGCCUGUAACCAAAAAGGUACAGAAAACCAAACACAACACACACAUCAAAACAAGAGUAAGGGUUAGGUGAAUUCAAGCUUCUUUCUUUGUCCUGAUCAGAGGAGGUUCAAAAUAAAUUAAUUAACAGGAAAGACAGGGUGUCACCUCAUCAGUGGUCUCUACUUGAAUGGUUAUGGCAGUGGCGCAGAUAUCACCAGCUUUCUUGCCAGGAGAAACUGCAUCAACAGCGACUCCAAAUGCCUGCAGUGCUUGAAAUGGGACCAUUGCCUCGUAAUCUUCCAUGUAGUCCCCGCACAGUAACAACACCCUCCUCCUCCGCUCCUCGCCUUUUGGAUUCCCCAUUUCUUUUCUUAUUUCCUUCUUUAGUUUCUUGCUUUUACUCUCUUCUUUUUCACAGAGAGAGAGAGAGACAGAGAGAGAGAAAGAGACUGAAAGUUUGAGAGUCUGAAGACAAGGUAGGUGAUAGCUAGCGCUGCUCUGCUUUGCUUGCUUAAUAGUAAUAUAUUAAUACUCACGAAAGCGUUUCUGGAGGUUUCUGGAGUCAGCUAGACACGUCGCACUCAAUUUGAGCGACACGUCGCACUCAAUUAUUGUAGCAUCUCCCUAUUCCUCUCUUCGUUUCUGGAGGUUUCGCGCCAUUACCAACAAUAUCCAAGUUUGAUUAUUUGAGGAAGUGACAAGUCUAAAUUAUUUGAGGAAAGAUUCACCAACACCGACCAAGUGAUAAGUCUAAAUUAUUUAAGGAAAGAUUCAACCUGAGUGCAAAGUCAAUGCUUCCAAGCUAAUGUCCCGAAAGAGAGAUGGAUAAUGUAAUGUUCAUCUCUAACAGGUCCUAAAAUCAUAGAGUUUGAUAUCUUGCUUCUCCCAAAAAGACGGUUGAUUUCGUUUUGAGUAGCGCUCGCGUUGAUUUUAUCUUGACUGCCAGAUUUUUCACCAGAGCAGCAAAGCUGCUUGCUUUCUGUUAUGAGGUCUGGUUUUGUCAACAAACUAUAUUGCUUGACCCAAAAGAAAAUGCAAUAUCAUGUCAAUCCUCAUUUUGCAGUUGCAAGAGGACGGUUGUGAAAAUACAAGCUAACUCUGGACAACAUGAUAUUCAUUCAGGUAAACCUUCAAGGUGUACGGUGAGAGAGAUUGCGACCAAAAAUCACUGUGUCCUGCUAAAGCAUAAGUAGUAUAAUACAAGCUUCAUCCACAACCAAACUUGCAAGGAACAUGGCAUAUACAUAUCAAAACCAUGUCACUUAUUCCCUCAUAUAUACAAACGUCACCUUAACAUAACACAACAUACAUGCCUUAUUCUUUCAUGAAUUACAUAUAGUACAUGCAAGCAGCAGACCCAGUAAACAGCAACUAGAAUGAUACUCGAAUAUCAAGCAAUGUCAUCAACUGAGAAAUGAACUCUGGGUGGCCCAGCCACGCUGCUCCAGUAACCAAAUUUCCAUCCGUGAAGCAACGAAAUAUUGGAUCAGGUUCCAGCCAUGUUGCUCCUGACAAAACCACAUUAAGCUUCACUGCUGGAUACGCAGUACAUUUCUUUCCCUAAAAUUUAGCCAGUUAACAACAAUUAGGACAUGAUUAAAAAAAGUUCAUAAUGUGAAAAUAUGUAAAUCAACCCUCAAUCAGAAGAAUCAGCAAAAGGCAAACAGAUUACAACUUCAAGUGGGUUUCUUUUUUACCUUGUCGUAAAAUACUCACUCAGUAAAUCAACCCUCUUACAAAAUUGAUGAUACUCCCAACUCCUCCUAACACCUUCUGAAAAACUGAAACUGCCUAGCUCAGCCAAGCCUUUUGGUUUUCCUUACUAGGUAAUUUCUUGUUUUAUCCCAUUCUUAAACCAUUCCAUCUAGCAUAGAUUUUUACUGCUUCAUAUAUUCCUUCAGAGAAUUUUGCAUUACAGUACACACCUUCCGACUUUUAUAUUACAGCACAAAUGUUCAUGCACCAACUGGCAAGCUUGCUCAUCAACACCCACAACAGAACAAACAUCUAAAUUUACAAUCAACUACAUAGAUAGUGAGUAAAAGAACAAAUAAAUCCACAGAUUAUUUGUAUUGUCUUUUUGGUUAAACAUGUUUAACUUCCCACACAAAAAAUUAAUUUUACUCUAGCAUUUUAGUUGAUGUUAAAAAGCGUAAGAAGUUAAAAUUUUAUGUAAUCUACAUUAUAUCUACCACGGAAAUGCUAUAAUGAGGGGUUGUGGGUGAGGGGUUCAAUACCACUAUCCAAUAAUAUAAAGGAAAUUUUGAACUUGAAACUUUUUUAAUGGUUGGAUGGUUGGAUUGAACCCCUCACUCAAACCCCCCACGCAGAUCCCUCUCAUUGUAGCAUCUCCCAUAUCUACCAUAUCAUGCUUGGACUUUAAAAUUCCAAAAUUUAUAAUCUCGAUUUUGUGAUAUGAUUUUGGAUUGUUGAUGAGGAUUUUGCUUCCUUGUUUGUGUGCCUAACAAAUUAACUUUAUAUUAUUGUUUCUGCAUUUUGUACAUUUCAACUCAUUUAGUUUCAGAAAUCAACUUGGACUUUAGAUUGAACUUCUGGACAGCAUGGGACUGAUCCCAACAACAUGGGACCCAUCCCUAUUAAAAGAUGAGCUAUAUAUACAAUAAAACUACACUGCCACAUAAACAGGGAUUACAGCUUCACUUCGUUUCAGUUGAACCACAUGGAAUUAUAGAAAGUCAGCAAUAUUUUUAACAAUAUCAAUACUAUGUUUGACGACGCAACGAAUUGAAACAAUAUGAAAAUAGUCGGAUGUGAUUGAGAAACUUAAAGAAUAUGGACCAAAUUGAAAUUCAGAUCAAAUUUCUGGAAACAAAAGAGUAGCCUGGCUGAAAGGGAGUAACCUUACCUGUAGAACACCAGCAGCAGCUAAAAUCUGCUGACCGUGGCAGAUGGAUGCAAUUGGUUUCCUGGCUUCCACAAUUUGCUUCACUAAUGCAAUAACAUUCUCAUCCAAUGCCAAAUAUUAUGGGGCUCGACCUCCAGGGAUUACAAGAGCAUCAUAACUUGAGACAUCUAGAGCUUCAAAGUCAGCUGUUAAAGUGAAAUUAUGGCCCGGCUUCUCACUGUAGGUUUGGUCACCUUCAAAAUCAUGGACAGCAGUUGCACAGAUUUCACCAGCUUUCUUCUUGGGACAAACUGAAUCAGCAUGGCAUCCUAGAGCUUGAAGAGACUGAAAAGGCACAAUUACCUCAUAAUCUUCCAUGAAGUCCUACAAAUGUUGAGGGAGAGAAAGUGAAUGAUGCUUAGUAACUGUGAGAAGUAUAAAAUUUUGAUCAUUGACUAGAAUAAUACGUAGAUAACAAUUAGUUCAUAAACAAAAGACACGCAGCUUUAACGUUCUUGUCAAGGGGUUUACUAGAUUUACAGUGGAUUAAAACACGUAGCCAAACUUGAUUUAUGGACCAUCUUAUCACUAUUGAUAUUGACAAGUAAAAUAAUAUUUUGAAUUUGGUGGGCUUUAAAGGUUUGUCAAGUAGCCAAUCUUGAUUUAUGGACCAUCUUAUCACUGUUAAAUAACCAGCUUACAAAACGUGGUGGGCUUCAAGGUUUGUCAAGUUGUAUAACUUUUGGCAUUGCAGGUAGAGAAGUUUAGGUAUGCUUCAAAGGAUUUGGUUUUAAAGAGAAAACAAACAACUGGUUUCAAGAAAUAGGUUCUUAUGAAAUCUGACAGCAACUAAUUUAUGAGUCUAAGGCAGUAGUAGCAUUUCGAAUUUGGAGACCUAAUUGGCUUGGGUAUUGGAGGUAUUCAGUUUUGGGGGAAGGGGGAAAUUGAAAUUCUUCAGUAGUCAACUUUCCGGAAAAUUAAAGUAAAGGAGUCUUUUAAAAUUCAUAAAGGAUGUAGUUGUCUAUGUAUCAUGUUUAGAAUCCAUAAUUCAAACAACUUGAAAAAUGACCAGUAUUCAUGUUUGGAUUUACUUUCACAAGUUCACAACUUACACAAAUGACCUAACAAACAAGUAUUCCAAUGGGCAACGGACCCAGGUAGGCAGACCAAUGAAGCAUACCACCAAAACCUUGAAAAAACACACAUAGGAAUGAAUGAAUGAACCCUAUCACACCAGAAAUGUGGCAAAUCUGGUAAAGCCUAUUCAGGUUACUUUCACUAUCUUUCAGAAGUAUCUGUAAAAGGGCAAAUCUCCAUCAAUUCUCUACAGUUUAUCUUUAUGCCCAUUCAUGCAUGUAUAUAUUAUACGAAGAAGUUUUUGACAUAUGGGCAUGUAUUGUGUGUCAAAUGUAUACGCUUCAUGAAGACAGGUUCAAGAGCACAUACACCAUUUUCACCUUAUUCAUUCAUUUUUGUUUAUUCUGGGUUACUGCAAUUUGAAUCAUAAUGCACAUUAACUUCAGCAGAAUAUUUUGCCAUGAACAAUGCACAUUAAAAAAAAAAAAAUACUGGACAGUGAUAAUCACGAUAAUAUAUAUACUCAAUAUUGAUCGGCAUCACAAUUUCAUAUUUCUCAUUGCACUACGAAGGAAAAUAAAACUUACCCCACAGAGAAACAGGAUCCUCCUAUCUGAACCAGUUAUGUUACCUCCUAGUGCCUUCACAAAAAGCCUAAUGAACUCAGGAUGGCCUUCAUAUGUAGCCCCAGUAAUUAUAUUACCAUCAACAACACACGCCAACAUGGUCUCGGGUUCCACCCAAUAAGCACCUGCAGCAACAAGUACAGGUCUGACAGCUGGGAAGGCCGUACACUUCCUACCUUUAACCGAGCCUGCAGCUGCUAGGACAAGUUGCCCAUGGCAAAUCGAAGCAAUUGGCUUUCCGGAAUCAGAAAACUUUCUCACCAAUUCUAAAACCGAUGCAUCCAAAGCAAGAUAUUCAGGUGCCCGUCCUCCUGGUAUUAUUAAUCCAUCAUAUUUGUUAAAUUCAAUGUCAUCAAAUGUUGCAUUCAGUGCGAAAUUGUGACCACGUGAUUCAGAAUAAGUCUGCAACCAAAGAAAAAAAAUACAGAAAACCAAAAAACAUAUUAAAACAAAGGGGGACCAGAAAGACAUAUAUAUAGCAUUUGAAGAUUUGUAAAUUAACCACAGAUCACGAUUCAGCAAACCUAGGUAGCGCAUUAUCAGAGUAUUUUCACUUAGAGACGAGGGCACUAAUGCAAUUUUGUUUAUUGAAUAUGGUGUACGCGGUGACGUUGGAGCCAAAAAUUUGUUCACGCUGUCUUGUCCCCCAGAACUCAAGCUCAAUACAGGUCGGUUCUCUAGCUAGCUCAUAAUGAAUGAGCAAGCACUCUAACAGAACUCCUAACAUGUGUUCUUGUUUGAGCUUACUUUAGUCUCGCUGUCCACACAACCCAGAACUAUAACCUACGGAUUGCUAUUUGUCAAUCUAAUAGAGUGGCUCUAAUCAACAAUAAAGCUUAUUCAUUUUGUCUUUAAUUAAGGCUACCAACGAUUGGCUGAUGCAAAAAACUAAACUUGAAAGCGUGAUGUUCGUUCGUAAACUUGACAAACUAAUUUCCAGUCCCAACAGAUUCCAAAUUUUAGAGGAGGCAACAUAAUCCCAUAUGUGAGAAUUGUAAGCACUUCAAUCUUUGAGACAAAUUUCUUGUUUUGGGUUUACAAAUUCAAGUGAAGUAAGCAUUCAGUCUUCAAUAUAAUUGAGUGUGCUUAAUGAGGCUAAAGAAAACGUUUUUCAUUAAAAAUAAACAAAGGAAAAGGCAAAAGAAGCAGAGGUGGGUAACCUGGUGAGCAGGAGAAAGUUGAUGAAUGGCUGUGCGGCAGAUAUCACCAGCUUUCUUGCCAGGACAGACAGCAUCAACGGACACUCCAUAUGCCUGCAGUGCUUGAAAUGGAACCAUCGCCUCGUAGUCUUCCACGUAGUCCCCCAAUACCAACAACACCCUGCGUUCGCCUUUCGCCAUUUUCUUGUGUUUAAUUUCUUGGAAUUUCAGAGAGAGAGAGAGAGAGAGAGGAAGGGGUGACAGAGAAUUUCGGCGGACUAAACUCUCGGAUAAAGAAACAGAAUCUCAUGGCUUUCGGCUCUACUCAAUAAAUAGAAUAUGUUGAGAGUAUAGCCGAGCGGCUAUACGUGGCUAUAUACUGUAUAAGUAAAAUAUGUUAAUAGUAGAAUAACAGUACAGCCGAGCGGCUAUAUUAUGUAAAUAGAUUAUUCUACACGUAUGGGCGCCGGGCUGUACUAUAUAAAUAGGAUAUAUGUAACAGUAUAGCCGGGCUGCUAUACUAUAUGAAUAGAAUAUCUAAACGUAUAGCCGCCCGGCUAUACGCUAUAAAUGGAAUAUUUUAAAACUUAUAGCCGAUCGACUAUACUAUAUACAUAGAAUAUUUUAAACCGUACCACGGUCCCGGCCACCACCCUCUACCUAGAUCCAUCAUCGCAAUCACCAUCUUCUUCGUCAUUGUCAUCAUCGUCGUAAAAUUCCGAAGACUUAUCGUCUGAUCCCAAAACUGGAUGAAAUUUCAAAGAGUUGUGGGAGAAAUUCAUAGCUGGGUUUGUUGUUGUUGUUUUGCUGAUAGUAAAACUCGAGUCUCCAAAUUGGCUGUGGCCUCCUAUUUUCCCUUCCAUUACACCGUGUCUCAAGUUUUUCACCAUUGAUGAUCGUUCUUGCUUUUUUCUUUCACUUACCACACCCUUCUCUUUUCUUUCCAUAUCUCUCUCUCUCUCUGAAUUUCUAAACGCACACAGACCGUAAUACAAUAAAGUAACAGCAAUAAUACAACGCCUAUUCUACCUCUCUCUCUCUCUCUCUCUCUCUCUCUCUCUCAUGAAAAACAAAUGUUAGUUUGUUUGAUGCAUUAAUUGCAUUGUUUUAAGUUUUAGAAAAGUGACACAUAUCAUGAGAAAAAGAGAGAAUGUCCAAAAGAGAAAGUUAGAGAAAAAAUUGCUAUCAAAGCUUUUUCACAAAGUUAGACACACACGCCCACCAAGUUGGAUUGCAAUUGCUUUAGGUGUAGAUCACUCUAAUGCUGGAACCCACUCCAUGUGUGUAUCCAGCCUUUUAGAGCAUCUCCACCUAUAAGGGCUAAGGCAAGGGCAAGUAAGGGCUGCCACUAUUCAUGUGAAUAGUGGCAGCCUUGCCUUUUUUGGUUCCACCCCAAAAGGCUAUGGCAAGGGCAAGAAAAAAAAAAAAGGAUAUGCAACAAAAUAUAAAUUUGUUAUGUAUUUUAUAGGGAAAGUGAAUAAAAUUGUUAUGUAUUUAUAGGGAAAACAUCCAUAAUUUUUUGGUAUUUUUUUAAAAAAAAUUUUGAUUUUGAUUUUUUCAUUUUUUUCAAUUUUUUUGACUCGCUGACGUCAGCGUGACAUCACCACUGACAUCAGCGCCCUAGGGCUGAAGCCCAGGCAAAAUCUGCCCUUGGGCUUGCCCAGGCUGGUGGACCCAGGGCUUGCCCGGGCUGCAGGUCGUGCGCUGGAGGGUCUUUUGGGCUGGCAGUGGGCCUUUUGCCCAGGUCGUGCGCUGGAGGGUCUAUAUGAUCAUUACUCUUCUACAAUAUUUAUACCGGUAUUCUGUUUUGCUCUACUUACCGUUCUAUCCGCACACAAAAAUUGUUAUGAAUCUACUACAUACAUCUUGUGUAGCCGAAGAGGACUAGUAUAUCUCCACCACCAUGGUGAUGCUCUCUAGUGUUUCUCUCUAUGGUGAAGUGUCUCUCACUUCUGUUUUAGCCUAUCUGGGCAAUGGUGCUCACGGCACCUCCUACUAAGCCUUCUUUAAAUAACCAAAGAAUUUGGUCCAGCAGCUGCAUGCAUGAAAAAACCGUGCAAGUUGUCUGAGCACCUUCAAAGUCCUCCACAAGACACAGAACAUUAAUGCACCGAAAAAGCACAACCACCAGCAUUCGCAAAGAAGCCAGCCGCUCCUCUUUCUCAUGUCCUUGGUGCAGCACAGUGGGGCACACCUGCACACACAUCUCCUGCUGUCAACCGAAGUCCCUCUUUAUGCAUAGCCCAAGUUGGCUUCUCAAAGAACCCAAGCCAAAAGUAAUAGCAAUAAUACAAAGCCUACUCUCUCUCUCUCUCUCUCUCUCACGGGUACACAGACCAACAAUGUGGCCAAUAAACGAAGGAAAAUGCUGGCAACCUUAUCUCCGACCUUAUUUUUGGACAUUUUCCCUUUUCCUCAUGACAUAUGUCACAUCCCAUACACUUGUAAACAAUGACAUUAAUACAUUAAACAAACUACCUUUUGUUUUCGAAGUUUACCCUUAUUAAAUGUAUUGUCUUUCAAUUUAUCCAAAUUUUUUUACAACUCUCUUACUAUAUUUAAAAAAUUAAAAAAAUUCAGUUAAAAAAAAAAAAAACAUGUCUAUUUUUUUAGAUUGGAAAACGUUUUUUUUUUUUUUAACACAAGAAUGACCUCAAAAAAAAAAAAUCAACGAAAGAAAGAUUGUUUUUUUAUACGGACAAAAGACAUCCUUCUAAAGAAGUCUGUAGUCAAAGGAAGUUCAUUGAUUGGAUUUUCAAACCAUUAAUUCGGUAAGUUUGAUUAUUGAUUUUUUUUUCAAGACCAUUAAUUAGGUAAGUCUUAUUUGGAGUCUUUCAGAAAAGGAAAAAAAAAACAAACGUUUUUUCUUAUUUAAUUUUUUAAGUCUUAUUUGAAUGUCUCCUUAUUCCCUUUGGAGUCUUAAAAAAAAGACUUUUUCUCAAUUAAUUUUUGAACAAGGCGAUAAGAAAAUUGUAAAAAAUUUAGAUAAGAAAUUUAAAGAAAUAUUAAAAUCAAUACGUUUAAUAAGGGCUGAUUUGAAAAACAAAUGUUAGCUUGUUUGAUGCAUUAAUUGCAUUGUUUUAAGUUUUAAAAAAGUGACACAUAUCAUGAGAAAGAGAGAGAAUGUCCAAAAGAGAAGGUUAGAGAAAAAGUAGCUAUCAAAGCUUUUUCACAAAGUUAGACACACACGCCCACCAAGUUGGAUUCCAAUUGCUUUAGGUGUAGAUCACUCUAGUGCUGGAACCCACUCCAUGUGUGUCUCCAGCCUUUUAACAAAGAUGGCACGUGCCGUCAUUUCCCCAUUUGAAAACCCACGGUAUGACAAAUGAAGAAAGCUAGCAAACAAACAAGGAUAAAGUAGCCUUUACACAAUUAACAAUACAAUUUGGGCCAAUUUUCAACAGUGAAGGCAUCUUAUUGCAUUCUCCGGAGCCUUUCUUUUUCGAAAUAAGGAUAGAUUUUAAUUUAAACGCUAGAUCUGAAAGCAGAUUCAAUGAUUUCCAUAAAAAUCAUAAUCAACAUUACGUAGUUACAAACAUACAAGAUCCAUCCACAAUUGGUACAUAUAGAGCAGAAUCCGAGCAUCAUUGUUCCCUCACAGAUACACACAACACCUUCACAUAUGCUCUUAUUCUUUUAUUGAAUUACACGGAGUUUCUGGCUAUGCUUCUUUUUCUUUUAUUCUCUUAUUCGUUUAUGGAAUUCCAUAUAUUACUUGGAAGCAGCAGACCCGGUAAAGGGUGCCUAGAAUGAUACUCGAAUAUCAAGCAAUGUCAUCAACUGAGAAAUAAGCUCUGGUUGGCCAUGCCACGCUGCUGCGGUAACCAGAUUUCCAUCAGUGACACAACGAUCUAUUGGAUCCGCUUCCACAAACGUCCCUCCUGACGAAACCACACGAGCCUUAAUCCCUGGGUAUCCAGUACAUUUCUUCCCCUGAAAUAUAGCCAAUUGAACCAAUUAUAUGACAUGCUAAAAAGUGCCUAAUCAGUUAAUAAGUACAUUAACCACUAAUCAAAAGAAACAGAAAAAAUAUCAUCUCCUUUGCGAUUUUAAAGAGUACUCACCUCCCUCUUCCCCAUAGUUAUUUACAAUUGAGAGGUUAAUAGGUCACAACAGAUCAGCUCAACAGAACCAAAAUACAAAGCACUACCACUAACUAUGUUUUUUUCUUUAAGAACCAUACCUGCAGAACACCAGCAGCAACUAAAAUUUCCAGGCCAUGGCAGAUGGAUGCAACUGGUUUCCCGGCUUCCAUAAAUUGUUUCACUAGUACAAUAACAUCCUCCUUUAGUGCCAAAAACUCUGGAGCUUUACCUCCAGGGAGUACAAGAGCGUCAUAACUUGAGGCAUCUAUGGAUUCAAAGUCAGCUGUUAAAACAAAAUUAUGUCCCCGGAUCUCACUGUAGGUUUGGCCCCCUUCAAGAUCACGGAUAGCAGUUGGGCAGGUAUCACCGGCUUUCUUCUUGGGGCAAACCACAUCAACAUGGCAUCCUAGAACUUUGAGGGUCUGAUAAGGCACAGUUACCUCAUAAUCUUCCGCGUAGUUCUACAAAUAUUGGGGAGGGGAGCAAUUACAUGAUGAUGAUUAGUAACUAACAGUUUAAUCAUUGGCUAUAUUUUGUCCCAUAUUUGUCAUUGCAAUAUAAAAGAAACAGAAAAGAAAGCUUACUCCAAUGAUGAUGAGGACCCUUCUCUCUGAAGCACAUAUGUUGCCUCCUAGUGCCUUGAGAAAAAGCCUAAUGAACUCAGGAUUGCCAUAAUAUGUGACCCCAGUAAUUAAAUUAUCAUCAGCAACACACACUGACAAUGUAUCGGGUUCUACCCAGUGAGCACCAGCAGCAACCAAUCCAGGUUUCAUAGUUGAAACCGCGGUGCAUUUGCGACCUUUAACAGCGCCUGCAGGUGCUAAGACCAACAGCCCAUGGCAAAUAGCAGCAAUUGGCUUUCUGCAGUCAGAAAAUUUUCUCGCCAAUUCUACAACGGAUGCCUUCAUAGCAAGAUGUUCAGGAGAUCGUCCUCCUGGUAUAACUAGACCAUCAUAUUUGUCAAUUUCGAUGUCAUCAAAUGUUGCAUUCAGUGUGAAAUUGUGACCACGAGAUUCUUUAUUAGCCUGUAACCAAAAAGGUACACGAAAGAAAACCAAACACAACACACACAUUAAAACAAGAGUAAUGGUUAGGUGAAUUCAAGCUUCUUUGUCUUGCUUGUCUCUCAAACUCAAACUCAAACUCAAACUCAUCAGAGGUUGUUUUCCAACAACUGUGUUCAAUAUUAAACAUAUAAAAUAUAUUCCUCUUGUUUACAAAUAAAAAAGAACAGGAAAGACAGGAAAGACAGAGUUUGACCUGGUCAGUGGACUCUACUUGAAUGGUUAUGGCAGUGGCGCAGAUAUCACCAGCUUUCUUGACAGGAGAAACUGCAUCAACAGAGACUCCAAAUGCCUGCAGUGCUUGAAAUGGGACCAUUGCCUCGUAAUCUUCCAUGUAGUCCCCGCACAGUAACAACACCCUCCUCUGCACCUCGCCUUUCGGAUUCCCCAUUUCUUUUCUUAUUUCCUUCUUUAGUUUCUUUCUUCUUUUUCAGAGAGAGAGAGUUUUCAGAGAGAUUUUUCACACAGAGAGAGAGAGAGAGAGAGAGGGAGAGAGUCUGAAUACAAGAAGGUAGGUUAUAGUUUGAGCUGCUCCGCUUUGCUUACUUAAAUACUCACAAAAGCGUUUUUGGAGGUUUGUGGAGUCAGCUCGAUACGGUCGCACGCAACUUGAGCAACACAUCGCAGUCAGUUAUCGUGGCAUCUCUCUAUUCGCCGCUUCUUUUCAGUUCGGAUAACUAUUCUAUUAGUUUCGAGCCUAUCACCGUCUCCAUGUUUGAUACGUUUUUUUGUUGUCUUCUUUACCGACCAAGUGAGUCUAAAUUAUUGAAACUUGAGUUCGUUCUCUUCACGGACCAAGUGGGUCUAAAUUAUUGGAGGAAGAUUGAAACUUGAGUUUGUUCUCUUCACGGACCAAGUGAGUCUAAAUUAUUGGAGGAUAAUUAAAACUUGAGUGCAAAGAGGCGAAUUUAUUCCCUUAUUGUGAAUACAAGUAAUGGUCUAAAUUAUUAGAGAAGUAUUCUAACUUGAGUGCAAAGAGCACAAAUUUAAGUGCAAAUGAGUGUACUUACUGUCUUAUUACGAAUGCAAAUGAUAGUCUAAAUUAUUAGAGAAAUAUUCAAAUUAUAGUGAAAAGAAGCGUACUCACUGUCUUAUUGUGAAUAUUCGAAUAUUCGAGCUCAAUGCUUCCUUUUCGAUUGAAAAAAAGAAGCUCAAUGCUUCCAAGCUAAUGUCCCUAUACUAUACAAAAGCUCUUUAGAGUCGUCAUCAUCUUCUUCUUGCCUUCAUUGUAGCACGUGUGUGGCCUAAUAGAAAAGUUCUUUAGAGUCCUCAUCUUCCUCUUGCCUUCAUUGUAGCACGUGUGUGGCCCAAUAGAAAAGCUAAUGUCCCUAUACUAUAAGUAGGGGUGGGCAUCAAUCCGGCCGAUCCGACCAAACCGGCCGAACUAAACCGUAUUUUCCAGUUUGGUUUGGUUUUGACUUUAAAAAGUCAACAGUUUUAAAAUCCGAACCAAACAGGAGUAAUUUGGUUCAGCUGCAGUUUUAAGUUUUAAAAAACUGUGUUAAUCCGAACCGAACCGUUUAAAUAUUAAUUAAUUAUAUAUAUAUUAAUUUACAUGUGUCAAUGGUUGAGUGGCUACUUAGAAGUGUUAGUGUACACCCAGCCACAUUGAAUUGGACUCCAACCCAUCUAUUUUCAGACUCAACGCAUUCCAGAGUUGUCUUCCUUACGCAGCCUCCCUCACUCAACCACUUCAACCCUAGAAAAGCCACCAUUGAUUUGAACCACCACAACCUCCACUGCUUCAAUCAAACCCAUUCUCACAUAGCAAAAAUCUCUUUGGCGUCGCACCUCCAUCGUCAUCGGUGCACAGCCAUCGUCAUCGUCGCACGGCCAGAGUCAUCGUCGCACAGCCAUCGUCAUCCCUGCACAGCAGCGUCAUCGUCGAACACCAGCGUCAUCGUCACACACCAGCAUCAUCGUCGCACAGUUGAUUGAUGUUCGAGAAGCCCAAGAAGUGUAUGUUCUAAUAUUUAAUUUCUAAUUAUCUACAUAUUUUUCUUUUGAUGGAUGUUCUGAUUUCAAUUUCUUGGAAUGAACUUUUAGUUGUGGGUUUAUCUAUAUAUAUGAUCAUAUUAUAUUGAGAAGUUCAAAUUUGAAAGUUAGCAAUUAACUUCUGAGUCUCAAUUCCAAAUAACACAGCAGCAGAGGAUUUAAUUAAUUACCUUCCACCAUAACCUCUUUCCAUAACAACCACGCCUCCAUUGCCAAAGUUAUUCAGCCUCUCAAAUUGCUCCACUGUCCAUAACCUCAAAUUGCCUCUAUAAGGACCAUGCGGAUAAAUAAAUGUAAUGUUUAUCUCUAACAGGUCAUGCUUUUUGAGCCGUGAUAGUUUUGGAAUAGCGUUCGAGUGCAUUUUACCUGGACUGCCAUGUUGAUUUUCACCAGAGCAGCAAAGCUGCUUGCUUUGUGUUAUGAGGUCUAGUUUUGUCAACAAACUAUAUUGCUUGACCUAGAAGAAAAUGCAAUAUCAUGUGGAUCCUUAUUUCGCAGUUGCAGGAGGAUGGUUGUGAAAAUACUAGAGCUAAUUCUGGACAACAUGAUAUUUGUGGGGGCGAUUUCUUCCCACGAGAAUAUUCAAUUGAAAGAUUCCUCUUUCAUCUUCGUCGCCCCUUUCUCCUUGCAAAAUAGAUCGAAACAACAGGACCACACUCGUGAGGUGUUGGCCAAAAGCCAUGAGAUGCCCAAGUUAGUUCAAUUGAUUCGUAGAGAAAACAAUAGCUAAAUAGGGUAUAGAGAUAUAUAUGUAAGGUGUAAACCGGGUGGCCGGAGCCGUGAGUGUUGGUCGGAGCCUUGUGUAAAAGGGAGAGAGGGUAUGGCGGCUAGGGUUUGUGAGGGAUAGGCAGUGUCCCUCUUACAAAAUUGAUGACACUCCUAACUCUUCCUAACAAAUUCUGAAAAACUGAAACUGCCUAGCUCCACCAAGCCUUUUGGUUUUCCUUACUAGGUAAUUUCUUCUUUUACCCCAUUCCCGGGAACUUGUCCUCCUUGGCUCAUUGAAUGUUCGUUAUGUCUCCACCCAUACUCAGCCAAACAUUUGAUGUACUUUAAAUCUUUAGUAUUCAAUAAUACAGCAUAACUGUUGAUAUUUACAUGAAUGGUUCAUAAAACUGAAGUGGAGAAGAAACUAUCUUAAGAGUUGAGAAUGAGUUUGGGUGGCUUGAGUGAAAAAACUUUAUCCAUCAACACAAGGAGAUGGUGAAGGCAUCUUAUUAUGGUGGGAUCAUUUGCAUCCUCCGGAGCCUUUUUUUUUCAAAAUACGGCCAGAUUUUAAUCAUUAAACUAAGAAUGUAAACGCUAGAUCCGAAAGCAGAUUCAAGGAUUUCCAUAAAAAGCAUAAUCAACAUUACGUAGUUAAAAACAUACAAGAUCCAUCCACAAUUGUUACAUAUACAGCAGAAUCAGAGCAUCAUUGUUCCCUCACAGAUGCACACAUCACCUUAACAUAUGCUUUUAUUCUUUUAUUGAAUUACACGGAGUUUCUGACUAUGUUUCUUUUUCUUUUUUUACUCUUAUUCGUUUAUGGAAUAACAUAUAUUACUUGGAAGCAGCUGAACUGGUUACGUUUGCUUAAAAUGAUACUCGAAUAUCAAGCAAUGUCAUCAACUGAGAAAUAAGCUCUGGUUGGCCAUGCCACGCUGCUGCGGUAACCAGAUUUACAUCAGUGACACAACGAUCUAUUGGAUUCGCUUCCGCAAACGUCCCCCCUGACACAACCACAUGAGCCUUAAUCCCUGGGUAUCCAGUAAAUUUCUUCCCCUGAAAUAUAGCCAAUUAAACCAAUUAUGUCAUGUUAAAAAGUGCCUAAUCAAGAAAUAAGUACAUUAACCACUAAUCAAAAGAAACAGAAAAAAUAUUAUCUCGUUUGCGAUUUUAAAGAGUACUCACCUCCUUCUUCCCAAUAGUUAUUUACAAUUGAGAGGUUAAUAGGUCACAACAGAUCAGCUCAACAGAACCGAAAUACAAAGCACUAGAUGUAACCUUUUUUACUUCCUUUUCAAGUUCAAUCGAUAAAGUAUUUCAAUCUGUUUUACUUUAUCUUUAAUAAGUAGCAUUAAAACUGGAAGCAUNNNNNNNNNNNNNNNNNNNNNNNNNNNNNNNNNNNNNNNNNNNNNNNNNNNNNNNNNNNNNNNNNNNNNNNNNNNNNNNNNNNNNNNNNNNNNNNNNNNNNNNNNNNNNNNNNNNNNAGAUGGAUGCAAUUGGUUUCCUGGCUUCCAUAAAUUGUUUCGCUAGUACAAUAACAUCCUCAUUUAGUGCCAAAACCUCUGGAUCUUUUCCUCCAGGGAGUACAAGAGCGUCGUAACUUGAGGCAUCUACGGAUUCAAAGUCAGCUGUUAAAACAAAAUUUUGUCCCUGCGUUUCACUGCAGGUUUGGGCCCCUUCAAGAUCACGGAUAGCAGUUGGGCAGGGAUCACCGGCUUUCUUCUUGGGGCAAACCACAUCAACAUGGCAUCCUAGAACUUUAAGGGUCUGAUAAGGCACAGUUACCUCAUAAUCUUCCACGUAGUCCUACAAAUAUUACAAAUAUUGGGGAGGGGAGCAAUUAAAUGAUAAUGAUUAGUAUCUAACAGUUUGAUCAUUGGCUAGAAGCCUAAAACCAUGAACUUGUCGUGGCGAAACUGGUAAAGCCGACUCGGGCUUUCUCCCCUUUCUCUUUUAAUAAUAUUAAGGUUGGUUGUCACUUGAACUUGAGCAUACUAUUUUGUCCUAUAUAUGUCAUUGCAAUAUUAAAGAAAAAGAAAAGAAACCUUACUCCACAGAUGAUGAGGACCCUUCUCCCAGAACCAGAUAUGUUGCCUCCUAGUGCCUUGAGAAAAAGCCUAAUGAACUCAGGAUUGCCAUAAUACGUGACCCCAGUAACUAUAUUAUCAUCAACAACGCCCACUGACAAUGUAUCGGGUUCUACCCAGUGAGCACCAGCAGCAACCAAUCCAGGUUUUACAGUUGGAAACGCUGUGCACUUGCGACCUUUAACAGACUGCCCAUGACAAAUAGCAGCAAUUGGCUUUCUGGAGUCAGAAAAUUUUCUCACCAAUUCUACAACCGAUGCAUUCAUAGCAAGAUGUUCAGGAGAUCGUCCUCCUGGUAUAAGUAGACCAUCAUAUUCGUCAAAUUCAAUCUCAUCAAAUGUUGCAUUCAGUGUUGUUUGUGCAAAUAAUCUCACGGGAGAAUAUUCGCCCAAGAUUCCUUCGUCUUCUCCGCCUCUCUUUCUCCUUGCAAAACAGAUUGGAGUAAAAGGACCACACCCGGGGGGUGUUGGCCAAAGGCCCUCCGAUGCCUAAGUUAGGUAAGGGAAUUGAAGGAAAACCGGGUGGCCGGAGCCGUGUGUGGUGGCCGGAGCCUUGUGUGAGAGAGAGAAAGAGAGGAGGUGCCUAGGGUUUUUGAGAAAUAAUUUAUGCAGAGUUUCAGUAGGAAUUUAGACGUACCUCAUCCUUGUGUGUAACCAGGUAUUUAUAGUGGCCUUUGGAGAGGUAGGUGGGGUUGGUGUAGUUGGUGUGGUUGGUGGGGUUGGUGCAUUUAGGGAUUAUGGAUGAACCGAAUCCCUAAUUAAAUUGGGGAUCAAGUAACCCCCAAUUUGAUUAGGUAAUUCCCAAUUAGGUUAGGUAACUCCUAAUUAGGUCAAAUAAUUCCCAAAUUGAUUGGCCUAAUUAAUUGACCUAGGGUUUUGGUUUAAUUAGGUUCCCACAAAUGCCCCCCAGCUUCUGCAUGGCGCGUGGUGGCAUGUAAGAGAUGUAAAUUAUCCGUUGGGCUGUCCAGCUGUAACUGGGCUUCCUUCGUGGACAUGGGCUCCCGCGUAGAGGAGGUGUUUGACUUGCCAAUUUUAUGAACUCCCAGGUUGGAAAGAAUUUGUGAUUCCUUGUAGGUCAAGGAAUUUUCAUUCUUAUAAAUGUAGGGCUCCUCCAAUUUAUUCUUCACAUCCAAAAUCCAUUCUGAUUUUAUUAGUGAGAGAGAGUAAACUUUGGAGAAUUUUUUCCUUCUUCUUGAGCUCUUGUCUUCAUCGCACACCCAAGGUAAUUUAGACUUGAGUUAUAUAUAUAUAUAUAUAUUUUGUUCCAAUUUCCCGCAGCUUGGCUCAUGCUUCUAGCUGAUGUGGGGAGCUGAAAGGGAGGUCAGCAGGCUUGGGACUGUACAUUUUGGGCUCGAGCAUGGAGGUCCAAGGGCUAUGGGUUCUUGCUGGAGCAAACUGGCUGCAGCUGAGGCAAGGAAGGGUUAGGCCUGGCUCACGGUUGGGCUGCGCGCGGAAAGCCCAAGGCGCUGGGCUUCGAGCAAUGGCCUGAAGGCGCUGCUGGGCAGAGGCGACGGGCCACCUACGCUGGGCUUCGUCUGAUUGGGCUAAGGUGAGAGCUGGAGCUGGCCUGCGCGAUCUGGGCUGGAGACGAUGGGUCACGCGUGCUGGGCUGCGAGCUGGAGCUGGUCAUCUGGGCUGAAGGUGAUGGGCCACGCGUGCUGGGCUGCGAGCUGGAGCUAGUCAUCUGGGCCUCCGUGCUGGGUUGCGAGCUGGGCUGCCUUCUGUUUUUUUUUUUUUUUUUUUUUGGCAUUCUAACAUGUAAAAUUAUUUUAUUAUUAUUUUUUUUUUCAGCUGCUCAACGACCAUGUCUUCUGAAGGAAAGAGCCGAUCACCAAACUCAAGAGUGCCUUUGUACCUGUGGGGCGGUUCUCAAGUUCCCAAAGAGAAGUUUGUGGCCAAUUUGCACCGUGUCACCAACGAGGCCCAGUUCAAAACGUGGCGUGCCCUUUUCGACUCUGCUAUACCCAAGGAUGUACAUGUCAAGUUGGCAGAGCCCUCAUCUGACAGUAUACCUCGUGUGGACCCGAACAAUCCAGGCGCCAGGAUUAUCACGUUCCGCCCCUUCUAUUUCUCGCUGGGUUUCACGUUUCCGUUGUCGAAAUUUUUCAGGGAGGUGUUCUGCGCCAUGGAAUGUGCCCCGAGCCAGUGUACUCCGAAUGUUUAUCGGGCGGUCAUCUGCUUUGAAAAUUUGAGCCGCUUCUUCAAGUUGGAUUUGACCGUGAAGGAGUUCUUCUACUUCUUUGAGGUGAGACACUUCGAGAAAUAUGCCCAACUCCGCGCAUGCGAACCCAAGUUGUUUGAUAGUCUGAGUCAGGGCGAUCAUGUGUGGAGCAAGGAUGUGCUAGAGGUUAGUGGCAGAUGGGAAGGAGAGGUUGGCGACGGUCCGCUCGUUCCUCUCACCUACUGUGAUGGUAAGUUGCAUCCCUCUGAUCUGCUACUAUUUUCCAUGGGAUUCCUUAGUGUGUCUGACUAACUUUUGUCUUAUGCUUGCAGAUGAUGCCAUUCGAAAGAAGCUUGUUCUCGACCCGGACAUGACGAAGGUUCGACAAGCUUUGAGCAUCCCUGCUAAGUUUCGUGAAUGGCGCUGGUUGCUGAGCGAACACCGGAAGAAAGUCAGUGGCCUGCCCCCUGCUGAAGAUAUUGAAAGGUGGAAGUCGCGCUGCUUGAAACUAAGUGACUUGCCAGUUGAGCAGGAGUCAUCGACUGAGUCCCCCGAGGGUGGGAAAACGUGCAGCAGCUCUGCUCGGGAUAAAGUUGCAGUUUCCCGAUCAGUAGAUACAUCUCCACAGCGACAGCAGCCGAGAUUUUCUCUUGCCACGAACAAGUCUUCCACAAGGGAGGUCUCGCCUGCUCAGAAAGCCCAUAUGGGAAUUGUUCCUACUCCAUCUGCCGGGAUCAGCAAGAAGGCCAAUGGCAUGCAGGAGGUUCGGGAAAUUCUGCUCAAGUCCUUGCCCGUACCGCCUAAGACCCGUGAUCUGCCAUGCAAGGAAACUGCUGGGAAGCAAGGUUUGGGUCGUCCGUGCCGAUCUGGGAAUCAAGCUGAGAGGACCGUACCUCUGCCUUGCAACCAUGACUCAUCUGUGGGGCCACGAGCAGUCAAGCGCGGGGCUGACUCAAUGUUACAAGCUGCAGUCAAAAGAGCUAAAGAGUCGUCUGCUCGAGCGAAGAGUCCUCCAAUCGCGCGAACUGCUGGUCCGGGAAUUGGUGAUGGCUCUGCUGGGGGGAGCCCGUGUCUGAUCUGCUGAAAACAGGCUUUCUGUCAAGUCCGUCUGCUUGCGCUCAGCUGGCUGAUCACGUGUAUCGAGCCUGCGACCUUUGUGCUUUUUCGAACCUUCCUUUGGAUAAGCAAGAAGAAGCUGCUAUGUAUCAUCUUCAAAAAGGAAUGGUUUUUGCUGUUGGGGCCAUGCGGAACUCGCGUGAUGUUACCCCCUCUUCUGCCCUGCUUGACGAGCUGGUGAAGAAGAAUGCCGACUUGACUGGCAAGCUCUCGAGCGAGCGGAUUCGCCAUGAUGCGAUGAUUUCCGAGAUGAAGGAGAGUUUGUCCGUGCUCAAGAGUUCUGUUGGCCAAAAGGAUGGUGAACUCAAGUCUCUUGCUGCUACCCUGCUCGAACGUAAAGAAGCCUACUUCUGCCUCGAACACAAGCAUGCUGCUUUGGCCCAGGAUCGUGACAAACUGCUGGUCAAGUUUGACACCCUUGUGGAAGCCACGGAGGCAUCCAAACUGGAGAUUGCUGCUAACGCGUACAAGCUGGGAUACCUGGAUUGCCAGAAUGGUGUUUCUCCUUGCUGCUCUCUCGAAGAUGAUGAUGGUGAGCAGACUGGUCUUGACCUGCCCCCCGCUCAGAGUGAGCAGGUGGAUGUUGUGGAUGCAGAAGCAGCGGUAAUUGAGGAAGAUAAAUGCCAAGGUGGGUCAACUGAUGAGGCUAAGGCGGAUGCGAAGGAGCAGGCAGCCGAGGCGGUUGAGCCAGUUGUGCCCGUUGGGUAGAAUGAGGCUGUUGCCAGCGCAGUUGAGGAUGUGAUCGGCUGAGGGUCACCUGCUGAAGUUCCUUAGCAGUUGUAGUCCAUUUUUGCUAUUUUUGAACUUUGUUAUUUUUCUUUCAAUAAGUGGUCUUUGGUUGACCAUCUUACUUCUUGUUGAACUUGGCUGAUUGGCCGCUUUGUUAUUGAAUUUUCAAUUGUUUUUCAAACUUCAAUUCUCUUUGUAUCUUGUAAGUGUGCGUCUGGAGACAUAGCACUUGAAAGACAUAGCACUUGAAAAAAGACUCCAUUGAGUUUGUGCUCCGGGGAGCAGCUCGUCUGCAAUGGAGGUAAGGCUUGUCGCCUGUGAGCGUAUGUCGGGGACAUAGCUCUUAAAAAAGACUCCAUUGAGUUCGUGCUCCGGGGAGCAGCUCGUCUGCAAUGGAGGUAAGGCUUGUCGCCUGUGAGCAUAUGUCAGGGACAUAGCUCUUAAAAAAGACUCCAUUGAGUUCGUGCUCCGGGGAGCAGCUUGUCUGUGAUGGAGGUAAGGCUUGUCGCCUGUGAGCGUAUGUCGGGGACAUAGCUCUUAAAAAGGACUCCAUUGAGUUCGUGCUCCGGAGAGCAGCUUGUCUGCAAUGGAGGUAAGGCUUGUCGCCUUUGUGUAUAUGUUUGUGGGACAUAAAGCUCGAAAAAAGUACUUCAUUGAAAAGCUUGCUUUUGUAUUGAUGUUGAUGUGAAUACAUCGCUUUAUUGAAUAAAGGAAAUUAAUAACAUAGGUAACAUCAAAAGCAGUUUGCCUUUAAUAGAAGUAUGAGAGGCUCGUUGUCUGCUAGGAGUCGAGCUGGUAAGCGAAGAGCUUCAUGGAUAGUAUCUCCGAAGGUGGUGGGCAUUCCACUGUCUUGGAAUUUCCUUCCCUUCUAGAGUGUCGAGGGUGUAACUUCCUCUGCCCCCAGACGGCUGAUCAUGUAGGGGCCUUCCCAAUUUGGCUUCAUCUUCUUUGAUCCUUGCCUUGGUGAUGUGAUAAAAGUCUUUCUGAGCACAAGGUGCCUUUUCUCGUUCUUCUUCGAGCAGGUCAAGGUUAAUUCUCAUCUGCCUGCAGUUUUGAUCAAGACUGCCCACUUCAAUGCUCAUGGAAGGGACUGUGAUGUGUGGGGGAAUGAUUGCCUCCGUCCCAUAAGCCAAGGAAAACGGUGUUUCUCCGGUCGAUCUCCUUUUGGUUGUGCGAUAAGCCCAUAGAACUCCUGGCAGCUCGUCGACCCAUUUUCCUUCUGUGCCUUCCAGUCUUUUCUUUAGGCAGUCCAGCACGAUUUUGUUGGAUGCCUCUGCUUGACCAUUGCCUUGCGGGUAUCUGGGAGUUGACAGGUGCUGCUUGAUGCCAUACUUCGCAAAAAAUGCAGUGAUCUGCCUGCCCACGAACUGUGUACCAUUGUCAGUAACUAUCGAUUGCGGGCAACCAAAUCUGCAGAUGAUGUUCUUCCAGAUGAAACGUUCAACGUCAGCUUCCUUGGUAGAAGACAAAGCCUCGGCCUCGAUCCAUUUAGUGAAGUAAUCAGUGGCAACGAUCAUCAUCUCUUUAUUGGCAGGUGCUGUCGGCAUAGGUCCCACCAAGUCAAUGGCCCACUGCAUGAACGGCCAUGGGCUGUUCUGCGGAUGGUAUUCCUCAGCUGGCAAGCCAGGGACUGGCUUGUACCGUUGGCAUCGAUCACAUCUUCGAGCAUACUCCGUGGAAUCUUUACGCAUGGUAGGCCAGAAAUAGCCGAUGCUGAGAGCCUUCUGAGCAAGCGACCUGCCUCCAGCGUGAUUUCCACAUUCGCCGUCGUGUAUUUUGCAGAGAACCUCGAGCGUUUGCGGGUACUUGAUGCAAGUGAGAUGAGGCCCGUAGUAUGAUCUGCGGAUAAGCGUGUCGCCUUUCAUGUAAUAUCUUGCAGCCUUCUGCUUGAUUUUUCUGGCCUCGGACUUGUCUUGGGGCAAGUUUUCAUUCACUAGGUAGUCGAUGAUGGGUUCUUGCCAGCUAGGAUCCUCGUCGAUUUGCAUCAGGUCUGGUUGUUCUGCCUCUUCUAUGCUAGGCUGAUCAAGGUGCUCGACCGGGAUGGAGCGUCUGAAUUGGGUAUCCAGUGCUGAUCCUAAGCUUGCCAGUGCAUCUGCGUGUGCGUUCUCUGCUCGGGGCACCUGCUGGAUGGUGAAGGUGGAAAAUGCCUUCAACAGCUCUUGGACUUUGUCAAGGUACAAGAUCAUCCUUGGGUGCUUCGCCAUGUAUUCUCCUGAGGCUUGACUUGUGAUCAGCUGGGAAUCUGAGUAGAUGGCCAGCUUCUUGAUUGAUAGCUCCUUUGCCAGGCGCAAGCCAGCGAGCAAUGCCUCGUACUCUGCCUCGUUAUUUGAAGCUGGGAAGCCAAGUGUGAUAGCUUUCUCUAACAGGGUUCCAUCUGGAGUGACGAUGACGACACCUGCUCCAGCUCCUUUCUGGUUCGACGCUCCAUCUACGCGUAGCUGCCACAUGUCUCUGGGUUGGUCAGGUUCCGCGGAGGUCUUGUCUGCUCUCGAACUUUCCUUCUUUUUGCUGACCAGCUUCUCUUCUUCGGCUGAUGGUGUGUACUCUGCAACAAAGUCUGCUAAGGCCUGGGCUUUUAUAGCAGUCUUUGGCCGGUAGAGGAGGUCGUAUUGGCUUAGUUCUAUCGCCCACUUCAUAAGCCGCUGAGAAGCAUCAGGGCUGUGGAGGAUUGAUCUUAAAGGAAAGUCAGUCAUAACGAUGACUCGGUGAGCUUGGUAAUAAGGCCGCAGCUUUCGCGCGGAAACGACAAGGGCCAAAAUGAGCUUCUCCAAUUUUGGGUAGCGAGUCUCUGCAUCGAGGAGAGCUUUUGACGUAUAGAAUAUCGGAUGUUGGGCCCCAAGUUCUUCUCGGAUGAGAGCUGAGCUGAUGGCUGAGUCGGACACUGCCAGGUACACGAACAAGUCUUCACCAGGAACGGGCUUCGAGAGCAGGGGAGGUGAAGUAAGGUAGGUCUUUAGACUCUGGAAAGCUACUUCGCACUCCUCGUCCCACUUGUCUUUUUGCCCCUUCUUCAAAGCUUUGAAGAAUGGUCUGCACUUGUCGGUAGACUUUGAGAGGAAUCGGUUGAGAGCUGCUGCUCUGCCCGUCAGACUUUGUAUUUCUUUCACCGUGGAAGGUGACUUCAUCUCGAGGAUGCCUUUAAUUUGGCAUGGGUGUGCCUCGAUACCUCGUUGUGUGAUACACCGAACGUGCAUUUACUUGGAUUCAGCUUCAUGCGGUAUUGGCGGAGCAGGCUGAAUGCCUCGGUGAGGUUUUUGAGGUGGUCUCCACGCUUGGGGGCUUUGACCAGCAUAUCAUCCACGUAGACUUCCAUGGUUCUGCCGAUCUGCUCCUUGAAAAUCUUAUUCACGAGCCUUUGGUAUGUUGCUCCAGCGUUCUUCAACCCGAAGGGCAUGACCUUGUAGCAGUAGGUUCCUCUCUCAAUGAUGAAAGAGGUCUUCGCCUUGUCAUCGUCGUACAUCAUAAUUUGAUUAUAGCCUGAGUAGGCAUCCAUGAAGCUGAGCAGCUGGUUGCCGGAAGUUGAAUCCACGAGCUGGUCGAUCCUCGGCAAUGGGAAGUUGUCUUUAGGGCAUGCUUUGUUGAGGUCGGUAUAAUCGACGCACACUCUCCAUUUUCCCUUUUCUUGUUUUGCCACCAAAACGACGUUGGCCAGCCAUUCUGAGUAUGAGACUUCUUCAAUAAAUCCGGCUGCUAGAAGCUUGUCGAUCUCGGCUUCAAUGAUCGCGACUCGCUCGGGAGCGAAGUUACGUCUCUUCUGCACCACGGGCUUGCUGGCAGGGUUGACAUGGAGGCGGUGGCAGAUGAUGUUUGGGUCGAUGUCGGGCAUGUCAGAUGGUGACCACGCGAACAUGUCUUUGUUGUUUUGGAGGAAGGUGGUAAGCUCCACCUUCUCGUCUGGGCUUAGGCGCGAGCCGAUCCGCGCUUUCUUAUCUGGCUGGUUAGGAUCGAGGGGUACUAACUCGACGUCUUCCUCAGGCUUCCAACCCUCUUCAAGGGAGCCUUCCGGGCGGAUUCCCUCCUCUCGAUCCUUCUUGUUUGGAUUCUAGCACGAGCCGAUCUGUGCUUCUUUGUCUGGCUGGCCAAGAUCAGGGGGUACUAACUCAACGUCAUCCUCAGACUUCCAACCCUUUUCAGGGGAGUCUUCCGGGCGGAUUCCCUCGCCUUGAUCCUGGCUCAUUAAUUGCUAUUGUGAGGUAACAGCUCCCUUCUCGUUCGAGCUUGCUUGUCUGCUGGGAGCACUUCGUGCCUCGUUGGCAGCUUGCAUUACUGGUGUGAACUGCAUCUGCUUGCUCUUCUUGAGUCCGUGAGCUGUGCAUCUUCUUGCCAUGGCUUGGUCACUAUUGAUCUGCCCGAUUCCGCCUCCAGGGAUGGGGUAGCGAAUCUUCUGGUGUAGAGCAGAUGUGAUAGCCUCGAUCUUGCUGAUCCACGGUCGGCCCAGAAUUCCGUUGUACGGGGAGAUCUCGUCGAUGACCAUGAAGGUUUGUGUGCAGACUACUGGGGGCGAGUGGACGUCAAGGUCGAUCUGUCCAACAGUGAUUGAUGUGGCCCCAUUGAAGCCAGUGAGCGACCUUGCAAGUUUGCUAAUCUUGGGCUCCAAUCCCAUCUGUUGGAUGACAGAUAGUUGCAGGAUGUUGGCUGCGCUGCCCUCAUCCACAUGAACUCGCUCGAUCACAGCUUGUUCAAUCCGAAUGCACAUGACUAGGGCGUCAUUAUGCGGCAGGUCAAGCCCGAUCAAGUCUUUCUUCUGGAAACCAAUGAUGGGUGUAUCCACGAUAACUGGUACUCCUGUUGUGACUUGGGAGACAUAAGUCGCCUGCGCGAUCUUCCUCUUGCGCUCCUUGGUGGUCAACCCGGACUCCUGAGAGUCAGCUAGAAUGGUGUUGAUUCGAAUGACCUUUUGGGGAGGUUCCUUGGCAGCCGCAUCACGAUCCUCGAUCUGUUGGAUGGCCUUCUUUGCGACGAAUUCUGUGCAAUGACCUUCUCUGACCAGCUCCUCCAGAUGCCUUUUCCAAGCAUUGCAAUUGUUGGUGUAAUGACCGUGCUCCCCGUGGAAUGCGCAGUAUUUACUGGUGUCCCUCUUAGAGGGGUCUCCUUUCAUGGGUGGCGGUCUCCUCACCCACGGCUUGUCCUUCACUUGAGCCAGGAUCUGAUGAAUUGGGAUAGCGAACUCAGUAAAGGUCCCAAUUUCUGAGCUUCCCUCUCGGGGCCGCGAUCUGCGCUUAUCUCGGGCUUUUUGCUCGAACUGAUUGCUCUUUUGGCUUGCCUGCUUCGUCGGGUGUUCAACUUGCUUGCUAGCUUUCUUUGCGGCGAUUCGAUCAUCGUCCCAAAGUGCGUAGCGUUCUGCCGUCGCGAACACUUCUGCCAAGGUUUGACUUGGUGUUAUGGCCAGUUCCCGGUAUAGCUCGUGCUCGGUUGGCAAGCCCUUCUUGAAGGCUGAGGAUGCAACUUGGUCAUUGCAUCCUAUGAUGUUAGCCUUUUCAGCCUUAAACCGUCUCAGGUAGUCUCGUAGAGACUCGUCUGGCUUCUUGCGCAGGUUGAACAGAUGGUCCGCAUGCUUUCUGACCGUCUUGUAGGAGGUGUACUCCUUUGUGAAGAUGAAGGCCAACUCCUUGAAGUUUCCUAUCGACGCGGACGGUAGAGUGUGGAACCAGUCUUGAGCUGCUCCUCGCAGGGUCAUCGCGAACACUUUGCACAUCAGGGCAUCAUCUGCCUUGUACAGGAUCAUGGCGCUCUUGAAGUGCCUCAAAUGGCUCUCAGGGUCAAAGUCCCCCUUGAAUGGAGUGAUGGAUGGCGUUGUGAACCGCUUCGGUGGAGGAGCUCGUUCCACUUUGUCGGUAAAGGGCGAGCAGUCAACUCGAUCAAUUUCCUUAUGCAGGGCCUCCUCCGCGCUUCCUUUAAGUUGGAGAACUUGGAGUCGGUCAUUUACUAGCUUCUCGACGUCCUCUGCUCGCAGGACUGGAGUCUCAGGCCGGCGUCUUCGGUGCCUCGAGCGCGACCGGCUAACCUCUUCCUCGGUUCCCAAAGGUCGAUCCCCUUGGGUGUUCUGCCCGUGGGGCAGAUUAGAAGAUUGAGCUUGUGAGGAUUCCUCUACAUCUUGUCGCCACGUGUUGGUCCUCGAGCAGGUUGGUGGGCGUCGAUCAUCACCUUCUACCCGCAAGGAGGGUCGCUCAGGUCGACGUCUUUGGUGUCUCGAGCGUGACUGGCUAACUCCUUCCUCGAUUCCCAAGGGUCGAUCCCCUUGGGUGCCCUGCCCGUGGGGCAGAUUAGGAGAUUGGGCUUGGAAUGAUCCCUCUACAGCUUGCCGUCGCGUGUUGGCCCUCGAGCGGGUUGGUGGGCGUCGGUCGUUGCGUUCGUCACGCGACUGCUCACGAACUCGAGCUCCUUGUGGGCCCAAGCGGGCGUGGACAUUGGAUUGUGGGCCUAAGCGGGCGUGGACAUUAUUCUGUGGGCCUAGCCUCUCGAGCACAUUGGUCCUUGGUUCUAGCCCGAACGGCUCAGAGUACGGCUCGCGGCUGUCUGCGUCUCAUCUACUCGAUCUCGAUCUCGAUCUCUCCUCUGCCGGUUUGCCCUUGUCUGACCAGCUUGGGACCUCUCGAACUGCUCGCCGACAUGCUGGUGUGCCCUCAUCUCCUCGUCACGGGGUCCAAGGUUAAGGCCUUGAUUCAAGUUGAUCUGCCUGAGCAGCUGGCCAAUCAGGUUGUUCUGAUCAUCGACCUUCUGUGUGAGUUAAUCGACCCGUGAGUUAAGGUCCACCUGACUGCGCGGGUCAAGUAGAGUGAUGUGCAUCGGGCCCACGGCAAAUGGGCUAGGGCUCCAUUAGACGCGUACACAGGUGCAUAUGUCGAGUGUGAUAGCAGAGGAGGGAGAGAAUGGAUCUGCUCCAGGACUGGGAAGACGUCGGAGUAGCCAUGGGGCUGAGCAGCAAAUCCGGUAGUUGAGUGGUGUGGCUGCUGCUGUGCUACGACGGCAGGACAGCGGGGCAGAGCAGCUCCUGUAAUCGGCGCUGGCAACUGCAAGGCUGUGGAGGUCCCGAGGUCAUGGUCCGGCUGUUCUGCAAUUCCAGCAGCUGAAUGCGGCUGCAAAGCACUGGAGGACGACUGCAAGGCGUUGGCAGCCACGAUUCCGUGCGGUUGCAUUGAGGUUUCCACCACGAAACCAUGAGAUGGGCCCAUCGUGGUGGCGUUACUCUUCGUACGUCUUGUAUCAACCAUAGUUGUUUGAAAAAAUGUGUGAAAGAUGGAUUUAGAGCACGCUUUGAAUAUACCUCGUGCUCUCAAUGAAAGCACCAAUUUGUUUGUGCAAAUAAUCUCACGGGAGAAUAUUCGCCCAAGAUUCCUUCGUCUUCUCCGCCUCUCUUUCUCCCUGCAAAACAGAUCGGAGUAAAAGGACCACACCCGGGGGGUGUUGGCCAAAGGCCCUCCGAUGCCUAAGUUAGGUAAGGGAAUUCAAGGAAAACCGGGUGGCCGGAGCCUUGUGUGAGAGAGAGAAAGAGAGGAGGUGCCUAGGGUUUUUGAGAAAUAAUUUAUGCAGAGUUUCAGUAGGAAUUUAGACGUACCUCAUCCUUGUGUGUAACCAGGUAUUUAUAGUGGCCUUUGGAGAGGUAGGUGGGGUUGGUGUAGUUGGUGUGGUUGGUGGGGUUGGUGCAUUUAGGGAUUAUGGAUGAACCGAAUCCCUAAUUAAAUUGGGGAUCAAGUAACCCCCAAUUUGAUUAGGUAAUUCCCAAUUAGGUUAGGUAACUCCUAAUUAGGUCAAAUAAUUCCCAAAUUGAUUGGCCUAAUUAAUUGACCUAGGGUUUUGGUUUAAUUAGGUUCCCACAAGUGUGAAAUUGUGACCACGAGAUUCGGUAUAAGCUGUAACCCAAAAAGGUACGUAAGUACGUACAGAAAACCAAACCAAAUACACACGUUCAAACAGGAGUAAGGGGAUACAAAAUAAAUAAAUUAACAGGAAAGACAGAGUUUAACCUGGUCAGUGGACUCUACUUUAAUGGUUAUGGCAGUGGAGAAGAUAUCACCCGCUUUCUUGCCAGGAGAAACUGCAUCAACAGAGACUCCAAAUGCCUGCAGUGCUUGAAAUGGGACCACUGCCUCGUAAUCUUCCAUGCAGUCCCCGCACAGUAACACACCCUCCUCUGCUCCUCGCCUUUCGGAUUUCCCAUUUCUUUUUUUAUUUUCCUUCUUUAGUUUCUUUCUUGCUUUUUCUUUCUUCUAUCUUCUUUCUUCUUUAUCACAGAGGGAGGUGGUCUGAUAAAGGAAGGAAGGCCUGCUUUAAAUAUAAUACUCACACAAGCGUUUUUGGAGGUUUGUGGAGUCAGCUAGACACGUCGCAGUUAGUAAUCGUGGCAUCUCUCUCUAUUCCUCUUUUCUUUUCAGUUCGGAUAACUAUUGUAUUAGUUUCGAGCCAUAACCAUAUCCAAGUUUGAUAUUAUUUGUUGUCUUCUUCACCGACCAAGUGAGUCUAAAUAAUUCAAGGAAGAUUCAAACUUGUAAUGUUUAUCUCUAACAGGUAUGGAUAAUAAAUGUAAUGUUUAUCUCUGACAGGUAUGGAUAGUGUUGAAUAGCCUUCGCGUUGAUUUUACCUCGACUGCCAUGUUGAUUUUCACCAGCGCAGCAAAGCUGCUUGCUUUGUGUUAUGAGGUCUGGUUUUGUCAACAAACUAUAUUAAUUGACCCAAAAGAAAAUGCAAUAUAAUGUGGAUCCUCAUUUCGCAGUGACAGGAUAUGGUUGUGAAAUACAGGCUAACUUUGGACAACCUGAUAUUCAAAAGAAAAUUCAAUAUCUUGUCGAUCCUCAUUUUGCAGUUACAGGAUGGUUGUGAAAGUAUAAGCUAACUCUGGACAACACGAUAUUCAUUCAGGUAAAACUUCGAGGUGUACAGUGAGGGAGAUAGAAACCCUUGAGCUGAAAUCCUUGGCGCCGACGACUAAUAAAUCAUAGUGUCCUUCUUGUUGAUGUGUAACCCUUGAGUUGAAAUCCUUGGCGCCAAAGUUGUUUUUUAUUUGCAUUUUAUUUCUUUUUUAUAUGUUUAAACUCUGUUUGUAAUAUGAGCCAUUGGAUCAUAGUCCAAGUGGUCUCUUAUCUAGCCUAGGAUAUAAUCUGUCAGAUUGUGACAAGUGUAAUCAUCUCAUAGGCUGAUAGGAUCAAUUGUUAGGAUUAAAUCCCUGUGUAAAUUAGGUAGAGAAGAAUCUCUCUUCUCUCUCCUCUAACGGAUAUAUUGGUAUAGUGGAAAUGGAAGCAUAACAGCUCCUUUAGCAAUAUUGCAGCUCAAUAAUCUCUCCUAUCUUUCCAAAAUCUAAAAUCUCCAGAAAACUAGAACACUAAAACUAUGAACUCUAAUAUGGUAUCAGAGCUAGGUUGGAUUGCUUAAACUGGGCGUGAAUCUGUGAACAGAGAAUCGGACUCGAUUCGAGCUAUUUUUUGUUGUUGAGCUUAUUUGAAGAUCGAAGCUGUGAUUUCUUGAAUCCAAUGUCUAAUAUGGCAGGAUCGGGAACAGCUGAGCUUCACACACCAGUUUUCAAUGGAGAAAACUAUUAGUGUUUUGGAGCAUUAGGAUGAAAACCAUUCUGAAAUCUCGUGGAUUGUGGGAUCUGGUCUAGAAUGGGAUAGAUAAUUCAGAUCUGAAGAAGGAGAACGAGGAGGCUACGGUUACUGAGAAGUCCACUAUGGCUCAGAUUUUGAUGAAGGAUGCUCGCGCACUUGGAUUGAUUCAAAGUGCUGUCUCAGAUAAGCUAUCCCCAGAAUUGUGAACGAAGAGACCUCAAAGGGUGCCUGGGAUAUUCUGAAGCUGGAGUUCAGAGGCGAUAAACAAGUAAGAAAUGUCAACUUGCAAGGGUUGCGUAGAGAAUUUGAAUAUACUCAUAUGAAGGAUAGUGAAUCUCUAUCUGUAUAUCUUGUUAGAUUGUUUGAUAUGAAUAAUCAAAUGAAGAGUUAUGGUGAGGAAUUACCUAGAGAGAGAGUUGUGCAGAAAUUGUUGUUUAGUCUGCCGAAAUCAUAUGACUCUAUUUGCUCUGUGAUUGAACACUCUAAGGAUCUUGAAACUCUGGAAGUUCAAGAGGUGGUUGCCCCUUUGAAGAGCUUUGAGCUCAUAUUUGAUCGCCAUACUGAGAAUUCUAUAGAAAGGGCAUUUACUAGUCUGAAUAUUGAGGAAAAGAAUUCUAAGAGUGGAAAUUUUCCUGGAGAUCAAAAAUCUCAGAAAAACUGGAAGUCUAAUGAUGAAAACAAAACAGCUUGUAAACACUGUAAUAAGCUGCAUUAUGGCAAGUGUUGGUUUGAAGGGAAACCUAAAUGCCAUGGGUGUGGGAAAUUUGGGCAUAUGAUCAGAGAUUGCAGUGGGAAUAAAAAUGUACAUAAGGUGAAUUAUGCAAAUCAAGUUGAGGAAACUGGUACUUUGUACUAUGUGUGCAAUGCUGCAACAGAUGUGAAAGUGAAUUAUUCAUGGUACAUUGACAGUGGUUGUAGUAACCACAUGACAGGAGAUGAGGGACUUUUAGUCAAUAUUCAAAGGAACUUGACCUCUAAGGUGAAGAUGGGAACUGGAGAAGUAGUUCCAGUUGCAGGAAAAAGGACUCUUGUGAUAAAAACCAAGUUGGGUAAGAAGCACAUUCAAGAAGUAAUGCUUGUACCUGGUCUUGAAGAAAAUAUGCUUAGUGUUGGGAAAAUGAUUGAGGAUGGAUACUAUCUUGUGUUUGGAGGGAAUAUGGUGAAUAUUUAUGAUGAUUAGUCACGGAGAAAUCUAAUUGUGAAGGUUCAAAUGACCGAUAACUGAUGUUUUCCACUUACAAUGAUGCCUGCAAGUGAUUUGGCCUUAAAGGCAAGUGUUACACACUGCUUGCAGACAAGGCAUAAAAGAUUGGGGCACUUAAAAGAAAGAAGCAUAAAAUUGCUUGAGAAUCAAUGCAUCGUUCAUGGCUUACCUCAUUUGGAGCAGAUUUUAGUAGUAUGUGAAGGCUGCAUGCUAGGAAAGCAACACAGAGAUUCUUUCCUUUUGGAGUCCACUUGGAGAGCUACAAGUCCUUUGGAAUUGGUUCACACAGAUACCUGUGGACCAAUGAAGACUGAAUCCAUUUCUGAAAAUAGGUAUUUCUUGCUAUUUACAGAUGAUUGCACUAGAAUGUCAUGGGUGUAUUUCAUCAUAAACAAGUCAAGUGCAUUUGACUGUUUUAGAAAGUUCAAGGCUAUGACUGAGCUACAAAGUGGAUAUAAGAUAAAAGGCUUGAAGAGUGACAAGGGUGAAGAGUUUUUAUCCAGUGAAUUUUACAGGUUUUGUGAUGAAUUUGGAAUUCAAAGGCAGCUUAUUAUAGCAUACUCUCCUCAGCAAAAUGGAGUAGUUGAAAGAAAGAACAUGACAGUAGUGGACAUGGCAAAAUCUAUGCUGCAUGAGAAGGGUAUUUCUUAUGAAUUUUGGGUGGAAGCUGUAAAUACUACAGUCUAUCUACUGAAUAGAUGUCCCACCAAGUCUCUCAAGAAGGUAACACCAUUUGAAGCUUAUACUGGCAGAAAACCAGGAAUUGCACACUUAAAGAUUUUUGGAUCUCCUUGUCAUGUGCUCAUCCCUUCAGCAUUAAGGCAUAAACUUGAAGAAAAUAGCCACAAGUGUAUUUGUGUGGGUUAUGGACUCUGUGAAAAGGGGUACAUGCUAUUUGAUCCAAGCAUUAGAAAGGUUAUUCUGUCCAGAGAUGUGCAGUUUGAUGAGAAUGGCUCAUGGAAGAGGGAGAAUGCAAGUGCAUGAGAAAUGACAGUCCCUGUGCCUACUGAGAAUCAAAACUGUAAUCCAAGUCAAAGCUUGGGUACACCAAUGCAAAUGGAUGAAGGAAUCACACUACAGAAUGAACCAAGUCAAAGCUUGGAUACACCAACAUAAAUGGAUGAAGGUAUUACUCUGCAAGAUGAAGGAAUAAGUGAAAGUUCUCAAGCUAUUGAUCACACACCAAAGAAAUGGAGAAGUGUUAACGAAAUCAUGGCUCAAUGCAAUAUCUGCAUUGUGGAACCUGAAAGUUUUGAAGAAGCUAAUCUUGAUAAGUCAUGGAGAAAUGCAAUGAAGGCUGAGCUGGAAAUGAUUGAGAAAAAUAAUACAUGGAAACUAGAGACAAACCAUUUGGCAAGCCAAUUAUUGGUGUCAAGUGGGUCUUCAAAACUAAGCUAAAUCUGGAUGGAUCUGUGCAGAAAAACAAGGCCAGACUUAUGGCAAAAGGCUACUCUCAGAAGCCUGGAAUAGACUAUAAUGAGACGUUUGCUCUAGUAACAAGAUUGGAUAUUAUUAGAACGUUGAUAGCACUUGCUGCACAGAAGGAAUGGAAUCUAUAUCAACUGGAUGUAAAAUCUGCCUUUCUGAAUGAAGUGUUAAAGGAAGAGGUUUAUGUGGAGCAGCCACAGGGUUUUGUGAAGGAAAAUGAAGAAAUCAGAGUGUAUAAGUUGAACAAGGCCUUCUAUGGACUAAAGCAAGUCCCAAGAGCCUGGUAUGAUGAGAUAGACUCUUACUUCAACAAGGCAGGAUUCAAGAAAAGUCCUAGUGAAGCAACACUCUAUGUCAAAACUAGUGAAGAUUCAGGUAUUCUUAUUGUUUCACUCUAUGUGGAUGAUAUUGUCUAUACUAGAAGUUGCCCAAAGUUACUUGAAGAGUUCAAAAAUGAUAUGAUGCAACAUUAUGAAAUGACUGAUCUUGGACUACUCUACCAUUUUCUUAGCAUGGGAGUAGUACAAACAGAUAAACAUAUCUUUCUUCAUCAGAAGAAAUAUGCAUUGAAGGUGAUUGAAAAGUUUGGAUUGAAGGACUGCAAGUCUGUGGUAACUCCAUUAGUUGCAAAUGAAAGCCUGUGCAAGGAAGAUGGCAGUGAGGCAGCAAAUGAGAGUGAAUAUAGACAGAUUGUAGGUAGCCUGCUUUAUUUGACAGCUACAAGACUAGACAUAAUGUUUGCCUCUAGCUUGCUUGCUAGAUUCAUGCAUAAUCCAACUAGAAAACACAUGGGAACAGCCAAGAGGGUAUUAAGAUACAUUUAGGGCACACUUGAUUUUGGAAUUGAAUUUAUAAAAGGGAAGACAACUACCUUGAUAGGGUAUUGUGACAGUGACUGGGCAAGAAGUGAAGAUGAUAGAAGAAUUACUUCAGGAUAUGCAUUCACACUAGGAUAUGGUAUGUUCUCAUGGGCAUCAAUUAAACAAAACACAGUAGCUUUCUCCACUGCAGAGGCAGAAUAUGUUAGUGCUGCUGAAGAAACAUCACAAGCUAAAUGGCUAAGGUUCGUACUUGAAGAUUUUGAAGAGGAGCAAGUGGAAGGUACACCAAUUCUGUGUCAUAACACCUCUACCAUAGCAAUGGCAAAGAAUCCAGUUUUCCACCAGAAAACCAGACAUAUUAGCCUAAAGUUUCAUUUCAUUCGAGAAGCUAUUCAAGCAAAGGAGAUUGAACUAAUCUACUGGAAAACAGAAGAUCAUAUUGCAGACAUCCUAACCAAGGCUUUGUCCAAGGAUCGUUUUGUGUAUCUCAGAGAUCUACUUGGUGUGAAAUCAGUCAAAGGGUUAUAGAAGGGAGUGUUGAUGUGUAACCCUUGAGCUGAAAUCCUUGGCGCCAAAGUUGUUUUUUGUUUGCAUUUGAUUUCUUUUUUAUAUGUUUAAACUUUGUUUGUAAUAUGAGCCAUUGGAUCAUAGGCCAAGUGGUCUCUUAUCUAGCCUAGGAUAUAAUCUGUCAAAUUGUGACAAGUGUAAUCAUCUCAUAGGAUGAUAGGAUCAAUGGUUAGGAUUAAAUCCCUGUGUAAAUCAGUUAGAGAAGAAUCUCUCUUCUCUCUCCUCUAACGGAUAUAUUGGUAUAGUGGAAAUGGAAGCAUAACAGCUCCUUUAGCAAUAUUGCAGCUCAAUAAUCUCUCCUUUCUUUCCAAAAUCUAAAAUCUCCAGAAAACUAGAACACUAAAACUAUGAACUGUAAUACUUCUAAAGCAUUAGUAUAAUACAAGCUUCGUCCACAACCAAACUUGCAUGGAACAUGGCAUAUACAUAUCAAAACCAGAAUGUCACUUGUUCCCUCAUAUAUAGAAACGUCACCUUAACAUAACACUUACAUAUAGUACAUGCAAGCAGCUGACCCAGUAAACAGCAAAUGAUACUCGAAUAUCAAGCAAUAUCAUCAACUGAGAAAUGAACUCUGGGUGGCCCGGCCACGCUCUCCAGUCCAAAUUUCCAUCUGUGAAACAAUGAUCUAUUGGACCAGGUUCCAGCCGUGUUGCUCCUGACAAAACCGCAUUAAGCUUCACCACUGAAUACGCAGUAUAUUUCUUUCCCUAAAAUUUAGCUAGUUAACAACAAUUAGGACAUGAUUUAAAAAAGUCCAUAAUGUGAAAAUAAGUAAAUCAACCCUCAAUCAGAAGAAUCAGCAAAAGGCAAACAGAUUACAAUUUCAAAGUGGUUUCUUUUUUACCUCGUCAUUAAAUACUCACUCAGUAAAUCAACCCUGUUACAAAAUUGAUGAUACUCCCAACUCUUCCUAACACCUUCCGAAAAACUGAAACUGCCUAGCUCAGCCAAGCCUUUUGGUUUUCCUUAGUAGGUAAUUUCUUGUUUUACCCCAUUCUUAAACCAUUCCAUCUAGCAUAGAUUUUUACUGCUUCAUAUAUUCCUUCAGAGAAUUCUGCAUUACAGUACACACCUUCCGACUUUUAUAUUACCGCACAAAUGUUCAUGCACCAACUGGCAAGCUUGCUCAUCAACACCCACAACAAAACAUACAUUUAAAUUUACGAUCAACUACAUAGAUAGUGAGUUAUAGAACAAAUGAAUCCACAGGUUAUCUGUAUUGUCUUUUUGGUUAAACAUGUUUAACUUCCCACACAAAAUUAAUUUUACUCUAGCAUUUUAGUUUAUGUUAAAAAGCGUAAGAAGUUAAAAUGUUAUGGAAUCUACAUUAUAUAUGUAUAUCUACCACAGAAAUGCUAUAAUGUGGGGUUGUGUGUGAGGGGUUCAAUACCACUAUCCAAUAAUAUAAAGGAUAUUUUGAACUUAAACUUUUUAAUGAUUGGAUGGUUGGAUGGUUGGAGACCAAGUAUAAAUAUCCUAGUUCUUUGUGAAUGUACAAAUCAUCCAAUUUCAAACAAAUUAACUUUAUAUUAUUGUUUCAACUCAUUUAGUUUCAAAGAUUGAAAUUCUGGCAGAUGGAUGCAAUUGGUUUCCUGGCUUCCACAAUUUGCUUCACUAAUGCAAUGACUUUCUCAUCCAAUACCAAAUGUUCUGGGGCUCCAGUUGUACGGCAUACAACAGUGAGGUUAAUUCUCAGUCUCGCAGCUAUGCACAAGUGGUCUUUGAGGCAAUUGAAUGUUAAGAACGCAUUCUUACAUGGGGAGCUUGAAGAAGAAGUUUUUAUGAGGCAACCUCAAGGUUUUGAAGACCCCAAGCAUCCUGAGUUUGUGUGUAAGCUGAAUAAGUCUCUGUAUGGACUUAAGCAAGCUCCACGGGCAUGGAAUGCUAAAUUUACAGGAUAUUUACCAGCUAUAGGGUUCAAAUAAUCUCGUUCUGAUCCCAACUUAUUUGUCAAGCAUGACGGCACUGAUAUUAUAAUUUUAUUAUUAUAUGUUGAUGGUAUCAUCUUGACAGGCUCCAAUGCAAAUUUAGUGCAGACAGUGAUUGAUGAUUUAGGAGCAGUGUUUGAGAUGAAGGACAUGGGUCGCCUUACCUAUUUCCUUGGUCUUCAAGUGUCUUACAAUUCUACAGGUGAUAUUUUUGUCCAUCAGCACAAGUAUGCUAAAGAUCUACUGCAAAAGGGCUGGUCUGAGUAAUUGUAAGGCUUCUCCUACUCCUUGCAAGCCACAUAAUCAAGUCUUAAUGUCUGAAGGAGAACCACUGCAUGAUCCUACAUUUUAUAGAAGUAUUGUUGGUGCCUUACAAUACUUAACUUUCAUAAGACCUGACUUAUCCUAUGCUGUCAAUACUGUGUGUCAGUGUAUGACUGCUCCCACUGAGAUACAUUUCAACCUGGUCAAAAGAAUUUUGAGAUACAUUCAAGGUACCAUGAAUUAUGGAAUUCACUUUAUUCAUGGUCCUUGGAAAUUACAAGCUUAUAGUGAUGUUAACUGGGCGGGGGAUUUAAAUGCUAGGAGGUCAACUACAGGUUUUGUGGUAUUGCUUGGACAUAAUCCUAUCUCAUGGCAGUCUAAGAAGCAAGGGUCUGCAUCCAGAAAUUCUACAGAGGCCGAGUAUAGGGCUUUGGCUAGUACAGCUGCAGAUUUGGGUUGGAUUCGAAAGGUUUUGCUAGACUUGAAAGUGUGCUUGCCUCUACCUCCUACCAUCUUUUGUGAUAAUCUAUCUGCUUUGGCACUUAGUAGUAAUCCUGUGUUUCAUUCACGAAUUAAACACUUGGAUACAGAUUUUCACUUUGUUCGUGAAAGGGUUCAAAGGAAUGAUCUGAUUGUUUAGUAUGUUCCCACUCAAGAGCAAAUCGCAGAUGUAUUUACUAAAGGACUGCAUAGUCCUAUUUUCUUGAGUCACUGUACUAGUAUGCGACUUGGAAAUCCAUAGCAGGAUCCAGAGUUGGGUUUGAGGGGGAAUGAUAACAAUAUUAGUUAGUUUGUUAAGCUGUCACGUGUGCUCACGUGUUGUUAGUUAGUAGUAACUAUAAUUAGUUAAGAGUGUUAAGUCUUGGUUAUUGAGAUAUAACACUAAUGAAACUGCCGUUGUAAUUCAUUAUAUACAGAGCAUAUCAUUUCUUCUUCCUUCUUAGUCUUCUCAAUUCUUAAGCUUCCUUUUCUAAACUGUUAUCAGAUGGAACCCUAUCACACCAGAAUUGUGGCAAAUCUGGUAUAGCCGAUUCAGGUUAUUUUCACUAUAUAUCUUUCAGAAGUAUCUGUAACGGGGCAAAUCUCCAUCAAUCCUCUUCUUUUCAGUUUAUCUUUAUGCCCAUUCAUGCAUGUAUAUAUUAUACGAAGAAGUUUUUGACAUAUGGCAUGUAUUGUGUGUCAAAUGUAUACCGAUUCAUGAAGACAGGUUCAAGAUCACAUACACCAUAUUCACCUUCAUUUCUUUUUGUUUAUUCUGGGUUUCUCCAAUUUGAAUCACAUUAAAAAACAAAUACUGAACAGUGAUAUAUUCAAUAUUGAUCGGCAUCACAAUUUCAUAUUUCUCAUUGCACUACGAAGGAAAAUAAAACUUACCCCACAGAGAAACAGGAUCCUCCUAUCUGAACCAGUUAUGUUACCACCUAGUGCCUUCACAAAAAGCCUAAUGAACUCAGGAUUCAUAUGUAGCCCCAGUAAUUAUAUUACCAUCAACAACAGACGCCAACAUGGUCUCGGGUUCCACCCAAUAAGCACCUGCAGGCUGCAGCAACAAGUACAGGUCUGACAGGUGGGAAGGCCGUUAUAGUAUAGCCGCGCGGCUAUACUCCAUAAGCAGAAUAUUUUAAAAGUACAGCCGCACCGCUAUACUCCAAAAAUUAUAAUAUCGUAAAAGUACAGCCGAUCGGCUAUACGCGAUAAAUAAAAUAUUUCAAAUGGCUAUACUAAAGGAACUUAAACGUNNNNNNNNNNNNNNNNNNNNNNNNNNNNNNNNNNNNNNNNNNNNNNNNNNNNNNNNNNNNNNNNNNNNNNNNNNNNNNNNNNNNNNNNNNNNNNNNNNNNNNNNNNNNNNNNNNNNNNNNNNNNNNNNNNNNNNNNNNNNNNNNNNNNNNNNNNNNNNNNNNNNNNNNNNNNNUAUUUUCACUUAGAGACGAAGGCACUAAUGCAAUUUUGUUUAUUGAAUAUGGUGUACGCAGUGACGUUGGAGCCAAGAAUUUGUUCACGCUGUCUUUUCCCCAGAACUCAAAGCUCAAUACAGGUCGGUUCUCUAGCUCAUAAUGAAUGAGCAAAACUCCUAACAUGUGUUCUUGUUUGAGCUUACUUUAGUCUCGCUGUCCACACAACCUAGAAACUAUGACCUACGGAUUGCUAUUUGUCAAUCUAAUAGAGUGGCUCUAAUCAACAGUAAAACUUAAUUCAUUUUGUCUAUAAUUAAGGCUACCAACCACUGGCUGAUGCAAAAACCUAAACUUGUAAACUUGACAAACUUAUUUCCAGUCCCAACAUACUCCAAAUUUUAGAGGAGGCAACAUAAUCCCAUAUGUGAGAAUUGUAAGCACUUCAAUCUUUGAGACAAAUUUCUUGUUUUGGGUUUACAAAUUCAAGUGAAGUAAGCAUUCAAUCUUCAAUCCAAUUGAGUGUGCUUGAUUACAGAGCAUGGAAAAGACCAAUUGACAGUGCUCAAGUGAUGUAAUGAGGCUAAAGAAUAAAUUUUUAUCAUAUAAUCAUUAAAUAUGUUCACUAAAAGAUGUGUCAUCGUUAUAUGUAAAAAUUUUAGAAAUAUAUAAACUAGCUAGGAUUUACGUGAAUUCGAAUUUGAAUACAUGAAAUAUUAUUACCUACUACAUCAUUUGAUGAACAGAUUUGAUGUUCCUAACAAUUCUAUGCGUACUAGUAAAGUACUUUGUCUUUAAUUUGGAAGUACCCGAAAGCAUAAUGUUUUUCAUAUAUUAUCUGGCAGGAGGCAAUUCAAGAAAAAAAGCCAUCAUUAUUGGAGUCGUAGUUGGAGGUGUAGGUCUUUUAUUCUCAUUGUUGGAGUUUUUCUCUAUUUUAAACUUUCAAGAAAGCCCGAGGCUGCAACAACCACAGAAUUCGAAGUUGCACUUCCUCUUGCAUAUAUACUAUUACAGUCAUGAUUUCUUGGACUACAAGUACAAGGGUUCAAGAGAUUUGUGAUCACUCACCGUUUGAUGUAAAUUCAACGGUUCACUCACUGUUGCACUUCUUUUAAGAAAUUUUUUUGAACCAUUGGAUUAAUAUCUAACGGUGGGUGACCACAAUCUCUUGGACUCCUGUAGUCCAAGAGAUCGGAUUGUAUACUAUAAGUCCUGAUCUCUUAGACUACAAGAGUACAAGAGAUUUGUGGUCACUCACCGUUGGAUAUAAAUUCAACGGUUCACUCAUUAUUGCACUCCUUUUAAGAAACUUUUUUGAACCAUUGGAUUAAUAUCCAACGAUAGGUGACCACAAUCUCUUGGACUCCUGUAGUCCAAGAGAUUUGUGGUCACUCACCGUUGGAUGUAAAUUCAACGGUUCACUCACUCUUGCACUCAUUUUAAGAAACAUUUUUGAACCAUUGGAUUAAUAUCCAACAGUGGGUGACCACAAUCUCUUGGACUCCUGCAGUCCAAGAGAUCGGGACUGUAUACUAUCAAUCCUGAUCUCUUGGACUACAAGGGUCCAAGAGAUUUGUGGUCACUCACCGUUGGAUGUAAUUCAAUUAGCUCAUGCUCUAACCAUGUAUAUAUAUAAACAUAACAAAUUUAAAAAAAUUUGGUAUUAGACAUAAUUAUCUUUACUAAUUAGUAUUCGAGAUAAACAAUAUUUAUGUUUUAGUUUUAAUACAUAGGAAUUGAAUUUUGUUUUGGAUUUGGACAAAGAGGAGGCCCAGAUUCAUUAGCCCACCUUAUAUUAAUCACUAAUUUUAAUUUAAAAACCUGACUCAAAUUCGUUGGUUUACCUUUUUUUUAAGACUGCUGCUAAACGAACCCUAACAUUAACUGAGUACACCCUAUGAUCUAAGUACACUCUGAUAUUUUAAUUUAAAUGUAAAAUUAACUAAGCACACCCUAUAGAACUACCAAAAAUAUCUCUGGUACACCAUAAUAUUUGUAGCAUUAUUUUAUAGUUGAUUUUUAGCUUGAUUUUUUUAAUAGUGUUUAUAAAUCUUUGACUUUUCAUAUGGAUUUAUGCUUCUACUAAAAUUGUUGACACUUUUUUUGCAAUUUCAAGUUCUUGCAAUCACCACCUCUUUCGUUAAUAAUGAUUUUUUUAUGCAUGUUUCAGUUAUAUACUACUAUGCUACUAUGAAAUUUAUUCGUUCUCAACGAAGUUAAAAACAAGCUAAACAAAUAGAGNNNNNNNNNNNNNNNNNNNNNNNNNNNNNNNNNNNNNNNNNNNNNNNNNNNNNNNNNNNNNNNNNNNNNNNNNNNNNNNNNNNNNNNNNNNNNNNNNNNNNNNNNNNNNNNNNNNNNNNNNNNNNNNNNNNNNNNNNNNNNNNNNNNNNNNNNNNNNNNNNNNNNNNNNNNNNNNNNNNNNNNNNNNNNNNNNNNNNNNNNNNNNNNNNNNNNUGUAUGAAGCAUCCGUUCCAAAAUUUCAAAAGUAACCCAACUUGCAAAUCUGCAUAAAAACAUAAGAGAAAAACAAUAAGAAAGGUGCAUGAGUGGCAAACGAAAGUCACUGCAAACUUCAUCAAAUUGGCCCUAGUAGUACUAAUUAAGAUAUUUUUAAUCAUACACGCUCACAAGCCAGAAAAACUAAGUCCUAAAAGAGGGAUGAAGAUGCUGCCACCACAAUUUUCAUUCAUGUUGUUAGUGAACUAGGCAAAAGUAAUAUGCAUAAAUUCUAUUUUUACAGUAUAUAAGUCAAUUCACCAUAAUAUUUUUUUGACAACUUAUUGGAUUGUCAGGAAUUCAAUGAUCAAUCAGGCCUUCACAUAAUCUCCACCGCUGCGCUUCCUUUUGGACCGUGAGAAGAAGCAGAUUUGAGCCCAAGUCUUCUUCUGCUUAGCAGGUUGUGCUUUAACUUCUCUUUUCACGACAAGCUCAAUCAUGUAUUGAACAACAGCCUAAGAUUAUAUUUGCUCCAAACCAUUCUGACUCGCGGAUCACAAAGAUGAGAACCAAAUAAUCUCUUGAGUAGGGUUGAAUACGAUUAGUAGGGUGUACUUAUUAAAAUUAUAUUUGUUUCACAAUUUCAUAUAUCAUUUUUGGUCAUUUUAUAUUAGAGUAAAUCAGUAAUUCAAUAUAUGCUUUUGUAGUAGGGUGUACUCAGUUAAUUUUAGGGUUCGUUUAGCAGCACUCUUUUUUAAUCAUAUCAGAUCUGCUAUCAUCAAUCCAAGAUCAAGAGACCGAUCUGCGAUGGAAUUCUCAACCAUCUUCCUCCUCUACCCAACCCCCCCACAAAUGACACUGUUCGGACCAUCCUCAACACCCCAACACACGUCGCCCUCAAGUCCGAAGAACUUAUAAGAAUGGAGCAGGAAUUGAAAGACUACGAAAUCGAAAUGCGGAAAGCCAAAGAGGAUCUCAACCGUCGGAUUCACGAUGAUCAGGUCGCGAGGGAGAUCAUGAAGAUUCCAUAGGACGAGUGGCAAGAGUCUGGCCAACUCUUCGCCAAACCCUUCGGUGAAGGCUCCUCCUCAUCGUCGUUGACGAAGAGGGUCAAGAGUGAAAGAGUGUUCUAUCAGAUUGGUCAAAAAAUAAUACUUCAUUUAUCUUAAUAUAUAACAAAUAGGAAGGUUAUAUAUACAAAGCCUAGGAAACUAUUCUAGGAAAGUAAUUAUGUUCCUAUAAUCUUGCAUAAUCAAAUAGUUGACUUAGACUAAUUAGGAAUGUACAGCUCAUUGACACUCCCCCUCAAGUUCGAGCAUAUAUGUCGUCAAUGCCCAACUUGCUAAGUGAGCUGUGAAAUACCCUGCCUGUGACUGCUUUGGUAAGGACAUCUGCAAGUGAUCUUCGGAUUUAACAAAUGAUACCUUAAUGAUCUUGCCUCGAGCUUCUCCUUGAUGAAAUGUCUGUCAACUUCAACAUGCUUGGUUCUAUCAUGUUGCACUGGAUUAUGUGCAAUGUCUAUUGCAGCUUUGUUGUCACAAUUCAGUUGCAUGGCAUGUUUGGGUUUGAACCCCAAUUCCUCCAACAAAUUCCUUAUCCAGAGUAGCUCACAUACUCCGUGCGCCAUACCUCGAUAUUCUGCUUCAGCACUUGAUCUUGACACUACUUUCUGUUUUUUACUUCGCCAAGAUACUAGAUUGCCUCCUACAAAGGUAAAGUAUCCAGAUGUAGAUCGCCUGUCAGUAACAGAGCCCGCCCAGUCUGCAUCAGUGUGACCCUCAACAUCUAGAUGACCAUGUCGUGCGAACAUCAAUCCUCUUCCAGGAGAUGACUUCAAGUAUCUCAAAAUUCAGUUUACCGCAUCCAUGUGGGCUUCACUUGGUGCAUGCAUGAACUGACUCACCACACUUACAGCAUAUGCUAUAUCAGAUCUAGUGUGUCCUAGAUAGAUUAACUUACCCACAAGGCGUUGAUAUCUUUCUUUGUUGGUGGGUACUUGAUCAGGAUAUUCACCAAGCUGAUGAUUCAACUCCAUUGGCGUAUCUGCUGGUUUGCUGGCUAACAUUCCAGUGUCAGUCAAAAUGUCAAGGAUAUAUUUCCGUUGUGAUAGAAAUAUUCCUUGUUCUGAACGAGCCACUUCGAUGCCUAGGAAAUACUUCAGAGCACCAAGAUCUUUCAUUUCAAACUCACUUGCCAAGUGGUGCUGCAAUGCUGCCUUUUCCACUAGGUCAUUCCCGGUAACUACCAUGUCAUCAACAUAUACAAUAAGGGCAGUGACUUUACCUUUCUUAUGUUUCAAGAAAAGAGUAUGAUCUGAGUUACUUUGCUUGUAUCCAAAAUCCUUCAUUGAUUUGCUGAACUUUUCAAACCAUGCUCUGGGUGACUGCUUCAAGCUAUAAAGAGACUUUCUCAGUUUACACACCAUGUUGCUAGUAUUGGACCCCAUCUUACAUCCUGGAGGGGAAUCCAUAUAGACUUUUUCUUCUAGGUCGCCGUGCAAGAAGACAUUUUUGACAUCAAACUGGUGUAAUGGCCAGUUUAGGUUUGCUGCCAGAGAAAAAAGUACUUGAAUUGUGUUUAUCUUGGCUACAGGGGCAAAUGUCUCCCUAUAGUCAAUCCCAUAAGUCUGGAGUAUAACCUUUCGCCACCAAUCUUGCUUUGUAUCGUUCAAUGGUGCCAUCUGCCUUGAACUUUACUGUAUAUAUCCAUCUACAACCCCACUGUUCUCUUCCCUUUGGGAAAGGAUAGUCAUCUUUCAAGUGGAAUUCUUCUGGAAGGCCUCCAUUUCAUCAUUCAUUGCUUGAGUCCACUUGGGGAUCUUUAGAGCUUCCUACCCAUUUACUUGGAAUAGAUACAGUGGAUAAUUGACAUACAAAUGAUGCACAUGACGGAGACAACCUAUGUAGGGACACAUGAUUAGCAAUAGGGUAUUUAACUUUUGUUUUUGGGUCCGGGUCAUACUGUUGUCUAGGAAUCCCUCUAGUGGUACGAAUAGGUAACUGAUAACCUGUGUUUCCUGUAUGACUCGACUCAUGUAAAGUACUUAAGUUGGAGUUUAAAUGCUCAGUUACCUGCGGGGAAUCUUCAGGACCUGAUUGGAUGAUUGGUGAUGGUACUGUAGUUGGAGGGAAAUUAUCUGAACCAUCAUCUGGAGUUUCUAGUAACUCUUGAUCUUGUUGCACUACUGUAGCUGGUUGCUCGGAAACUGACUGCUCUAAAAUAGUUUGUUGAAUUUGGAUGCUCUGAGUAUCUUCUGCAAAGAUAGAGCUCUCCCCCUGCAGAGGAUGCUCAGAAACUCCCCCUGAGUAAUAGAACUCACUCUCGUGGAAAGUCGCAUCUGCGGUAACAUGCAUGGUCUGAGUGGGAUGAUGGAAACACUUAUAGCCCUUCUGAGUGCCAGCAUAACCCACAAAGACACAACGCAGUGCACACGGAUCAAGCUUGCCACGCUGAUGUGGAUACACCUGAACAUAAGCAACACAACCAAAGAGACGUGGUUCGAGAUUUGGUGUGGAUGGCAUGGUGAGGAGAGUGGUCAAUGUCUGAAAUGGAGUUUGAUACUGAAGAGUGCUGGAUGGUGUUUUAUUAAUGAGGUAAGCAGCAAAACAAAGAACCUCCCCCCAAAAAUGAUGAGGNNNNNNNNNNNNNNNNNNNNNNNNNNNNNNNNNNNNNNNNNNNNNNNNNNNNNNNNNNNNNNNNNNNNNNNNNNNNNNNNNNNNNNNNNNNNNNNNNNNNNNNNNNNNNNNNNNNNNNNNNUUAAAAAAUUAUGUAGGUCAUGGUUGACUUACUCUCCUCCAUUGUCAGAUCGAAGCGUGGUGAUUUCUGUCAAACUGAGUAGCAACAUAUUGAUAAAAUAACUUGAAUUUGGCAGUGACUUCACUUUUCUGCUUUAAGGAAAAAAUCCAGGUCAUCCGGGUGCAAUCAUCAAUAAACGUCACAAACCACUUAAAACCGCUAAUAGUAGGAACUCGUGAUGGUCCCCAAACAUCAGAAUGGACAAUCAUGAAAGGCAAAGAACUUUUAUUCAAUCUUAAUGGGUAAGAAAUACGAUGGCUUUUGGCCAAAAUGCAAGUUUCACAACGAAAGUCUGAUUCAGCAAACUGGGAAAACAAAUCUGGAAAUAAAAGUUUCAGAUAACCAAAAGAAGCAUGCCCUAAUCAUCUAUGCCAUAGCCAAAUUUUCUUCAUCCUGAUAGACUCAUCUCCUCUCACAUGAUGUGUCUGACUCAAUCUUGUACUGCUGUCUUCUGUCAAGUCCAGAUAAUACAACUUUCCCCUCUUAGUACCACAUCCAAUCACGGUCCUGGUGAGAAGAUCCUGAAAUAGACAAUACAAUGGCCAAAAACACACAGUACAAUUAAGGGAAUCAAUGAUUUGAGGAACAGAUAACAAGUCAUAGUCGAGUGAAGGGACAACUAAGACAUGAUCAAGACUUAAUGAAGAUGUAAGAGAUAAAGACCCUUCUCUCAUAACUUGGGAGGUGGUUCCAUUAGAACUGGUAAUAUGUGUUUGGCUUGAUGGUUUGGUAGAGUGCAACCCAGUAAAACUAGAUGUCAUGUGAUCAGUAGCGCCAGUGUCAAUAAUUCAUGAUCUAUUACAAGUAAGUGAAGAUGUGCAAGAGGUACCUGAGGUGGCCAAGGCCUUGGAGCCAGAUGUACCUGAUGGAGGUUCUGAUGCAGUCUCCUUGGAUGACUGAGCGGAUGCAAAUGAGGCUCUGGUAGAAUCCUUUUUUCGCCCUUUGUGGACCCAUCCUUCUGGAUAACCAAUGAUCUCAUAACAGCCCUUAAUUGUGUGGUUAUCUAAACCACAUUUGGUACACUUCAUUGGAGGCCGGUUACAAGUAGGGUCGACACUAUAGUUGUUCGGCCGAGAUUGUUUGGACCUCGCAGUAGCCAAGGCUGUGGCUUCGGAGGUUACACCAACUUCAGACAUGGUUCCCUGUCGGUUACUUUCUCUUUUAAUAUGUGCAUAUGCGGCCUCCAGUUCGGGUUUUGGCUCCAUCCGCAAAAUCUCUCCUCGGAUUUGAUCGAAAUUAUUGUCCAAACCUGCAAGAAAUAUAUAAACUCGGAGACGAUCAACCUCUUUGCGUCUAGUCUCAAUGUCUUUCGGAUGCUCCAUGGUGCUUGGACUUAAUUGAUCAAGCUCCUGAAAAAUCUCAGUGAGCUCACUAUAAUAUUUGGCAACUGAUGCGCCAGCUUGCUUCAUUAUUAAUGACCGUCUGUGAAGGUCAUAAAUCUUGUCUUCAUCAGCACCAUCUGAAUAGGUUUGCUUGAUUGCGGCCCAGACUUGCUUUGCUGUGUCAUAACGAAUAAAUCGUUUAAUCUGAUUAGGUUGCAUGGCGUCGAACAACCAACUCUUGACUUGGCAAUCCGAUGCACGCCAUUUAUUAAAUGUGGGAUCUGUGUCUGCAGGUUGGGCAAUAUCACCGGUCAAGUGGCCAUGUUUUUCUCACCCAGCUAUCUUCAUCUCUAUGAUUUGAUGCCAUAGAGAAUAAUUAUUCUCAUCCGGUUUGAUUCCUGCGGAGAAGUUGGAGGUGUCACUCUGCAAAGUGACGAUUUAUGUGGUAGUUUUGGAGCCUCCCGACACCAAGGAUUGAUUGGUGUUUACUGACCCGUCAUCGUUGGCCAUGAUAUUGGCUGACAACCAAUGAAAAAAGGACAAAAAAGAAAUAUCAAGUUGAGGAAAAGCAAGUGAACGGUGGACAAAGGCAAUAAGACAAACUGUUUUGCAAUAAGAAAUAUUGGGUUGAAAGGGAAAAAAAGAACAAGGGGAACGGUUUGAAUGGGUCUGUGAGUGGAAAGUGAUUUGCAAUAUUGCAAAACGUGAUUUGACUAGAGGAAAGGUUUGAAUGGGUUUGUAAGAUGGAAUAUGGGUGGUAUUGGUGCUGGGUUUGUGAGAUGGAAUAUUGCUUUUGGUGCUGGUGCUGGUGCUGCGUACUGGAUGGAAUAUUGCAAAACAGUGAUUUGAGAUGGAAUAUGGGCUGGUGCUGGGUCUGUAUGACGGCUGUUGCUGCGGAAGCGAUUAGGGUUAGGGCAAGAGACAGUCAAGAUUGACUGCUCUGAUACCAUAUCAGAUUGGUCAAAAAAUAAUACUUCAUUUAUCUUAAUAUAUAACAAAUAGGAAGGUUAUAUAUACAGAGCCUAGGAAACUAUUUUAGGAAAGUAAUUAUGUUCAUAUAAUCUUGCAUAAUCAAAUAGUUGACUUAGACUAAUUAGGAAUGUACAGCUCAUUGACAUGUUCAGGCUCUACUUCAAGGGUUUGGUGAGCGAGGAAAUGGUUGGAAAUGAGAGAGUGGUGCUGGCUGGGGUUGGGGUUGCUCUAUGCGACUCCAGGGAUAAUUUGGUGUUCGAGGUUUGGAAACCCCUGAUUGGGAAUGGGAUGAGCAAGAAUGGUGCCCUGUUGAAAGCCUUGAUUGAAGGACUUAAUGCUGCUCUUGCUCUGGACUUGAAGCGCAUCACCUUUUUCUGUGAGAAUUUUCCCAUUUUUUUAGUUUGUGAGUUGCUAUCUCUUCUCUGUCUCGUUUCAGUCUAUUGAUGAAAAUUAAUUAGGCUAAUUGUGGGUUUUGCAUUUUAAUAUAACGACAUAUAUGGUUAUGGACGCUGUGGUUUACACUGACCAUGAAAGAGACUCUUGUGAAAGAGGUCUAAAGGAAUGGAACUUAUUAUUAUAUUAGUGUAUACGAUGUUGUAGGUUUUGUUAAUUAAUAUUUUUUUUCUUGGAACAAUAAUGAACUUUCAAUUUUCAGAUAUACUUCAUGAAAUUUGAUAGGGCAAAUCGUAUAUCAUCCAUUGUGGACAAAGAGAUGCAUUCACUUUGAGAAAUUUUACUUGUGUCUUCUCAACAUUUGCUAAAUUAGUUUGCUAUCUUGUAUUUAAAUUGACCAUUAGAGAAAGUCUUGUGAACAAGGUCUAAAAUAAUGGAGUUUAUUAUGACAUUUAUGUGUGCAAUGUUGUAGUACUUGUGUUGAAACCAAGAAUAUUGGAUGUACUAGUCACUGUGCUACGGUCUAUUUACACCCAUGAAUAGAGCUUGUUGAAUUUCUGACAUUAUAUUUUAUGUAUGAAGGUUAAUGGUAAAUGGCAAGCAAAGAACUACCCAAGAGCAAGGGAACUCAAAAUUGGACUUUCGAAAACUGCAUUGCAGUUUCGGAAAUUGCAUUGCAGUUUUCAUUUAAUUACAAUUGAAUUUUUGCUCUUUCCUUGGUCUUCAACCUCACCAAUUUGAAGAGUAAAGGCUACCCAAAUGAGGAAUUGGGGAAAGAGAAAAGUAGAACUACCCAAGAGCAAGAUAACUCAAAAUUGGACUUUUGGAAACUGCAUUGUGGAUUCAGAAACAACAUUGCAGUUUUAGAAACAGCAUUACAGUUUUCGUUUAAUUACAAUUUGAUUUUUGUUCUUUCAUUGGCCUUCAACUUCACCUAUUUGAAGAGUAAAAGCUACCCAAAUGAGGAAUUGAGUGGACAAGAGAAGAUUAAAACUACCCAAGAGCAAGGGAACUCAAAAUUGGACUUUUGGAAACUGCAUUGCAGAUUUGAAAACUGCAUUGCAAUUUCGGAAACUGCAUUGCAGUUUUCAUUUAAUUACAAUUUGAUUUUUAUUCUUUUCUUGGCCUUCAACCUCAUCAAUUUGAAGAGUAGAGGCUACCCAAAUGAGGAAUUGAGUGGGCAAGAGAAGAUAGAACUACCCAAGNNNNNNNNNNNNNNNNNNNNNNNNNNNNNNNNNNNNNNNNNNNNNNNNNNNNNNNNNNNNNNNNNNNNNNNNNNNNNNNNNNNNNNNNNNNNNNNNNNNNNNNNNNNNNNNNNNNNNNNNNNNNNNNNNNNNNNNNNNNNNNNNNNNNNNNNNNNNNNNNNNNNNUAUUUUUAUUGCAGUUUCUGUUUUUAUUUUCAGUUUUGUGGGAUAUGUGUUGAAAUGAUUUUUUUUUUUUUUAAACUGUUGAUUGUUGGUAUAAAUAUUGUAUAAUUGAAUAAAUAUUACAAAAUCAAGUUUGGUGUAGUGGUUUGUGAGUGAGCCUUCCUCCUUUGAGGGUCAAGGUUCAAGUCCCUUCAAUGACACAAAAUAUUUUUUUUUUAAAGGUGAAUAAAGGGCAAUGGAGUUGGUCCCCUACAGACGGUGGCAGGUGGUGGCCGGCGACGGUGGCUUGCAGCGGGAGUCCGGUGGUGGUGGCCGGCGAAGGGUGGCUGGAGGCGGGACUCCGGUGGUGGGAGUCCGGUGGUGGGAGCCCGGUGGUGGGAGCCCGGCGGUGGUGGCCAACGAAGGGUUGCCGGAGGCGGUAGUCUGACGGUGGCCGAAGGCGGGUGACGGCGGUGGUGGCCGGCGAUGGGUGGCUGGCGGUGGUGGCCGGCGAUGGGUGGCUGGCGGUGGUGGCUAUAUAUGGACAUGUGGCAUAGUAUGCUUGCCUUAGAAGGAGUGGCAUUGUGUGCAAUUUUGAUAUUUUUUAAUGAUAUGUUUGUAAAAUUGAGUACUAUAUUUGGUCUUUGGUCUUAUGCUAAUUAGAUGAAAUUGUAUUCUUAUCUUUCAAAUUAGUAAAUUAUAUUAUGUUUUGAAAACUAAAGCUCCCCCUAAAAAUAAGUAAAUUUAAACAAUUGAAGACACGUACGAGCAAUUUUUUUUAAGGGAGCUUUAGGUGAUAUAUUGCGAGUUGCAAGGCCAAGGACCAUUGAAUUACAAAAAUAAAGAUUUGACGGCGGCAACAAAAAACUUCAGUGAAGAAAAAAAACUUGGAGGAGGAGGAUUCGAGGGCAUCUACAGGGUAAAUUAUGUGCUAAAGAGCUCUAAAAUAAUUUAUGUCAGUUCAGUUUAGCACGAUCGAAUAUGGUGUACUCUUUUUUUACAUAAAUAAAGUUUUAAAAAACUGGGAAAAUUGCAUUGUCAAGCUUUUGAUUAUCCAUGCAUAAUGUUCAUUUACAAUUACAUGGUUGGUCAGGGUACUCUAAACAAUGGAAAAGUACGUAGUUGCAGUUAAAAAACUAGCAAUUCUCCAAUCUGACAGGGCAAAGGCGAAUUUCGUAAACGAGGUGAAGCUGAUAUGUAACGUUCAUCACCGGAAUCUCAUUCUUCUUGGAUGUUGUAGCAAAGGACCGUAAUUGCUUCUCAUAUAUGAAUACAUGGCAAACAACAGCCUCUACAGAUUCAUAUUUGGUAAUAAUUUUCGGCUUUUCAGCUCAGCUACCUCUAAAUGCAUGCCUCUCAACUGGAAACAACUAAAUGACAUAAUCCUGGGUACAGCGGGGUCUGGCCUAUUUACAUGAGAAGUUUCAUGAGAUGUAAAAACCAGCAAUGUUGUUUUGGAUGAUAAUUUCCAGCCACCAGAUCUGCCGGAACAUUGUAAGUUAAAGUACUUUCCCACAGGCAUAACCCCUGAUUGAGAUCUAUAUGAUCAUUACUCUUCUACAAUAUUUAUACCGAUAUUGUGUUUUGCCCUACUUAUCUUUCUAUCCGCACACAAAAAGUGUUAUGAAUCUACUACAUACAUCUUGUGUAGCUUGUCACAUUCCAGGAUCGACUCUGCCGUAUCACGAUAUUGUUCGUUUUGAGCCCCCUUCUCUGCCCUCACGGUUUUAUUUCUGAAAACUCACGAGCAACUUUUCAGUGGGUCUCCUAUCCUGGGAUUGCUCUAACCCCCAACUCGCUUAACUUCGAAAUUCCCAUGACUCCGAAGCCAGUGAACUCCCAAAAAACCUCGUACUAGAUAAAAACGAGUAUGUAUAUAUAAGACACAUUAUCCUCUCUCCGUUGAUCGAUAUGGAAUGUUACAUAGCCGAAGAGGAGUACAUCACCAUCAUGGUGAUGNNNNNNNNNNNNNNNNNNNNNNNNNNNNNNNNNNNNNNNNNNNNNNNNNNNNNNNNNNNNNNNNNNNNNNNNNNNNNNNNNNNNNNNNNNNNNNNNNNNNUCAGCACAAGUAUGCUAAAGAUCUACUGCAAAAGGGCUGGUCUGAGUAAUUGUAAGGCUUCUCCUACUCCUUGCAAGCCACAUAAUCAAGUCUUAAUGUCUGAAGGAGAACCACUGCAUGAUCCUACAUUUUAUAGAAGUAUUGUUGGUGCCUUACAAUACUUAACUUUCAUAAGACCUGACUUAUCCUAUGCUGUCAAUACUGUGUGUCAGUGUAUGACUGCUCCCACUGAGAUACAUUUCAACCUGGUCAAAAGAAUUUUGAGAUACAUUCAAGGUACCAUGAAUUAUGGAAUUCACUUUAUUCAUGGUCCUUGGAAAUUACAAGCUUAUAGUGAUGUUAACUGGGCGGGGGAUUUAAAUGCUAGGAGGUCAACUACAGGUUUUGUGGUAUUGCUUGGACAUAAUCCUAUCUCAUGGCAGUCUAAGAAGCAAGGGUCUGCAUCCAGAAAUUCUACAGAGGCCGAGUAUAGGGCUUUGGCUAGUACAGCUGCAGAUUUGGGUUGGAUUCGAAAGGUUUUGCUAGACUUGAAAGUGUGCUUGCCUCUACCUCCUACCAUCUUUUGUGAUAAUCUAUCUGCUUUGGCACUUAGUAGUAAUCCUGUGUUUCAUUCACGAAUUAAACACUUGGAUACAGAUUUUCACUUUGUUCGUGAAAGGGUUCAAAGGAAUGAUCUGAUUGUUUAGUAUGUUCCCACUCAAGAGCAAAUCGCAGAUGUAUUUACUAAAGGACUGCAUAGUCCUAUUUUCUUGAGUCACUGUACUAGUAUGCGACUUGGAAAUCCAUAGCAGGAUCCAGAGUUGGGUUUGAGGGGGAAUGAUAACAAUAUUAGUUAGUUUGUUAAGCUGUCACGUGUGCUCACGUGUUGUUAGUUAGUAGUAACUAUAAUUAGUUAAGAGUGUUAAGUCUUGGUUAUUGAGAUAUAACACUAAUGAAACUGCCGUUGUAAUUCAUUAUAUACAGAGCAUAUCAUUUCUUCUUCCUUCUUAGUCUUCUCAAUUCUUAAGCUUCCUUUUCUAAACUGUUAUCAGAUGGAACCCUAUCACACCAGAAUUGUGGCAAAUCUGGUAUAGCCGAUUCAGGUUAUUUUCACUAUAUAUCUUUCAGAAGUAUCUGUAACGGGGCAAAUCUCCAUCAAUCCUCUUCUUUUCAGUUUAUCUUUAUGCCCAUUCAUGCAUGUAUAUAUUAUACGAAGAAGUUUUUGACAUAUGGCAUGUAUUGUGUGUCAAAUGUAUACCGAUUCACGAAGACAGGUUCAAGAUCACAUACACCAUAUUCACCUUCAUUUCUUUUUGUUUAUUCUGGGUUUCUGCAAUUUGAAUCACAUUAAAAAACAAAUACUGAACAGUGAUAUAUUCAAUAUUGAUCGGCAUCACAAUUUCAUAUUUCAUAUUGCACUACGAAGGAAAAUAAAACUUACCCCACAGAGAAACAGGAUCCCCUUAUCUGAACCAGUUAUGUUACCUCCUAGUGCCUUCACAAAAAGCCUAAUGAACUCAGGAUUCAUAUGUAGCCCCAGUAAUUAUAUUACCAUCAACAACAGACGCCAACAUGGUCUCGGGUUCCACCCAAUAAGCACCUGCAGGCUGCAGCAACAAGUACAGGUCUGACAGCUGGGAAGGCCGUUAUAGUAUAGCCGCGCGGCUAUACUCUAUAACACUUUAAAGGUAUAGCCGCACUAUACUCCAUAGAAUAUCGCAAACAUAUAGCUGCGCGGCUAUACGCCAUAAGCUGAAUAUUUUAAAAGUACAGCCGCACCGCUAUACUCCAAAAAUUAUAAUAUCAUAAAAGUAUAGCCGAUCGGCUAUACGCGAUAAAUAAAAUAUUUCAAAUUGGCUAUACUCGAAAAAUAGAAAACCAAAAAACAUAUUAAAAUAAAGGGGACCAGAAAGACAUAUAUAUAGCAUUUGAAGAUUUGUAAAUUAAACACAGAUCACGAUUCAGUAAACCUAGGUAGCCCAUUAUCAGAUUAUUUUCACUUAGAGACGAAGGCACUAAUGCAAUUUUGUUUAUUUUGGGUUUACAAAUUCAAGUGAAGUAAACAUUCAAUCUUCAAUAUAAUUGAGUGUGCUUGAUUACAGAGCAUGGAAAAUACCAAUUGACGGUGCUCAAGUGAUGUAAUGAGGCUAAAGAAUAAAUUUUUAUCAUAUAAUCAUUAAAUAUGUUCACUAUGUCAUCGUUAUAUGUAAAUUUUUCAGAAAUAUAUAAACUAGCUAGGAUGUACGUGAAUUCGAAUUUGGAUACAUGAAAUAUUAUUACCUACUACAUCAUUUGACGAACAUAUUUGAUGUUCCUAACAAUUCUAUGUGUACUAGUAAAGUACUUUGUCUUUAAUUUGGAAGUAUCCGAAAGCAUAAUUAAUGUUUUUCAUAUAUUAUCUCGCAGGAGGCAAUUCAAGAAAGAAAGCCAUCAUUAUUGGAGUCGUAGUUGGAGGUGUAGGUCUUUUUAUCCUCAUUGUUGGAGUUUUUCUCUAUUUUAAACUUUCAAGAAAGCCCGAGGCUGCCACAACCACAAAAUUCGAAGUUGCACUUCCUCUUGCAUAUAUACUAUUAUUCAAUUAGCUCCUGCUCUAACUAUGUAUAUAAGAAUGUGAAGGCAAAGAGUCCCACAUUUGAAAGUUGUGAAACCUAGCAAGGGCUUAUAAGAAGUUGGGCUACUCCCCCCAUUGCCAAUUGGUUUUGGGCUUAUCAGAGCGGGUUGCCCACGUGUGAAAGCCCAAUCACGACACGUGCUCCACGUCACCCAAAAUGUGUUGUUUACGUGUUAGGCUUGAAAAUUCUCCACACGUGCAGGGACGUGUGAGAAUGUGAAAGUAAAGAGUCUCACAUUGGAAACUUGUGAAACCUUACAAAGACUUAUAAGGAGUUGGGCUACUCCCCCCAUUGCCAAUUGGUUUUUGGGUAAAUUAUAUGCUAAAGUGCUCUAAAAUAAUUUAUUAGUAUGCAUCAUACAUAGAGAUACAAAAACUAGCAAUAUUAUUUUGGAUGAUAGUUUCCAGCCCAAAAUCAAUUUUGGGCUGGCAAGGCUUCUACCAAAUGAUUAGACUCAUCUUAUUAGAACCAGAUCUGCUGGAACAUUGUAAGUUAAAUUACUUUCUCACAGGCAUAACCCUUGAUGGAGAUCUAUAUGAUCAUUACUCUUCUACAAUAUUUAUACCGGUAUUGUGUUUUGCCCUACUUACCGUUCUAUCCGCACACAAAAAGUGUUAUGAAUCUAUUACAUACAUCUUGUGUAGCCGAAGAGGACUAGUAUAUCUCCACCAUCAUGGUGAUGCUCUCUAGUGUUUCUCUCUAUGGUGAAGUGUCUCUCACUUCUGUUUUAGCCUAUCUGGGCAAUGGUGCUCACGGCACCUCCUACUAAGCCUUCUUUAAAUAACCAAAGAAUUUGGUCCAGCAGCUGCAUGCAUGAAAAAACCGUGCAAGUUGUCCUGAGCACCUUCAAAGUCCUCCACCACAAGACACAGAACAUUAAUGCACCGAAAAAGCACAACCACCAGCAUUCGCAAAGAAGCCAGCCGCUCCUCUUUCUCAUGUCCUUGGUGCAGCACAGUGGGGCACACCUGCACACACAUCUCCUGCUGUCAACCGAAGUCCCUCUUUAUGCAUAGCCCAAGUUGGCUUCUCAAAGAACCCAAGCCAAAAAGUAAUAGCAAUAAUACAAAGCCUACUCUCUCUCUCUCUCUCUCUCACGGGUACACAGACCAACAAUGUGGCCAAUAAACGAAGGAAAAUGCUGGCAACCUUAUCUCCAACCUUAUUUUUGGACAUUUUCCCUUUUCCUCAUGACAUAUGUCACAUCCCAUACACUUGAAAACAAUGACAUUAAUACAUUAAACAAACUACCUUUUGUUUUCGAAGUUUACCCUUAUUAAAUGUAUUGUCUUUCAAUUUAUCCAAAAAUUUUUACAACUCUCUUACUACAUUUAAAAAAUUAAAAAAAUUAAAAAAAUUCAGUUUAAAAAAAAAAAAACAUGUUGUUAUAAAACUAGAGGGAGAAAAUGUAGAGAGAAGUGAUAUGCUAAAGACAAAGUUUCACCAUGUUUAUUCUACCUUAAUCUUUGGUAGAACCACCUAUUUAUAGGCUUACAAGAUAGGAGAUUGAAUACCAUCAUUUACAAUAUACCUAUAGGUUACAAGCAUUAAUUACAAAUACUUAGUGCAUAGGUUACAUAAAAUCCAACGGUGGAAUAUUAAGAGGUAUGGUGGUCAUCCACCAACUCAUGCAUUUACAACACUCCCCCUUGGAUGUCCACCAUACAAUGACAUUGUUUCCUCAUUAAAAACCUUGCUUGGAAAACCCUGUGGGACAAAACCAAAGCGAAGGGAAAAAGAGUGAAACUUUCUUCUGAAUCAUUGAUAUGGUGUUGGAUGAGCUUAUAUUGCCUCGUUAAAACCUUGCUAGGAAAAACCCAGUGGGACAAAAACCUAGUCGAAGGGAAAAAGAGUACAACGCGCAUAUGCCUUGAAUGUAGUAGAAUUGGGAUGCUCCCCCUCAUUGAUAUCUCCCCCUGAUUAAUAUCUCUCCUUCUCUGAUUUGAGCAAUACAAGCAACAUUGUCUUCAUACAUGAUCGUCUAUCACACUAUUCAACCUGCUUUUCACUUUUCAAAUGAUUGAAAUCUUUAGGAGUAUCAACAACUAAUUUAGUAGUUAGAAUAUGUUACAACAAUAUCAAAUUUGAAUUCAAAAUACUCAAACUCUUAGUGUUAACUCUUAAUUAAGAAUAUUGUGGUACUUUAUAUCCUUCAAGAGGUUGCUUCAUCUGAUAUAUCUCAAAUAUUUCAUGAGCUUUGAGGAUUUCCAUGUACCAUAUAGUCUUAAUAAAUAUGCAUUUAACACAUACUAUAAGUUUUGCGUUAAAGUAACAACCGCACUUAUAGAAAUGUGGAUGCAUUUACGAUGAGAUUGGAGACUAAAACCACAUGUACCUCUCCCAGGAAACCUUAUGUCAUAUUAGUGAUCUUAUUUCACUUCACAAACACCAAUUCGUAACCUUCAUACUGAACAUUUGUAAUUUGGUGUUUGAGUUAUAGGUUCAAUAUCCAACUCUUCUUAUUUAGUGAUAAAUGGAAUUGCCUAUUUCCAUUUUUGGCCAAUCACUUAACUUGUCGACAUUCAUGAAACGUGAUUUAAUAUAAUCAUAGCCCUUGAUGAUUGUAGUAGUUACUAAUAAACCAAAUGUAUCAUCAAUUUGUGAUCCCACAAUUCUCAUGUGCAUGCGCAUGCAUAAUUUAUAAGCAUCUCAUUACUUUAGGGUACCAAUGCCUCUUCAAGGGCUUAUGUUGUCACUUAUGGGACAAACAUCUCUUUUACAAUAAAUUAUUUAGAAUAUGUGGAUCAUAACCUCCUAUAGAGCGUUAUUUUUUAUAGAGCUUGAAUUUUUCAAAUAAUCUCCAUUUCUAGGGAGUUAAGUUUUUAGAACCUAUAUUUUUGUCAUGCUUCAGGCAUGCAUUAUAUAUAUAGUCACCAUGUUAAUGGAUUGUGAUACGAGAAUAUCAAUCCAUGUUAGCAUAUGUACAACUUAUAUAUGCAUUUUCUUGAUGAGACAAAAGUGGAUUGAUUCAACACUAUUUCACGAUGUUCUUCAGGAACUGUCAUUUCUCCCCCUAACGGCGGGAAAAUUAUCUCAAAAUUUAGGAAAAUAAACUCACCAUCAUUAUCAAUUCAAAUUGACUGGAUUGGAUAAUGUGGGAGUUGUGCUCGUCAGCGUCUUGACAAGAGAUAAAUAUGUAACCACUUUAGUAGGCAUAUUCAACAAAACUGGUGAAGUGAUCCAUAAUUAAAUGUUGUAUAGGCUCACAAAUAUCCCAUUGAAUUAUGGCUCAAAGUCAAUUUUUGACUGAGAUGAUCUUAUGACAACUUUUAUUUGUGAGCGUUCUUUGUAAUGAUAUUGUUGGACAAGACAAUAAUUUGAGUCUUUAAACGAUGUCCUUACAAAUUUAUAAAAAUCUUAUGCAUCAUUGUGGGACAUGGAUUGCCAAGAUAGUCAUGUCACAACAUAAAAGUUAUUCGGUCAAUGAACUUCUAGUUCAUGACAUCAUAAUCUUCAACUAUAAUAGUUGUGUAAUAUUGGGGGCCUCAAGAACUUUUGGUUCAUAACAUCAUAAACUUCCUACCCACAAAAGAAAGUAGGAAGUUUCUCCAAUAGACGCCUCUGGCUAUCAAUAUUGGGGCGGUAAUACAAAACAUUACCAUUGUAAAACGAAAUUAAUUAAUAACCUAACAUAAAUAAAAUAAAAUAUAAUAAAAUAAGUAAAGUGGUAUAAACAAGGAAUAAAAUAAAUCAAUUAAAGAUUAUGAAAUUCCAAGAUAAUCCAGUAUUAAUGUGGAUUCAAUAUGUAGAUAAAACUACAAGUUUAAGAAUUGGAUUUCCAACCAAUUCAGGUUCAUAUAGGCACAAAUAAGUAAUGAACUUUAGGUUCAUAUCAAUCUAUAUUCGAAACUUCGGGUUCGAAUAUGUAGAUCUAAAUAAAUUGAAUUAAUAGUUGUGCUUUGAACUUCAUACUCAAAUCGAUGUAUAUGCACUCGAAACUUCUGGUUCGAGUUCUUGACACAUGUAGGCCUCAUGGAAUUCUGAUUUUGAUUAAUACAAAAUCGAGGAGUUUCAUGUCCUUAUGUGCUCUUUAAAUUCGCGGAACUUCACGCCCUCAAUUAUUUGGAAUCAAAGAACUUCAGGUUCUGAUUCAAUCAAAAGGACUCUAUAUCCUAAUCUAGUUAUAUGAUGAGGAUCACGGAACUUCGGGCCCCUGAUCUUUUGUAUAAUUCAAACUCAUCAUAAUAAUUAAGAUCAUACUUAAAAUUAAAUAAACAAACAAAUAAAAACAAAAACAUGGCAUUAUAUUCAUGUGUAAUAAGAAUAAGAAUUUUUUUUCUUAAACAAGCAUGAUGAAGUCUGAUGGUGAGUACAAAGAAACUCUAUACCAUGUGAUGACUCUAGCUCAUAUAAGAAGAAAGAAAAUUCAGAGAAAGAAAACAUACCAAGAGCAAUGUCGUGCUGAUAACAUGUUAUAAAACUAGAGGGAGAAAAUGUAGAGAGAAGUGAUAUGCUAAAGACAAAGUUUCACCAUGUUUAUUCUACCUUAAUCUUUGGUAGAACCACCUAUUUAUAGGCUUACAAGAUAGGAGAUUGAAUACCAUCAUUUACAAUAUACCUAUAGGUUACAAGCAUUAAUUACAAAUACUUAGUGCAUAGGUUACAUAAAAUCCAACGGUGGAAUAUUAAGAGGUAUGGUGGUCAUCCACCAACUCAUGUAUUUACAACACAUGUCUAUUUUUUUAGAUUGGAAAACGUUUUUUUUAACACAAGAAUGACCUCAAAAAAAAAAAAAAAUCAACGAAAGAAAGAUUGUUUUUUUUAUACGGACAAAAGACAUCCUUCUAAAGAAGUCUGUAGUCAAAGGAAGUUCAUUGAUUGGAUUUUCAAACCAUUAAUUCGGUAAGUUUGAUUAUUGAUUUUUUUUUUCAAGACCAUUAAUUAGUUAAGUCUUAUUUGUUGGAGUCUUUCAGAAAAGAAAAAAACAAACAAACGUUUUUUCUUAUUUAAUUUUUUAAGUCUUAUUUGAAUGUCUCCUUAUUCCCUUUGGAGUCUUAAAAAAAAGACUUUUUCUCAAUUAAUUUUUGAACAAGGCGAUAAGAAAAUUGUAAAAAAUUUAGAUAAGAAAUUUAAAGAAAUAUUAAAAUCAAUACGUUUAAUAAGGGCUGAUUUGAAAAACAAAUGUUAGCUUGUUUGAUGCAUUAAUUGCAUUGUUUUGAGUUUUUAAAAAGUGACACAUAUCAUGAGAAAGAGAGAGAAUGUCCAAAAGAGAAGGUUAGAGAAAAAGUAGCUAUCAAAGCUUUUUCACAAAGUUAGACACACACGCCCACCAAGUUGGAUUCCAAUUGCUUUAGGUGUAGAUCACUCUAGUGCUGGAACCCACUCCAUGUGUGUCUCCAGCCUUUUAACAAAGAUGGCACGUGCCGUCAUUUCCCCAUUUGAAAACCCACGGUAUGACAAAUGAAGAAAGCUAGCAAACAAACAAGGAUAAAGUAGCCUUUACACAAUUAACAAUACAAUUUGGGCCAAUUUUCAACAGUGAAGGCAUCUUAUUGCAUUCUCCGGAGCCUUUCUUUUUCGAAAUAAGGAUAGAUUUUAAUUUAAACGCUAGAUCUGAAAGCAGAUUCAAUGAUUUCCAUAAAAAUCAUAAUCAACAUUACGUAGUUACAAACAUACAAGAUCCAUCCACAAUUGGUACAUAUAGAGCAGAAUCCGAGCAUCAUUGUUCCCUCACAGAUACACACAACACCUUCACAUAUGCUCUUAUUCUUUUAUUGAAUUACACGGAGUUUCUGGCUAUGCUUCUUUUUCUUUUAUUCUCUUAUUCGUUUAUGGAAUUCCAUAUAUUCCUUGGAAGCAGCAGACCCGGUAAAGGGUGCCUAGAAUGAUACUCGAAUAUCAAGCAAUCUCAUCAACUGAGAAAUAAGCUCUGGUUGGCCAUGCCACGCUGCUGCGGUAACCAGAUUUCCAUCAGUGACACAACGAUCUAUUGGAUCCGCUUCCACAAACGUCCCUCCUGACGAAACCACACGAGCCUUAAUCCCUGGGUAUCCAGUACAUUUCUUCCCCUGAAAUAUAGCCAAUUGAACCAAUUAUAUGACAUGCUAAAAAGUGCCUAAUCAGUUAAUAAGUACAUUAACCACUAAUCAAAAGAAACAGAAAAAAUAUCAUCUCCUUUGCGAUUUUAAAGAGUACUCACCUCCCUCUUCCCCAUAGUUAUUUACAAUUGAGAGGUUAAUAGGUCACAACAGAUCAGCUCAACAGAACCAAAAUACAAAGCACUACCACUAACUAUGUUUUUUUCUUUAAGAACCAUACCUGCAGAACACCAGCAGCAACUAAAAUUUCCAGGCCAUGGCAGAUGGAUGCAACUGGUUUCCCGGCUUCCAUAAAUUGUUUCACUAGUACAAUAACAUCCUCCUUUAGUGCCAAAAACUCUGGAGCUUUACCUCCAGGGAGUACAAGAGCGUCAUAACUUGAGGCAUCUAUGGAUUCAAAGUCAGCUGUUAAAACAAAAUUAUGUCCCCGGAUCUCACUGUAGGUUUGGCCCCCUUCAAGAUCACGGAUAGCAGUUGGGCAGGUAUCACCGGCUUUCUUCUUGGGGCAAACCACAUCAACAUGGCAUCCUAGAACUUUGAGGGUCUGAUAAGGCACAGUUACCUCAUAAUCUUCCGCGUAGUUCUACAAAUAUUGGGGAGGGGAGCAAUUAAAUGAUGAUGAUUAGUAACUAACAGUUUAAUCAUUGGCUAUAUUUUGUCCCAUAUUUGUCAUUGCAAUAUAAAAGAAACAGAAAAGAAAGCUUACUCCAAUGAUGAUGAGGACCCUUCUCUCUGAAGCACAUAUUUUGCCUCCCAGUGCCUGAGAAAAAGCCUAAUGAACUCAGGAUUGCCAUAAUAUGUGACCCCAGUAAUUAAAUUAUCAUCAGCAACACACACUGACAAUGUAUCGGGUUCUACCCAGUGAGCACCAGCAGCAACCAAUCCAGGUUUCAUAGUUGAAACCGCGGUGCAUUUGCGACCUUUAACAGCGCCUGCAGGUGCUAAGACCAACAGCCCAUGGCAAAUAGCAGCAAUUGGCUUUCUGCAGUCAGAAAAUUUUCUCGCCAAUUCUACAACGGAUGCCUUCAUAGCAAGAUGUUCAGGAGAUCGUCCUCCUGGUAUAACUAGACCAUCAUAUUUGUCAAUUUCGAUGUCAUCAAAUGUUGCAUUCAGUGUGAAAUUGUGACCACGAGAUUCUUUAUUAGCCUGUAACCAAAAAGGUACACGAAAGAAAACCAAACACAACACACACAUUAAAACAAGAGUAAUGGUUAGGUGAAUUCAAGCUUCUUUGUCUUGCUUGUCUCUCAAACUCAAACUCAAACUCAAACUCAAACUCAUCAGAGGUUGUUUUCCAACAACUGUGUUCAAUAUUAAACAUAUAAAAUAUAUUCCUCUUGUUUACAAAUAAAAAAGAACAGGAAAGACAGGAAAGACAGAAUUUGACCUGGUCAGUGGACUCUACUUGAAUGGUUAUGGCAGUGGCGCAGAUAUCACCAGCUUUCUUGACAGGAGAAACUGCAUCAACAGAGACUCCAAAUGCCUGCAGUGCUUGAAAUGGGACCAUUGCCUCGUAAUCUUCCAUGUAGUCCCCGCACAGUAACAACACCCUCCUCUGCACCUCGCCUUUCGGAUUCCCCAUUUCUUUUCUUAUUUCCUUCUUUAGUUUCUUUCUUCUUUUUCAGAGAGAGAGAGUUUUCAGAGAGAUUUUUCAGAGAGAGAGAGAGAGGGAGAGAGUCUGAAUACAAGAAGGUAGGUUAUAGCUUGAGCUGCUCUGCUUUGCUUACUUAAAUACUCACAAAAGCGUUUUUGGAGGUUUGUGGAGUCAGCUCGAUACGGUCGCACGCAAUUUGAGCAACACAUCGCAGUCAGUUAUCGUGGCAUCUCUCUAUUCGCCGCUUCUUUUCAGUUCGGAUAACUAUUCUAUUAGUUUCGAGCCUAUCACCGUCUCCAUGUUUGAUACGUUUUUUUGUUGUCUUCUUUACCGACCAAGUGAGUCUAAAUUAUUGAAACUUAAGUUUGUUCUCUUCACGGACCAAGGGGGUCUAAAUUAUUGGAGGAAGAUUGAAACUUGAGUUUGUUCUCUUCACGGACCAAGUGAGUCUAAAUUAUUGGAGGAAGAUUGAAACUCGAGUGCAAAGAGACGGAUUUAUUCUCUUGUUGUGAAUACAAGUAAUGGUCUAAAUUAUUAGAGAAGUAUUCUAACUUGAGUGCAAAGAGCACAAACUUAAGUGCAAAAGAGUGGACUCACUGUCUUAUUACGAGUGCAAAUGAUAGUCUAAAUUAUUAGAGAAAUAUUCAAAUUAUAGUGCAAAGAAGCAUACUCACUGUCUUAUUGUGAAUAUUCGAAUAUUCGAGCUCAAUGCUUCCUUUUCGAUUGAAAAAAAAAAGAAAAAAAGAAGCUCAAUGCUUCCAAGCUAAUGUCCCUAUACUAUAGAAAAGCUCUUUAGAGUCGUCAUCCUCUUCUUCUUGCCUUCAUUGUAGCAUGUGUGUGGGCCCAAUAGUAAAGCUCAAUGCUUCCAAGCUAAUGUCCCUAUACUAUAGAUUAUAGAAAAGCUCUUUGGAGUCCUCAUCUUCCUCUUGCCUUCAUUGUAGCACGUGUGUGGCCCAAUAGAAAAGCUAAUGUCCCUAUAUUAUAUGGACUAUGCGGACAGUGAUGGAUUCAAGAUUAUGUGGCCAAGGGGGCUUAGUGUAAAGUUCCGAAAUUUUUCUACAAAGAAAAUAAUGCUAAAAAAAUAUAAAGAUAGUACUAUAAUCCGUCAUUUGAGUUCUUAGUCCAGGGUCUUCCUGAAAAUUAGCUAAUAUCUCAUCUACUUCAAUUGGUCUUGCAUUUGAACUACCUGGGUUAGGCGAAGAAGGACUAUCCGUAGAUAAUUUUCUUUUAAAGAUUCGUUCCAUAAAUCUACAAAUCAAUUAAUUCAAUCAAUCAUUAAUUUUUAUCCAAAUUAUCAUAUGAAUAUGAAAAUUUCAAUAAUCCACUCUCAAUAUUCAAUAUAUCUAAACCCAUAUUAAUCAAUAUUCAAUAUACCAAUACUUACGAAUGAAAGUUCCAGCGACAUCAGGGAAUUUUUCCCUUAUGUAAUUGUCCAAUCAAUAUUCAAAAUAAUCAAUCAAUUCACAUUAUCAAGCAUAAACUCACUCAAUCUACAUUAUCCAUCAAUAUGAUUCAUAUACAUAAAUUUCAUUACAUAAAAAAUAUCAAUAUCAACAAUAUAUAUUAUCACUAUAAGGGUUGGGAGAUUGGGAAUGAAGGGUGGGUUGGAAGAUUGGGACAGGUUAGGGUUUGAAAGGGUGGGAAGAGCUGUGAAAUUGUGAAAGGACCCGCCCCGAAUUUUCUCAAAACCCGAGACGAACCCUUUGGAAUUCCUGACAUCACUCCGAUGCCAGACCCACUUACUAAAAACCGAGACUCCCUGCCGAAAUUUCGGCAGAGUCUCCCCUAUAAAUUGGACAUUUUCCAAAAUUUAUACCUGCAUGAAAAUGCAUUUAAUAUUCCCAACUGGCAGCAUGCACAAUAUAAUUUCAUGCAAAUUCUCAUAAAUGGCCUUCGGCCUUCAAUUAAUUCUCAAACAACUACCAAGCAAUUCAAAUACAAAUUAUGACUAAUAUUUAGUCUGCGGCUGCACCUAAUAACCUUAGGCUGCCUACGUACCCUCCUUGAGAGAUCAAGCCACACGUAGUUCUUCCUUAAAAACCCAAUUCCACACUUGGGCGAUGCCUUAUUUCAUUUCUCUGUAUUUCACAUAUUCUCCCCAUACGCCGGUACAACCAACGCCACGUAUGAGGCCUGUCAACACGCCGGAUAACCUACGCCACGUGCGACCAUGCCAUACUAUCAUAAUAUCUCCCUAUUCGCCGGUACAACCAACGCCACGUAUGGGGCCUGUCCCAAAGCCGGAUAACCUACGCCACGCGGGACCUCAAUAUCAUAUCACAAAUCUCCCCAUACGCCAGUACAACCAACGCCACGUAUGGGGUCUGUCGACACGCCAGAUAACCUACGCCACGUGAGACCUGAACAUCAUAUUACAUAGCUCCCCAUACGCCGGUACAAUCAACACCACGUAUGGGGUCUGUCCCAACGCCGGAUAACCUACGCCACGCAUGGGGUCUGUCCCAACGCCGGAUAACUUCCACUUGGUGGUACAUGUAGUGAAUCCAACGUCCGAGGAGGUACCUACAGCAGUGCGUAUAGCACUCCAAACUGACAUUCUUGACUCUGUUGUACCCUUGUACAACCACAUAUAAUUAUAUUUAUAUAAAUUAAUUCUUAUAUUGUGUAACCCUCCACAAUAGUCUAGCUCCCGAUAAACCCACCCCCCCCCCCCCCCCGGAAGGGGGAGAUUACUCCGGGAGAUUCACGGUCAACCAAGGGUCAAACUACUCUAACCCUGGUCAAACGGACUUGCAGAACCCAUGACCUCCAAUUUCCGAUCCGAAAGUCUCUAUGGGUUCUACCAGGUAUAGGACACUUGUCCUGCGAGUUUGGUUCAGAUCAGACGAUCGGAUUUCUCACGAUCGCAUGAUCUGACAGUUAAUAUAAAAUAUAAACUUUAAAUUAUUAUUCGGAACAUCUGGGGCUCCGAUUCACGAUCCGUGAAUUCCUACACGAUCCUAGAAAUACCUAGAUUAACAUAUAUUAAAUUUGGGACCAUCAGACGGUCCCAACCUAUCGAACCCAGAUAACGCAUAAUAUGCGAUUAUCCGUUCGAUAGUCAAACGACGUCCGAAUUGAGAUCCGCGAAUCCUACGCACUCGUGACAACCUAAGGAUCUCAUCAGAACACAGUGCUAUUUUUCUACAGUGCCCACGCGCCAGCAGCGCGUGGGUGCCCAAAGCGAUAAUGCUUCGCCGGAAAAUCUCAAAACCACGGCUCCAAACUCCUACCCUAGGUAUAACACCCUAUUUGGAGCCACUUUUGUUCUUGGACCUACCCCAAAAAGUGGCCGGAAAUGGCCGAUCACGGCAGCCGAAGUUUCGGCCGAUUUUCAAUUCGAAAAUUGAGUUGGCUACGCUAAGAAUUGAUCUAAUCCUAUCCAACCAUCAGCUAGAGCAGCUCGAGAGGUUCAAAAUCCAUACAUGGGUCGACGGAAUUGGUGGCCGGAGGAGGGAGAUCGGCGGCCGUGAAAAUCGGGCGACAUCCGGGCGAAAAUCGCCAUUUUCUGGCGGCUGGAGCAGCGGCCGAUGUCGGGGGUGGGCUGGGUCGUGACGCCGAGGCCGAGCCGGUUCUUUUGGUACCGGCCCCGUCCGCAGCCGCGGCCGGUGGCUGGAGUUACGAGGAGAGAGAGAGAGAGAGAGAGAGAGAGAGAGAGAGAGCCGACGGGAGAGAGAGAGAGAGAUCGCGGGAGAGAGAGAGAGAGAGAGAUCGUGGGAGAGAGAGAGAGAGAGAGAGAGAGAGAGAAACCAGAUUUUAUAAAAAAUCCCAUUUCGAAAUAUUUACGAUUAUGCCACUGGGCUUCUUUUGACCAUAUCUCUCUCGUUACAACUCCGAUUCGAGCCCACUACGUGUCUAUGAACUCGUCUCAGUACGACCUAUCCAAAAAUACAAGUCACGGUCCAAAACUCUCUGCAGUAGUGUGUAUAGCACUCCAAACUGACAUUCUAGACUCUGUUGUACCCUUGUACAACCACAUAUAAUUAUAUUUAUAUAAAUUAAUUCUAAUAUUGUGUAACCCUCCACAAUAGUCUAGCUCCCAAUAAUCCCCCCCCCCCCCCCACAAGGGUGAGAUUACUCCGGGAGAUUCACGGUCAACCAAGGGUCAAACUACUCUAACCCUAGUCAAACGGACUUGCAGAACCCACGACCUCCAAUUUCCGAUCCGAAAGUCUCUAUGGGUUCUACCAGGUAUAGGACACUUGUCCUGCGAGUUUGGUUCAGAUCAGACGGUCGGAUUUCUCACGAUCGCAUGAUCUGACGGUUAAUAUAAAAUAUAAACUUUAAAUUAUUAUUCGGAACAUCCGGGGCUCCGAUUCACGAUCCGUGAAUUCCUACACGAUCCUAGAAAUACCUAGAUUAACAUAUAUUAAAUUUGGGACCAUCCGACAGUCCCAACCUAUCCAACCCGGAUAACGCAUAAUAUGCGAUUAUCCGUUCGAUAGUCAAACGACGUCCGAAUUGAGAUCCACGAAAUCCUACGCACUCGUGACAACCUAAGGAUCUCAUCGGAACACAGUGCUAUUUUUCUACAGUGCCCACGCGCCGCCGCACACGCCGGCAGCGUGUGGGUGCCCAAAGCGAUAACGCGUCGCCGGAAAAUCUCAAAACCACGGUUUCAAACUCCUACCCUAGGUAUAACACCCUAUUUGGAGCCACUUUUGUUCUUGGACCUACCCCAAAACGUGGCCGGAAAUGGCCGAUCACGGCGGCCGAAGUUUCGGCCGAUUUUCAAUUCGAAAAUUGAGUUGGCUACGCUAAGAAUCGAUCUAAUCCUACCCAACCAUCAGCUAGAGCAGCUCGAGAGGUUCAAAAUCCAUACCUGGGUCGACGGAAUUGGUGGCCGGAGGAGGGAGAUCGGCGACCGUGAAGAUCGGGUGACAUCCGGGCGAAAAUCGCCAUUUUCCAACGGCUGGAGAAAAACCAGAUUUUAUAAAAAAAUCUCAUUUUGAAAUAUUUACGAUUAUGCCACUGGGCUUCUUUUGACCGUAUCUCUCUCAUUACAACUCCGAUUCGAGCCUACUACGUGUCUAUGAACUCGUCUCAGUACGACCUAUCCAAAAAUACAAGUCACGGUCCCAGACUCUCUCCGGUUAAAAAUAUGACUAAAAUACCCUUAAAUAAUUAAAUAAUUAAAUAAUUAAAUAAUUAAAUAAUUAAAUAAGGGUAAAAUUUGGGGUCGGGGUGUUACAAAUUGGGAAUGAAGGGUUUGGAGGCGCUGUGCAUUCGGGUAAGUGAUUCGGUGUUCUUUUUUUUUAUGUUUUUUGUUUUUUUAAACUUGGCCCAAAACGACGUCGUUUUGAAGCCAGGUCAAUUAAAAAAAAUUUGACUGAGCCUUGGACCAAACGACGUAGUUUGGCAAGGCUCGUUUUAGAAAAAAGGGAUGCGCAGCUUGAGCGGGCAAGGCACAGCGCAGCUGCGCAAUAGAAGAAAAAAUGGCAUGGGACUUUUGUCGAGCAGUUGGUGUGCGUACCAGGGGUCAUCCAGCAGCUGUCCAAGGGGGCUUUCAUGGAUUCCCUUGCCAAUUUUCCUGCCUUCCAAGGGGUCAUCGGACCCCUCUUGUCCCAAUGUGCGUCCGCCAAUGCAUGCGGAUAAAUAAAUGUAAUGUUUAUCUCUAACAGAUCAUGCUUUUUGAGCUGUGAUAGUUUUGGAAUAGUGUUCGCGUGCAUUUUACCUCGACUGCCAUGUUGAUUUUCACCAGAGCAGCAAAGCUGCUUGCUUUGUGUUAUGAGGUCUGGUUUUGUCAACAAACUAUAUUGCUUGACCCAGAAGAAAAUGCAAUAUCAUGUGGAUCCUCAUUUCGCAGUUGCAGGAGGAUGGUUGUGAAAAUACAAGAGCUAAUUCUGGAUAACAUGAUAUUUGUGGGAGCGAUUUCUUCCCACAAGAAUAUUCAAUUGAAAGAUUCCUCUUUCAUCUUCGCCACCCCUUUCUCCUUGCAAAAUAGAUCGAAACAAGAGGACCACACCCGUGAGGUGUUGGCCAAAUGCCCUCAGAUGCCUAAGUUAGUUCAAUUGAUUCGUAGAGAAAACAAUAGCUAAAUAGGGUACAAAGAUAUAUAUAUAUAUAUAUAUAUAUAUGUAAGGUGUAAACCGGGUGGCCGAAGCCAUGAGUGGUGGUCGGAGCCUUGUGUAAAAGGGAGAGAGAGUAUGGCGGCUAGGGUUUGUGAGGGAUAAUUUCUGCAGAGUUUCAGUAGGAAUUUAGACGUAGCUCAACCCUUGUGCGUAGCCAUCUAUUUACAGGGGCCUCGGAGGCUAGGGUUUCAGAGGAAUAAUUCCGCAGAUGGAAAGGAAUUAUUCUUCCCUGAUUUGGCGAGAUUGGCUUAAUUAGGGAUUUGAAUGUAGGAAUCAAAUCAAUCCCAAUUAAAUUAGAUAACUCCCAAUUAGGUAAAAUAAUCCCCAAAUGGAAGGAAAUAUUUCACCUAGGGCUUUGCUAGAAUUGGGCUCCCACAAUAUUCAUUCAGGUAAAACUUCGAGGUGUACGGUGAGAGAGAUAGAGACCAAAGGGACUGACGACUAAUAAAUCGUAGUGUCCUUAGCAUAAGUAGUAUAACACAAGCUUCAUCCACAACCAACUUGCAUAGAACAUGGCAUAUACAUAUCAAAACCAGUGUCACUUGUUCCCUCAUAUAUACAAACGUCACCUUAACAUAACACAACAUACAUGCCUUAUUCUUUCACGAAUUACAUAAAGUACAUGCAAGCAGCUGACCCGGUAAACAACAACUAGAAUGAUACUCGAAUAUCAAGCAAUGUCAUCAAUUGAGAAAUGAACUCUGGGUGGCCCGGCCAUGCUGCUCCAGUAACCAAAUUUCCAUCCGUGAAGCAACGAUCUAUUGGAUCAGGUUCCAGGCAUGCUGCUCCCAGCAAAACCACAUUAAGGUUCACCGCUGGAUACGCAGUACAUUUCUUUCUCUAUAAUUUAGCCGGUUAACAACAAUUAGGACACGAUUAAAAAAAGUUCAUAAUGUGAAAAUAAGUAAAUCAACCCUCAAUCAGAAGAAUCAACAAAAGACAAACAUAUUACAACUUCAAGGUGGUUUCUUUUUUACCUCGUCAUUAAAUACUCACUCUGAUAAAACUUUAUAUAAACAGAAAAUAGGCAGUGUCCCUCUUACAAAAUUGAUGACACUCCUAACUCUUCCUAACAACUUCUGAAAAACUGAAACUGCCUAGCUCCGCCAAGCCUUUUGGUUUUCCUUACUAGGUAAUUUCUUCUUUUACCCCAUUCCCGUGAACUUGUCCUCCUUGGCUCAUUGAAUGUUCGUUAUGUCUCCACCCAUACUCAGCCAAACAUUUGAUGUACUUUAAAUCUUUAGUAUUCAAUAAUACUGCAUAACUGUUGAUAUUUACAUAAAUGGUUCAUAAAAUUGAAGUGGAGAAGAAACUAUCUUAAGAGUUGAGAAUGAGUUUGGGUGGCUUGAGUGAAAAAACUUUAUCCAUCAACACAAGGAGAUGGUGAAGGCAUCUUAUUAUGGUGGGAUCAUUUGCAUCCUCCGGAGCCUUUUUUUUUCAAAAUACUGCCAGAUUUUAAUCAUUAAACUAAGAAUGUAAACGCUAGAUCCGAAAGCAGAUUCAAGGAUUUCCAUAAAAAGCAUAAUCAACAUUACGUAGUUAAAAACAUACAAGAUCCAUCCACAAUUGUUACAUAUACAGCAGAAUCAGAGCAUCAUUGUUCCCUCACAGAUGCACACAUCACCUUAACAUAUGCUUUUAUUCUUUUAUUGAAUUACACGGAGUUUCUGACUAUGUUUCUUUUUCUUUUUUUACUCUUAUUCGUUUAUGGAAUAACAUAUAUUACUUGGAAGCAGCUGAACUGGUUAAGUUUGCCUAAAAUGAUACUCGAAUAUCAAGCAAUGUCAUCAACUGAGAAAUAAGCUCUGGUUGGCCAUGCCACGCUGCUGCGGUAACCAGAUUUCCAUCAGUGACACAACGAUCUAUUGGAUUCGCUUCCGCAAACGUCCCCCCUGACACAACCACAUGAGCCUUAAUCCCUGGGUAUCCAGUAAAUUUCUUCCCCUGAAAUAUAGCCAAUUAAACCAAUUAUGUCAUGCUAAAAAGUGCCUAAUCAAGAAAUAAGUACAUUAACCACUUAUCAAAAGAAACAGAAAAAAUAUUAUCUCGUUUGCGAUUUUAAAGAGUACUCACCUCCUUCUUCCCAAUAGUUAUUUACAAUUGAGAGGUUAAUAGGUCACAACAGAUCAGCUCAACAGAACCGAAAUACAAAGCACUAGAUGUAACCUUUUUUACUUCCUUUUCAAGUUCAAUCGAUAAAGUAUUUCAAUCUGUUUUACUUUAUCUUUAAUAAGUAGCAUUAAAACUGGAAGCAUUAUAUUAAUGUUUUAGUGACAAACGUUUAACCACUAAAAUGCAGGUAGGAUAUAUGUUUUUUCUUUAAGACCAUACCUGCAGAACACCAGCAGCAACUAAAAUUUCCAGGCCAUGGCAGAUGGAUGCAAUUGGUUUCCUGGCUUCCAUAAAUUGUUUCGCUAGUACAAUAACAUCCUCAUUUAGUGCCAAAACCUCUGGAUCUUUUCCUCCAGGGAGUACAAGAGCGUCGUAACUUGAGGCAUCUACGGAUUCAAAGUCAGCUGUUAAAACAAAAUUUUGUCCCUGCGUUUCACUGCAGGUUUGGGCCCCUUCAAGAUCACGGAUAGCAGUUGGGCAGGGAUCACCGGCUUUCUUCUUGGGGCAAACCACAUCAACAUGGCAUCCUAGAACUUUAAGGGUCUGAUAAGGCACAGUUACCUCAUAAUCUUCCACGUAGUCCUACAAAUAUUACAAAUAUUGGGGAGGGGAGCAAUUAAAUGAUAAUGAUUAGUAUCUAACAGUUUGAUCAUUGGCUAGAAGCCUAAAACCAUGAACUUGUCGUGGCGAAACUGGUAAAGCCGACUCGGGCUUUCUCCCCUUUCUCUUUUAAUAAUAUUAAGGUUGGUUGUCACUUGAACUUGAGCAUACUAUUUUGUCCUAUAUAUGUCAUUGCAAUAUUAAAGAAAAAGAAAAGAAACCUUACUCCACAGAUGAUGAGGACCCUUCUCCCAGAACCAGAUAUGUUGCCUCCUAGUGCCUUGAGAAAAAGCCCAAUGAACUCAGGAUUG